UCAUACGGUGAACUAGCAAAGGUAACUGGUCAUUUCUCGCUCAAUAACCUAAUUGGUCGAGGUGGUUUUGGUCAUGUUUUUAAGGCAUCCUUAGAUGGUGAGAUCUGUGCUAUUAAGAGACUUGAUUUUCCGGAUGUACAAUCCGAAGGAGGUUUGGAGAGGGAGAUUAUGGUCGUCAAAAGUGUCAGUCACAAAAACCUCGUUGAAUUGGUUGGUUACUGUAUUGAUGGAGCCAAUAGAUUGCUUAUUUUAAAGUAUUUUCCAAAUGGGUCCUUGAGAUCUAAAUUACAUGGUGAGUCCCGUAUAUCCUUUCUUUUUACUUUUAUGUUCGUAUAACUAAUCCAUAUAACAUGAUUAAUCUUAAAAGUUACAAAUGGUAUUGUAGGGAGUGGGGAUGUUUUGGACUGGGAAAAAAGAAUGAAGAUCGCCACAGGUUCUGCAAAAGGAUUGGAAUAUUUACAUGAACACUGUGAGUAUUUAGUACUAUAUAUUCUUACCCGGCAAGAUCUUAUGAAUUUAUUUAUUUAUUUUUAUCUAUAUUAAUAAUUUAUUUUCUCUCAAAAUUUAUAUUUUAUAUUUUUUUCAGGUAAACCUAAAAUUAUCCAUUUAGAUAUCAAACCAGAUAAUAUUCUUCUUAAUCAAGAUUUUGAACCUAAGGUGAGAUAAUUUUAUAACAAAUAAAUAUUUUAUUUAUAUUAUCACAUAUUUAGAGUAAAAUCUUGAUAAUUGAAUAUUAAAAUUUUAUUUUUCAAAAAUAUUGAAAAAUUAUAUGAACUCCUUAAUUACAUAAUUUUAUUUUUGUGUUAAUUAAUAAAUCUGGAUUCUAAUUCUUUUUUGGUUUAGCCAUAAAUUUUUGGUUUUUUUAAUAAAAUUUAUUGCUUAUAAAAAAAUUAAUAAAUCCACCUUAGUAGGUUUCUUUUUUUUUUCAUGAUUUAAUAUUUUCUUAAUAAACCUUAUUGAAGUACGGAAAUUGUGUAAUUUAUCAAAUAGAAAGGUAAAAGAGUGUAUAUUCGUGGAAUUAAGUGUGAAGUUUCAACCUUAAAUUAAUAUAUACAUUAUAUAUAAAUAGCAUAAAUAAAUUUAUUAAUUAAUUUAAAUAAUUUGUUUAGAUAACAGAUUUUGGACUUGCUCAUUUUUUUUCGACGGUGCUACCCACAUAUCCAAAUCAUCAGUUAUGGGAACCCAUGUGUAAGAUGUAACCUCCUCUUCUAUCAUUUAAUUGCAAUGCUAUUAUUGUCUUUCUUUUUUCAGUGCCAUUAUUAUCUACCCUUAGAAUAGUUUAAAAAUAAAAUUAAAAUAGAUAAAAUAAUACAUAAAAAGAUAUUAGUACUCCUUAACUUGAUGGUAUUAGUUUCUUAAGAAAUCUUAACAUAAAUUUUAGUUCUGUUAAUUUUAUUGCAGCUAUGAAGAUCCAUUGACAACAAAACUGGGAAAGUAUUCUGAUAAAUCUGAUAUUUAUUCUUUUGGAGUUACACUUUUAGAGCUGAUUACUAGAAGAAAACCUAUACACAAUGGCACUGACAUUGUUAUUUGGGUAUGACUCUGUUUGCAUUAAUACAACUUUGAUAUAAAAAUUCUAUUUUUACCUUAUAAAGUUUUGAAUUUAGAUCUCAAUUGGAGCUAUUUAGAUUUCAAUUCAAUAUAUUUAUGAUCUAUUAAUAAAUAAUUUUUUUAAUCAAUAUCUUAUAGGCAAAUCAUCUAAUUAAAAAGGCUUUGGAGGGAAGAUAUACAAACUUUGUAGAUUCUAAUUUACAAUCCUUUGAUCAUGAACAAAUGUAUCAAAUGGUUUCUUGUAUUAAUUCUUGCAUAAAUCAACCACUAAACUCUCGGCCAACAAUGGAAAAGGUAAAACUUUUCACAUAUUUAAUUUAAUUUUAGCUAUAUAUUAUAUAAUUUUAAUUAAUUUUGUGAACUCGAGAGAUUACAUAAUUGACUUGUAAUCAUUUUAUUGCUAUGUCAUGUAGAUACGUCUAGUUCUUGAAGGAAAAUCGCCUCCAGAGGAAUUAUACGAUCAUGAAUUACAAUGGAGUAUUAUACAUAGAGGUUUAUAUUCUUUUAUAUUAAUUUAUUAGAAAUUAUAUGCAUAUUUAUACUAAAGCUCGAUCAAAUUGAUGCCUAAAUUAAUUUCCUAAAUUAAUUUUCAUUUAACUUGUGUCAUAUCUUAAAAUUAGAAACAAAUGUUGAUUUUCAACUGCAUAAAUAUUAAUUUUUUAAUUUGAAACGUAGAAUAAAUUUAUUAUUAUAUUUUAUAGAAAGAAAAUGAAUAAUAAUUUUGAGAUAAUAAAAUAAAAUAAAUAAAAAUUAUGGAACGGAAAGAAUAUUAUUUAAUUAUUUAAGUAAAGGUAAAUAAAUAGAAAUAAUGAAGCCGUGAAUAGUUUUUUGAUAGGAAAAAAAAUAAUUAAUGUCCAUGAAAUCAUUUUCUAUUUUGAGAUAGUUUAAUUUAUUUUAAAAGAUCUUAUAACAUAAUUAUUUGUUUAUAUUAUAUACAUAUUGUUUGACAAAUUCUUAAUAAGAUGAUUUAGAUUGUUUACAUAAUAAACUUAUUUUUUUAUAUAGUUAUAGUCUUUUUAGGUAAAUUUCAAUCAUAUAGGUUAUUCGAAUUUAUAUUAAAAUUUGUCUAAAACACUAAUAAUUCACUAUAUGAAAUUAAGAAAAGGAAAAAUAAAAGUAUGAAAAUUAAUUAGUAAGCAUGGUUAUUUGGCUUAAUUAAUAGAGAUAAUUUACUCAUAAAGCUUGCUUUAUGUUCACAUAUGGAACAACUUUAUUUAAAAAAAAUUAUUGUAAAAUAUAUAUAGCUUUUUGCUCUAUUUUCUUUGAGAGUUGCAAAUUAUAUUAAGAAAACAAAAAAUCUGAACUUUUCAUCAAGCUCACGAGAUCAGUUGGAAAAUUCUUAUCUUAAUUUCUUUGCUUUCUAUAUAUGUAUAUGCAAUGGUUCCACAAAUUAGAUAUAUACACUAACUAAAUAUGGCAUGCUAUGGUUUGCGUAGAUGACGAAUCUAGCUCAUACUUUGAAGAGAUUGAUCAAAUUGAAGAAUCUGGCCCAUUGCAUGAAAAGAAUUAUAAGGGUAUUAGGCCGAAGCCAAAUUCAUUUAGUGAACUAGCAGUGGCAAAUUAUAAGGGUGGGCUAAAGCCAUAUUCAUUCAGUGAACUAGCAAAGGCAACUGAUCAAUUCUCGCUUCAACGCCAAUUUGGCCAAGGUGGUUUUGGUCAAGCUUUUAUGGCAUCCUUAGAUGGUAAGAUCCGUGUUGUCAAGAAACUUAAUAAUUUUCCAGAUGUACAGUCUGAAGGAGAUUUCGAGAGGGUGAUUAUGGUUCUCAAUGGAGUCCGUCACAAAAAUCUUGUUAAGUUAGUUGGUUAUUGCAUUGAGGGAGCAAAUAGAUUGCUUAUUUCAAAGUUCUUUCCCAACAUGUCAUUGAGAUAUCAAUUAUACAGUGAGUCCCAUAUCCUUUCUUUUGCCUAUGUUCAUAUAACUAAUUAAUAUCACAUAAUUAGUCUUACAAAUUACAAAUGAUUUUGUAGGAAAGGGGAACGCUUUAGACUGGAAAAAAAGAAUGAAUAUUGCUAUAGGUUCUGCAAGAGGAUUAGAAUAUUUACAUGAAUACAGUGAGUACUUUUAAUUUUUGAGAGUGAUUUUUUUUUUAAAUUUUAUUUUUAUUUGUUUUAAUAAUUUAUUUCCUCUAAAAGUUUUAUGCUAAUAUUAUUUUCAGGUAAACUUAAAAUCAUACAUUUAUUUAUCAAGUCAGAUAAUAUUCUUCUUGAUAAUGACUUUAAUCCUAAGGUAAGAUAAUUUAUAAAUUUUAUUUAUAUCACUACAAUGUGGAAUCUUCAUCAUUAGAUUCCGAAAUUUUAUUUUUGAAAAAUUAUGUGAACCCAUUAGUUUGAUUGUUGUAAUUCAUUAAUAAUGAGGCUUAACAAGGUUUCUUGUCUUUUUUCAUGCUUUACUACUUUCUUAAUAAACCUUAUUGAAGUACGGAAAAUAGUGUAAUUUAUCAAGUAAAUAUAUAUAUAUAUAUUCAUGAAAUUAAGUAGUAAAUAACUACACCUUUAAAUUAAUAUAUACAUUAUAUAUAUGCACAGCAUAAUAAAUUUAUUAAUCUACUUAAAUCACAUGUCUUAGAUUUCAGAUUUUGAACGUUCCCUAUUCUUUAGGGAUGCUACUACUCAUGUGUUCAGAUCAUCAACUCUCGGAACUCACAUGUACGUAAAAAGAAAAAAAUUUCUUUUUAUCAUUCAAUUACAUCACUAUUAUCGUCUCUUUUCUUUCGGUACUAUUAUUAUCUAAUCUUAGAAUAAUUUGAAAAAUAAAAUAAAAAUUAAAACAAAGAAAAAAACACAUAAAAAGAAAUUAGGAUUCCUUAUUUGAAAAUAUUAGGUUUUUUAAAAAAAUCUUAAUAUAAAUUUUAAUUGUGAUGAUUCCAUUGCAGUUAUGCAGAUCCAUUGUCAACAAAAUUAGAAAAAUAUUCGGAUAAAUCCGAUGUUUAUUCUUUUGGUGUUAUACUUUUGGAACUGAUUACCGGAAGAAAGCUCAAGAUGGAUGAAAACAUUGACAUCGUUACUUGGGUAUGGCUUUCUUACUUGUAAUAAUUUAAUAUAAAAAUUGCAAUAUAAAAUUAUAAUAUAAGAAUCAAUAAGAUAAAAAAAAGAAUUAAAUUUAAAUCUCCAUUGGAUUGGAUGUAUGCAAAUAAAAUAAUAAAGCAUUCUUUAUAGUCACAUUAAAAACAUUGAAAAAGACAAAACUAUAUGCUAUAAGUUAAAUACAAAUGCACAUGUAACAUGCAGUUAUGAUUCAUUAAUAAUAAAUAACUUAUUAAUCAAUAUCUUGUAGGCACAACCUCUAAUAGAAAAGGCUUUGGAGGGAGAAUAUAUGGAUUUUGUAGAUCCAAGGUUGCAAUUGUUUGACGAUCAAGAAAUGCAUCGAAUGAUUUUUUGCUCUAAUGCUUGCAUAAAUUAACCGUUAAGAUCUCGUCCAUCGAUGAAAAUGGUAAAAUUUAUUCACAUAAUUAAUUUUGAUAUAUUUCACUAUUAUUGUUUAUUUUCAAUUAAUUUUAUAGAAACAUUGAGAGAGUACAUAUUUGACUUAUAAAUCUUUCUAUCAUUGAUAUGUCAUGUAGAUACUUCUAGCUCUCGAAGGAAUUCUUCCUUUAAAUUCUUUGUGAUGAGAUGAAUGACAACAAAUUGCGAUUGGAAGCUACUCAUAAAGGUCCGUUUCUUAUAAAGAAUGGGAAUAUCUAUUUCGAAUGUUAUUCAUUUUCUAUAGAUUUAUUAAAUAAAAAAAUUUAAAAGUAUACGGUUUGUUAUAUUUAUUCUAAAUUUAAAAUUUUGAACAAUAAAAUCAAUUUUUUUUACAUUUACUUCAAUUAAUUUUGAUAAAAAAAAUUUUAAUCUACGUGUCAUAUCACAUAGGUUUAUUUUUUGCAAGGCCUACUCAAUAAAAAAAUUCAAAAUUAACAUUAAAUUCAUAUUUAUAUUGAAAACUUUUGAACAAUAAAAUCAAACCUUUUUUAAUUUAACACAAUUAUAAUCAAUAGGACUAAAUAAAUUAAAUCUGAAAAGUUAAUGAUAAAUUACAAUAUAAUCCUUAAAAUUUUAUGUUAACAAAACAUAUAGUCUUUUAAUUUAACAUAUAGUCAUUUAUAAAUUAUAAUGUAGUCCCUAAAUUUAUCAUAUGUAAUAUUAAAUAUAUUAUAUUAAAUAAAUAUUUAUUAUAAAUAAAUUUUCAUUGCAUAAAAUAUCACAUACAAAUAUUAUAUAAUAAAAUAUUUUAUUGAAUAUUUAAACUCAAUAUUAUAAAUAUAUUCAUAUUAUUUCUUUAUUUAAAAGGAGUAGGAUAUGAACUUAAUUCACCUUUUAAAAAUAGAAGUAUCCGUCUCAGUUCAUCUACUUGGUGAUUUUGCUUUUUUCCUUUAAUAAUAUUCCUCUUCUUAUUUGAGAAGAUGGAUUGUUUUCCCAAACCCAUUGCCUUUUGGAGAAGAUGAAUAUGUUACAUUUAAUAAAACCUUAAACCUUUCUCUUCUUAUUUUUAAUAGACCAGAGUUUUCCUUAUCAUUUUAAGCUUUUCUCUUUUUAUUAUUUUCUUUAAACGAUGACUUAUUACAUUAUUUUCUAUAUUAAAUAUGACCAAGCUUAUAAAAUAAUCCUUUUUAUUUAAUCUCAAUAUCAAAUACUAUAUGAAAUUUUUUAAAAUAUCGAUAAAUUUUUUCAUUAGUAAUUCAAUAAAAAUCUAUUAGCAAAUAAUACAAUCUAUUUUUAAAAGUUUCGCUGGUAAAUUUUUACUAACAGAUUUUAAAUUUAUUAGCACCACUAUGAAAUUUACCAAUAUAAAUUCUCAUUUUUUAUUCAAUUCGGAUAGUAGUGUGGAAUUUUUCGGAUUGAGUUACAAUUUGAUGCAUAAAGAAAACAUACAUAAAAUUUAAAUCACAUAAAUAACAUAAUUUAUAUUCAAUAUUCAUUAAAAAUGUAAAUAUAUAUUUGGAAAAGAAAAAGAGUAAAUGAUAAAAUAAAGUGAGAAAAAUAGAAAUGAAAGAAAAUAAAAAUUAGAGAAAAGUAAAUAGCAUAAAAUGAGAAGAAAUUAUAAAAAAGAAAAAAGAAAAAGGAGAAAAACAAUAGAAAAGAAAAUUAUAGAGAAGAAAAAAAGAAUGAAAGAAGAGGGAAAGGAUUAUUAGAGAAGUGAGAGAAAAUAAAAUAAAUAAUUAGAGAAUAAAAUAAAUAAAGAGAAAAUAAUAGAAAAUAAUGAGUUGCAAAACUCACCCAUCUUUUCUUAUUAAAUUUUAUAAUUUUGCUAUCAUUUUCAUAUAAAUAAUUAAUUUUUAUUUGAAAUUUGAUUUUGAACGGAUUUUAAGGGAAAAUUAAGAAAAAAAAUGAAAAGAGGCUGAAUUGGAAGAUUUUCGGAUGAGAAUGUUACAACCUUGGAUAAACUUGUAGUCUAAGGCGAUGGAUAGCUCCACUUCACUCCGAUUAGUAAAUAGCAUAAAAUGAGAAAAAAUUAUACACAGAAAGAAAAAGGAGCAAAACAAUAGAAAAGAAAAUUACAGGAAAAAAAAAAAGAUGAAAGAAGAGAGAAAGGAUGAUUAGAGAAGUUUGAGAAAAACAAACAAAUAAUUAGAGAAGGAAAUAAAUGAAGAGAAAAUAAUAGAAAAUGAUAGUGGCAAAACUCACUUCCUUAUUAAAUUUCAUGAUUUUAUUAUAAUUUUAAUAUAAAUAAUUAAUUUUUACUUAAAUUUGAUUUUAGACAGAUUUUUAAGCAGAGGUUAAGAAAAGAAAUGAAAAGAGGCUGAAUUGAAAGAUUUUUAUUGGAAAUGUUACAACCUUGAACAAGCUUGUAAUAUAAAGCGAUGGACAACUUUAGAUUUUAAAAAUUUUCACUUCAGCCUGAUUUUUCCACUUAAAAUGAUAAGAUCAGUUUCAAAUUGGAUAAAAACUAAUCAGAUUAGAAUAGGAGUGAGAUAGGAGGAGUAGAAUUUAUUUUAAAUUAUUAAAUUUUAUCUUUUUAUUGAAGAAAAAAUCUAUAUAAAGUCUUUCCAAAAAUUAAAGCUACAUCAUAUUCUUAUCUUCUCUCCCUCCUCUUCUCUCUAAGCUGCCCCUCUUCUUCUCCUUCUUUUUUCUUUUUCUUUUUAUUUAGAUUUUUACAACUUUAUUAUAAUAUUUAAGGGCUAAAUACUCUCUUUUCAGUCGAAGGUUAAUCCAAAUUGAAGUUCUAUUUAAGUUGUGAGAUUAUAUACUUCUAUUCUUUUCAUCUUAUUUCUAUUUUCUAUUAAUUUCGAAUUUCGAGAAACACCACCUCCAUUUUUGUCUUUUUAAAAAUUCAAGAAGCCUAUUGAAUCUCUUGAAUAACAUAUUACUAAUUAAACUAAUUAAAUCCGUAAUUGUUUAAUUGAAUUAAUUAUAAGUACUAAUUAACAUAUUAAUUUAUGUUAAGAAAUUAAUAGAUUUAAUUUAAAUAAAUAGUGUAUUUUUAUUGAUCAAGUAGUUCUUUCCUUUAAAUGCAGUUACUAUUAUAUGCUAAAUAUGCACGUGACAAAUUUUUCCUAGAAGAUUCUGGAAAUUCUAUUCUAGCAGGUAAAGAUGAAACUUUUGUUUAUGUUUCCUCUUCGUCAUAUUGCUUGCUCAAGCUUAUAGAUACAUGAUCAAUUCUCCAACUGCAGUUCUAUGUCUUCAAGGUAUGUAAAGCUAGAUGUUUAUUUCUUCGGUGUAAUUCUUUUGGAGAUAAUUACUGGGAAAUUACCUGUUAGUGAUAUUAGUUCCUAUGAUUCCUUCAACUUAAUUGAAUGGGUACGUAUUAAUUUUUCUCUUUUAAUACAAAUUAAAAGAGCUUCUUCAUUUGAGUAUGUAAGGAUUUAUUUAUUUAUUUUUCUUAACGUUCAGGCUGUUCCUGCAAUUCAAAAUGAUUGGCCCAAAGGCAACUAUAAGUUUGUUGAUGAAAAAUUGGGGAGCAACUUUGACGAGGAUGAAAUGGAUCGAAUGAUAGAAUGUGCUUUAGCAUGUGUAGAGCGUUAUCCACAAAAUCGACCAGAAAUGAGUAAGGUAAUUUCAUAAAGCUUUGUAUUCUAUUUUAUAUUAUGCAUAUAUACAUGUGAGUUUUAAAUGAUUCAGCAUUGUGUUAUAUUUUAGUAUUUAGAUAUCAGUAUUUCCAUCACUGCUCAUAAAAUUAUUAUUUUAAAACUAUUAAGAUAACAAUUUAAAAUUGCUAUAAAGAAAAUUUAUUGUAUAUUCAUUAAAAUCAUAAUUUUAAUUCUAUUUUUUAUUCAUUAUGAAAAAAUAAUUAAACCGUUAUUUUAUUAAUUUAUAAUUACAGUUAAAAAUAUAAGAUAAUAAUUUAUAAUUAUCGGCUUAAAUUUAUUUUUAUAAUAAUUAUUAUGAUAAACUAAUAACAUUCCUGUGUUGUAAUCAUACUCUAAUUUGGGGAAGAAAAAAAACUCAAUUGCUAAAAGUUAAAUUUUUUAAGAAUUAUUAAUGAAGUUAGUUUAUUCCAUUUCUUGGCAGAUCCAGUACUUUUUUUUCCUUUUUCUAAUUACUUUUCUCGGCAAAGCAGGUUGUUGAAGUUCUAGCAGGAAACAUUCCUCGGAAAAAUCUCAAGAAUUGAGAUGAAAUGUUUGAAAAGGAAAAUUAUUUUUUUCCUUUUCACUAGAAGUUGGAAACUUCCUUGAAAGGCCGAUUGGACAUUGAAAUAAAAGAUAGACUUCAGUUGAAGUGGCAAAAGGAGUGUAACUGGAAGACUUUCUGAAUUUUGCUUGUAUUGAUCUGUCUUGGAGACUAUUGCAACUAAAAAAAAAAGUUCCGUUUGAAAUAAAUCGAAUGUAAAAAAGUGAUUUAACUUAGAGUAAUUUUUUUAAUUAACUCUUUUUAGUUAAUAAAAUUAAAAUUUUAGUUAUUAUGUUUCUAAAUAUACAAAUUAAAUUAAAUUCUUAUAAAUUUUUAGUUUUCAAACAGGAAAAUAAAAGGUUUUGGAAGGUUUGAAUCCAAAUAAGAACCUUGAGAGAAUUAUAUCACAGCCAAAUUGCUGGACUAUCUACAGUAGCAUUUCUUUUUCAAAAACAAUUGAAAAUGAGGUUACUUCUUAUUUUAUUAAUUAAAAUUUUUAAAAAAAAAUUUUAAAGGAAAUCGAAAUUUGGAUACAUUUAUCAUCGGACGAAAUUUAUAAGUGUAAUAUUUAUUAUGUUUUAAUUAUAAUUUAAGAAUUUAAUAAGCUAAUAAAAUGUAAUUGUAUAUUUAACAUUAUUUUAAUCUUUAAGUCAAAAUCAAUAAUUCAACUCCAACCAUAGGUUAUGGCACUAAUCAAGUAACAGAGAAAAAUAUUUUUAAAGGGAAAUACUUAUUUUUAAUAAAACUAAUUAACUCAGAGUUAGCUUCUUUUAUCAGUUUAUAUGAAUUUUAUUAUAUUAAUAAUAAAAAUAUAUUUGUUAAAUAUGACCAAAAUUUUAAAAAUGACCCUCUUUUAAAUUCCAAUAUUAAUUUAAUUCCAAUAAACUUAUCAUAUUUCUCCUUAUUAUCCAUAAUAAACAAUGACCAAGAUUUUAAAAUGACCCUCUCUAAUUUAAUUCUAACAUUAAAAAUGACCAAAUUUAUUAUCUAUAUUAAACAAUGACCCAGCUUUUUAAAAAUGAUCCUUUGUAGUUUCUUCAUUUAUUAAUAUGCAAGUGGGACAUAAAAAAAUCAUUACUUAAUUAAUUUAGUACGUCCUAUUUUAUAAUACACUGACGAAUCUGAAAGCUGAUUGGCCCCCACAAAUGGAUUAAUUAAUAAUUCAACCUUCUUAAUUAAUGCCGCCUUCAUUGACAGCCUGGGUACUGUUCUGAAACUAACAAUAUAGUAAUCUUACUAUUGCACCGACUCUGCAUAAUUUGUAUUUUUUUAGUACUCCCUACUUUCAAACUUUAAUUUUCGCUAUCGCUGUUUAUUUGAUGAAUUAAAUUUUAAAUUAAAUCGAUUUGAAUAAAUUAAAAAUUUAAAUUUAAAUAUUUAUAAAAAUAAAAUUAAAUUAAUUUUAAUUAAAAAUUAAAUUGAAUUGAAUCGUUGUGAUUUAAUUUGAUUCGAUUUAAUUGAUUUAAAUUUUUAAUAAAUUUUUUAUUUUUUAUAUUUUAUUUUUAAUAUUUUAAAAUUUAAUUAAAAUAUUUUAAUUUUAAUAUAAUCUAAUAUCUUUAUAUUAUUAAACAUAAUAUACUAUUAUCAUUAAUCAAUUCAGUUUGAUUUUUUUAUUUUUUCUGAUCAAAAUUAAAAUAAUUAAAAAUUUUAAAAUUAAAAAUCAAAACAAAUUGAAAUAAAUAAAAAAUUAAAUUAAAUUUUUAAAUUAAUUUAAUUUAAUUAAUUUUUUUAAUUUAAACCGAAUAUUACUCAAUCUAAUUUUUCUCAUUUGCUAUCAAAAUUAAAUAAGAUAUUUUCUUAUUAAAAAAAUAUUAUACACAUGUAAAACAUAUAGGUUAAAUAUAUAUUUUUACAUAUUUAUAUUUUAAUAAGAAAAUUGGCCAACCAGAUCGAUUGGCCAACCAGAAUGAAGAUUGCUUUGGGUAUAGCAGAAGGAUUGGCAUAUUUGCAUGAAGAAUGUGAGGUUUUAACUUAUUUAGUUUUUUUUUUUCCCAAGUUUUCUAUAUUGCAUUUUAUACUUUUUAAUUUUAUGCAUUUUUAGGUAAACCAGGAAUCAUUCACCGAAAUAUUAAAAUUGAUAAUAUUAUUCUCGAUGAUGAAUUUAAUUCUAAGGUAUGAUAAUAUACUCACAGAAGAGAUUUAUAAAAAAUAAUUCAACAGCUAAACAUUUUAUAAUUAAUAUUAAAAAUGUAAAUAAAGUUUACAUUUAUAACUAUUAACUGUUUUAAUUAAUUACAAGUAAUUUUAAUUAUAAAUAAGUGGCCUUUCAAAAUCUUGAUUUAAAAUACCUUCUGUUUAGAAUUAAAAAAAACUUGUAAGAUUCAUAUCAACUUUGAAUUUAAAUUUAACUUAUUAGUUAUAAAUUAAUUUGAAUGACACAAUAAAUUACUUCUAUCAACUUUUUUCUUUUCAGAUUAGAAAUUUUGGAAUUUCCAAAGAAUUUGCGGAUUCAAAAACUCACGUUUCCACUAUCCCAAUGGGAACUCCAGAGUAAGAUUCGUUCUUAUUUGUUUGCUAAAUUUUCUUUCUCAAAGAAAAUUGGUUGAAUUAGUAGUUCUCAUUUGAUAAACACUUUCUUUAAGUGCAGUUAUCUCGCUCCUGAGCAUUACACCCAAGAUGAUCAAAAUAAGAAGCUCACCGAUAAGUCUGAUGUAUUUUCCUUUGGUGUCGUACUUCUAGAGCUGAUUACGGGAAAAUUAGCUGCUUUUGAGAAGGAACGCAGGGAAUAUAUUUUCUUAACUAUUUGGGUACUUAAAAAUAAAGAAUUUGAUAUUUUGUAUAUUCAAUAUUCAAGGGUUUUUUAUUUUUUAUUAUUUUUUCCCUGAUGGAAUGCUUAACUGACCUUUGUACAUCUAUUUUGAUUAUUCACAGGCCGUGCCUCUAUUGAAACAAAUUUUGGAUGCAGACUAUCAAGAUUUGGAUGCUGAAAAUUGUAAAGAAAUUUUUGAUUCCAAAUUACCGAACAAUUUUGAGAAAAAUGAUAUGAAAAAGCUUAUUUAUUCUGCUGCUUCUUGUGUAUAUAAACCUGCAAAGUUACGCCCACAUAUGUGCGAGGUAAAUUCACAAAACCAAACCAGUUAUUUUUGGAUUAUGCUUUGCACGUGAUUAUCAGUAAAAAUAUAUGAAAUAUAAUUUAAAAAAUACGUAAAAAUUAUUUGAUAAUUUUGCAUAUGUUAUUAAAAAUUGGGAGGGUGACUGCAUGUGAUUUUUUGAUGCAGAGAGUUAAAGUACUAAAUGGAGAUAUGGAACCCAAAACUAUAUGGGUGAGAAGUGAUUGCAAGUACCUAUACAAUGGGUCACCUUACGCUCCAUUUCCUCAAGCUCAGGGAACCUCCAGCUCUUGAUUUCUAUCCAAUACAUGAAUUAACCUCCGCCUUGUAAUAAAAAAGUACGUGUUCUUGCUAAAUGCACGUGCUUUUCUAAGGGAUCAAUUAGUUAAUAAGAAUGUGUUCCUUGCUGUUUUUUUUUAAAUAUUAAUAAUGAUUGAUAUUGAAUAAUUUUUUCAUGUAUAUAUAUAUAUAUAUAUAUAUAUUGGCAGAAUAUAUAAUAUCCAUUAAGUAUUAUUUUAAAACAAAGAGAUAAUAAUUUUGACCAAACUGUCAAUUGCUUGAUCCCAUAAGAAGUAUUUCUGCAAAAAGAUUAAAGUAUAUGAGUAGUUAGUAAUUACACAUUUCAUAUUAUAGGUCAAAAUGCUUAAAGAAUUAUGUUUCACCUUGAAUUCCUGCCAAUAAAACUCCUUAGUGUCAUUUGGCACUGUCUUCCAACAGUGCCCUUCUGCGACCAAUCUUUCUUUUAUUAUCAGAGUAAUCCUGCGACUGUACAUCUCCAACGGAUGUAAACUACAUGAACAAUGGUGAGUUAGUAUAGGGUAACAUUGAAAUUAAUCGUAAUUAAGAAAUAAUUAAAUAUUACUUGUUAUUAAUGAGUGAAAUGGUCUAUUGGAAUGACUGUGUGCCGCCUACAGCAGUGGUCGAACCAGCUGAUGCUGGAGCAAAUGCUGGAGCAGAUGAUGAAGUAGAUGCUAAUGCAGAUCCUGAUAACUGAGAGUGAGUUUAGCAUCCAGGCCAUAAUUCUUGUUUAGAUGCAUUUAACAUAUCAUACAGUUUCUGUGCAGCAGAGUUUGACAUCUCAUAUGUAUCAUUAUUUAUUGCAUGAUAGCUUGUUGCAUCCAUGACCAUGUCGUCUAACCAAUUGAAAUUUGGGUGAUUAACACUAUCAGAAAUAUAAGACGUGUCUAAUAGUGCAUCACCAGAUCCGUCAUGCACUUCAGUUUCACCGUGCAAAUACCAAACAAGAUAAUUUUGCACAAAACUAUACUUCAUUAAAUGAUAUUUUACUGUAUUUUCAUCUUGAAAACUACAGUUCUGACACUUAAAUCGAUUGCAAGGGCAGUGAAUCUGAUCACCAUUUAAAUAAUAUGGGCAGUUCUUAGCCUUUUCUAUAAAUUCAUUGAUCCCCUCUAAAUAUCUGGGAUUAAAUAAAUCAUCUCUAAGACAGGCAUACAUCCAACUUCUUUUAGCAGUCAUAUUAACUACAAUAACGAUGUUGAUAUGAAAACAUAAAACUUAUAAACCCUAUCUUCAAACGAAGCCUGAAAAGUAACAAUUAAAUUAUGUAUUAUAUCUAAAAUAUGCAGUAAUUAUAUCAAUUUUCCUUGAGAGGAUAAUUGAUGCAAAAAAUGGAAUAAUAAUACAAAAAUCUGAAUUACAUGAUAAUUAAUUACUAAUAUCUUCAUAAUCACGCGUUUAAUUAAUUAUUAGGUCUGUAAAUUUAUUAAGUGCGCCAAAUUAUUUUAGAGAAGUGCACCUGUAGGUGCACUGGAAAGAAAUCACAAAUUUCAAGAAAUCACAAAUUUCACAAAAAUCAAAAAUUUUAAAAAUAUAAAACAUUUCACAAAAAUUUCACAAGACUGGAAUACAUGAUUAAGACAGAACAUGAAUCAGGUCAAACAUGAAUAAAAAAUCAAUCGGAACAUGAAUCAGGAAGAAAAUAGCGCACCUGUGGACACUGUCUGUCUAGAAUGGCAAGACUGGAGAGAGAGAGAAGGGUUCACUCGUGGACCAUGAUGCCGAGAAAGGGUGCACCUGUAGACGGUGGAUGGCAGGCGGUGGUGAAAGACCCAGAGGUUGGACGCAAAUUCGAAUUUCAGAGAGAUUUUAAUUUUUCAAACAUACGAUUUAGGGAUUUCAGUUAGGAUAUUGUGUAUUUGGGUUUAUAAUUCACUAACGGAUGAUUAGUCUGUUAGUGAAAAAAACAUUAGAUUAAAAAAUAAUAAAAUCACUUACGGAUUUCUAACAGAAAAAAUGUCCGUUAGUAUUUCACUAACGGACUUGUGACAGAUGGUUACGAACGUAUUCUUCACUAAUGAAAAUACUAACGGUUAUGUACUUCCGUUAGUAGAUAAUAAGUUUUCAAUGUUCCGUUAGAGAUAACCGUUAGUAUCAUUAACGGAUUUCAAUCUAUUAGUGAAGUCGGUUAGUGAUCAAUUGAAUUUUUGUAGUGUUUUGAAUACAAAAAUUUUAUAUUUUUUUUCACGACUCCAAUCGUGACUUAGCUGAAAAUUUUCGUAUUGCGUGUAAUACCCAUUAAAAUUAAUCCAAAUAACUUUUAAAUCUAUUUUUUAUUAGACCUAAAAUGAUUAACCCUAUUUAUUUAUUUAUUCAGUGCUUACUAUUAUAUAUAUAUUCUCAUUAUCCCUGUUAUAUAUUUUACCCAUGUGGGAUUGAAAUCUCAACUAAGGAGUAGGCACCACACUAUGAGCCAAAUUUGAUAAAAAAAAAAAAAGUGAAUAUGUGUUGAGAUAGGGUUUAAAUAUAAAUAGCCUUUCAACCAAUUUCAAUAUAAUUAAUCAAGUAAAUUAAAUAUUUUUAAAAAAUAAAAUAAAUGUGUAAUUAUCAAAUAUAUGUAAGGUAUAUAUGGAUAGCUAAAUGUUUUUCCUCUUCCCACGUUUAUUUAUACUAUAUUUUUUAACGUGCCUCUACACUUUUUAAACUCGUUCUGCAUAUUAUUUAUUCAUUUAAAUAGCCAAUUAAAUUUGAUAUUCUAUUAUUAUAAUAUUAAAUUCUUAUAACUAUAAUUUAUAUCUAACUAUAAUUAGAUAGAAAAAUUAUAAUAUAAUAAAAUAAAAAAGGUAUAUUAUUUUAGUUAAUUUUAUUAUUACAAAUAAAAUAUUAAAAAUUUGCAAGUAAAACAUGAAUUUAUUAUUCUUAUUCCUAGGGUCAACCGUCAACGUUAUAUUUUUUUUAAAGGAGAAUCCAAGACUGAACGCUAAAAUUUCCUACAGCUUUCUCUCAUUUCUAUGAUCUAAAUUUAUUAUAAUUAUAAGCAAAAUUCCGUAAAAAAAAUAGAAAGGUGAAAUUGUUAAAAAAGACACAUGAUUUUAUUUGAUAAUGAUAUAUUAUUUUGUAUUUUAAUUGGCUGAAAAAUAUAAAAAUUUAUUAUUGUUUAAAUAAUAAUUUCUUAUUUCAAUUUAAAUUCUAUAAUUUUACAAAGAAUAUAAUAUCACAAAUAAAAUUUUUGAUAUUUUAAAAGCUUGAAUAUUUAUUUAAGAAUUAUCAUAAUCUUUGUUGUGAAAAGAAAAACAUUUUAUUGUAUGAUUUAAUUAAUUUAUAUAUUUUAAUUUUUUUUUGAAAUUUUUCAAAAUAUUUUUUAUAUACAAUCAUUUUUUUUAUCUAAAAUAAAUGGAUCUUUAAUAUUGGUAAAUACGAUAUAAAAUGUGGUAGGACGUAAUAGAUUCAGAAAUUUGAUUAAAAUCCUGCUUUGUUCUUUUUAAGUGAAAGAAUAUUGAGAAAUUUGAUUACUAUAAAAUAAAUUUAAAUAACUUUUUAUAAAAUUAUUUAUGAUUUUAUUUUUAUAUAUAAUAAAAAAAUUUAAAAUUAAAAAAUUUUGAAUUCUUUUAUUUUAAAUAAAAUUUUAUAAAAAUAACUUCAAUUAAAUUAAAUUUUUAUAAAAUUUUUAAUUUCAAAAUGGAAGGUUAAAGUAUUUUAUUAGAAUUCAAAGUCUUGUGGUCCAGGUCUUUUAUUAUUCUUAUUAUUAUUUUUUUGUUCUGUUUUAUUAGAAAAUGUUAAUUCUAGAAGGCUGAAUAAUCAACGAUUGGACAUGCUUCCAUCUCAUUGGAUAGAUAGUCACCUUACGAUCCCAGCUCCAUAAUAAGGGGAGAUAUUUUAUCAUAGGACACGGCUUCAAAGCUCAAUAUCUUUCACACUUGUAAAUUAGUGCUUUUUUAGAUUUUAGUUUUUUAAUCUUACCAUGAAUUUUUAUUGUGCUUAUUUAACUGCAGCUAUGUAGCUACGUAUAUCCAUUCGCAAUAUUUCUAAUAAAUCAGAUUUUAUUUAUUUGAUAUUAUAUUUUUUAAAUUAAUUACCGAAAGAAUGUUCAUAGAAAAUGGUGUUGAUAUUGGAAAUUAGAUAUGUAAUAUACAUGUAGCAUACUCUAAAAAUUUAUGAUACUUAAUUAUAUAAGUAAAAGAUUUUUUUCUAUUAAUGCUAAAAAGGUAAAAAAAUAUAUAUAUUUAGUAUCUAAAAAGUAAAAUAAAUAUUCACAUACAACUUCUAUUUAUAUUAAUACAUUUGAAAUUCUAGUCUAAACUCAACUUAAUAAAAAUAUAUAUUUUUUAUUAAAUAUCUUACAGACAAAAUCUCGAAUUAAAAAAAUUUUGAUCGAAUAAAUUGUAGCUUUUGUAAAUUCUACAUUGAGGUUUGAUCACAAAACAAUAUAUUGAAUGAUUUUCUAUAUUGAUGCUUGUAUAAGUAACCCUUUAAAUUUUCGCCUAUCAGUAAAGAAAAAAAAAAUUUAUUCAUGUAUUGUAUUAAUAAUUAGUAAUAUAUAAAAUAAUUUCAUGGUUAUUAUGUCAUAUGGAUACUUCUAGCUUUCGAAGAAAUUUUAUAUUCUGGUGAAUUAUGUCACAAAAAGGUGUAGAUUAUAACUGUUUAGUUUUAACUUUAUUUCAGAAAUCUCACCAAUUUUAAUUUUUUAAAAAUUAAAAAAUUAUUAUAUCUGAAAUAAUUGUAAAAAAAAAUAAAAUAAUUUAUUUAUAAAAUAUACUGCAGAUGUAAAAAUAUGAUUAAUUUUAUUUUAAAAAAAUAAAAAUAAAAAUAAUUAAAUUAAUAUAUUACAUUCUUAAUAAUAAUAAAAAUAUAAAAAAAUUUAAUUAGUAUUAUAUUCAAAUCAAAUACAAAAAUUAAGAAAGAGAAUAUAAAAUUAGAAUUAAGAUGUAUAAUUGGAUACAAGAUAAUUAUUUAUUAAUUAAUUUAUAAAAAAUUAUAUAAAAUAUCCAAACCAAUCCAAUUGGUUGGUUUAAAUUAGGUUGGAUUUUGUGAUUCGACCUGAAGACUAAUAGCAACAAAUAAUUUUAAAAUUAAUUAAUUAAUGAAUGAAACGUCAUCAUUGAUUCUGAAAGAUGGAAAAGUUUAUCUUUCAAUUCAAAUUAAUUAUCCAUUGAUAGAGUCAUUAUCAUGAGUGUAGACAUUCAUAUACUGUAUGAGAGAUCAACCUCAUCUUCUCCGUUGUCUUAAAAAAUAAUUUAUUAAAAAACACCAACUUAAUUGUUAAUUUAUAUAACUUUUAUAUUUUAAAUAUUCUUUUGAUUAAAACAAAAAUAACAUUUUUUAAAUUAAAUUUAUACUAAAAAUUCAUAUAUAUUUAAUAUAUAAAUAUGAUAUAAUUCAAUAUUUAUUCAAAUUAUAAUAUACGGUGAUAAUUUUUUUUAAUCUAAAUGAUAAUAUGUUCGUAAUUAGAAAAUUCGAAUAUUCAGAUUUAAGUGUUCUCACGAUGUUUACCAAAAUAUUUGAUUUUACGAUGGCAAAGUCUCCUUGAGGCUUAUUUCUCACCGGUAAGGAUUAUUAUAAAUCAACCAUCAAAAAGUUUUUUUUUCAAAGAUUUUGAAUUACAAUAAAAAUUAUUAUAAGAAUUUAAACCAAAAAAAUGAAAAUUUUGAAAUUUAUACACUCAACAAUUAAUUAAAUUAAUAAAAUUUAGAUUAAAUUACUUUGAAUUUUUUAAAAAAUUUUAAAUUAUCUAUCUAAUAAAAUUAUUAUUUUUUAUUAAUAGUCAAAUAGAAUUUAACUAAAAUUAUCUAUUAAAAUAAUAUCAUCAAUAAAACUACAAGAAUAUUUAAAUAAUAUAAUACAAUAAUUAUUUUAAAUAUUUUGUUUAACUUUUUAAGCAUUUAGAUGAUAUUAAAAUUAGAAUAUUUUUUAAAAUUAAAACAAUCUCUUUUGAAUAUUAUUUUAAACUCAUCAAAAAAAUUAAAAUAAUCUCAUUAAUAAAACUAUAAAAAUAUUUAAGUAAAUUUAAAGUAUUCCGUUGCAUUCAUAUAUAUAUAUAUAGUUUUUAUAAAUGUCCUCAAAAUUUUCAAGGUAAACAUGCUUAACGAAUUUUUAUAUUUUGAAAAUAUUGCACCAUUGUUUUAUAAGUUUAAUUAUUAUUAAUUAAAUAUAUGCUUUUCAUAUAUAAUUAAUCAAUUUGGGAUGUGAUACCAUAGACGAAUUUUGCGCAACAUUCUCCACUUGAAUUUCUUUCGAUAAAAUUACCGCUAUUCCUUUUUUUUCCAUCAUAUACUAAAGUGGUUGUACAUGUAGGAUUGUCUGCAUGCUACAAUAACUCAAUAAAAAAUUAAUAAUUAUAUAAAUAUAGCAUAAUAAUAGAUGAAUAAAUAAUAUUUAAAAGUUUGUAGUCCACCAGAGUCUAAUACACAAGCCUAUCCUUUAACAUGCUACUCAAACUAUGCUCGGAUAGGCCGAGCAGAACGAGACUUGAGCCCAACGGAGAAGGAUCCAGCUCACCUUAUUUGAUGGGUCCGUGAAAAAUAGACCCCUUCACAUCUAGAACCAUGUCAGCAUGGACGCCGGAGGGAAUUAAUUAGCUACCUGACGAUGGAGAAAAAGGGUAGUACGUCCAUACAUACAGUUUUGUAUGAUUGCAGCAUGUGACACUGUAGUAAGGUGACAGUUAUACGUCAUUAAAGGAUAAAAAGAAAAAAAGAAUAAAGGAAAAAGACGUGAACUAUUCAGACUAAACUUACAUACACAUACCCAAAACUCUACCCUCUUCUAGAUCUCAUAUCAUAACUGGCGUCGUCUGUGGGAACGGAGGAGAUCUUUUCAUCACUAGAGUUCUCAUCUUGGUUACACUCACUGAGAUUCACAUGGUGAAUCAUGAUAAAAAUCACUUUGGAAAUACCCCAAAUGACCUAAGUUCCACCUAUGAAAGUCAACAGUUUUCAUUCUCCAAUUCUACGGCCUCAUCAAACCAAUCACCUGCAUUGUUUCACCCCUCGCUGAACUCGGCAGGAAACAUGUCUAGAACCACUCUUUCUGACCAAGAACUACAAAAUAUGGCUAUCCAACUACAGAAUACAGCUCACUGGCUGGAGCAAAUAUUACAGCAAAGGGGACUCAACACCCUAUUAAGUGUACCACCUAUAGCCGAGGGCUUCAACGUUAAUGAGUUCCAGCCUACCUUGAAUCACCAAGUCCCUCAGCAAAGCAGUAGGAGGAUAAGCGAAGGAGGCGAAGAGGCUUGCAGAAGAAAUGAGUCAACAGCUAGAACAAGGGCCUGAAUGAUUAGGGAGCUCAUCGAAAACGACGAAGUCAAGAGCUAUUCCUCCAAGAAGAUAGGAGGAUCGAAAAGUGAAGAGUUGGAAAGAGGCUACCGCUUGGAGAAACGGCCGAGAAGGGAAGAGGUGGAUGUGGACUAAAAGCUGGAAAGGUUGAGGAAGCAACUCUUGCCAGAACUGGGGGCACGAGAUAACAAUAACCCCCUGAUACCUAUCUCAUUACCGUUCGCGAGAUGGGUACAACAGGAGACUACUGCUAAGAAAUUCAUGAUGCCGCCGAUGACUGCAUCCGAUGGCAUGGGAAACCCCCGAGAAUAUGUCCUAAACUACAAAAUGUUUAUGGAGCUCUAGACCCAUUCUGAUGCUCUAAUGUGCAAGGUCUUUUCUACCACCCUCACCGAACCAGCCCGGACAUGGUUCAACAACUUAGAAGUAGUGGGCAUUAAGAGCUUCAUGGACCUGGCAAGUGUAUUCAUUAGCAGGUUCAUUGUAGGGGGUCCCGGCGGAAAGAAAAAUGAGCUACUUAAAGAUAAUCGGACAAAGGAGGAAUGAGUCUUUAAAGGAGUACAUAGCUAAAUUCAAUUUUAAGGCCCUACAGAUCCCUAAGCUUGAUGAGGCUAGAGAGGAUAGAGGCCAUGCAGAAAGGGACAACAUCCCAGGAGUUUUUUUGGCUCAUUAUGCAAAAAGCCACCCACUACCUUGGCCGAACUGAUGAAAAGGGUUAACAAAUACAUAAGGCAGGAUGAUGCCCUGACCACCAGUAGGUUUACCAGGGAAAUGGGAGAUAGGAGGAAAGUAGUAGAGGACAGACGACCUGAAAGGCAGGAGAGAAGACAGAAUUGGGGGCCCGAAGCAUUGAACAAGCACCAAUGGGAGAGGAAAGAGCAGAGGCUAUACCAACUCCUGAUUCCCGAGCUAAUCACUCUUGAAUGUGUCUAGGGCAGAGGUGCUUGUGGCUGUACAGGAUAAAGACUUUAUACAAUGGCCCAAGCCUAUGAAAGCCAAAGCCAGCCGAAGAGAUCCGAACAAGUACUGUCAAUACCACUGGACUUAUGGCCAUGACAACAAUGACUACUAUCAGCUGAUAAAUGAAAUAGAAAGGCUCAUUAAAAAGGGGCAUCUCAGGAACUUUGUGAAGAAACCAGAGGGACAGAGACCUCAGCAAAAUGCAAUGGCAUAGAGGCCUCACAGGCAGAUAAGAGGACUUGUGAAUGAUGACUCCAGUGGGAUGAUCAACAUGAUUGUGGGAGAAUCUGAGAUAAGAAUGAGAAGGAGGAGAAAGAAGAGGACCAGGAGUGGAGAAGGAAGUAGUGCCGAAAUCAUGUAGAUAGUGGAACAGUACCCUGUGACCAUCUCUUUCUCUCCAGAAGACGCCCAUGGAAUCCAAAUGUCUCAUGACGAUGCCCUGGUUAUUGAGGCCGUCAUUCACAACUUUCAGAUCCGCAAAGUCUUGGUGGACGAUGGGAGUAAGGUGAAUCUGCUACUUUACCGGGUCUUUCAAUAAAUGAACGUACCUGAAGUACAACUGGUCAGGGAUCAGGCCCCGGUUAAGGGGAUAGGUGGAACCCUCGUGGCAGUAAAAGGGAAAGUGAAAGUAGCCUUGAUGCUAGGAGAGCCACCCCUGUCCCGCACCCACUAUGCAUUAUUCCUUGUGGUGAAGCUGCCUCUGAACUAUAGCGCUAUUUUGGGAAGGCCGAUACUAUACGACUUCAAGGUUGUGACCAGUAUCCGGUACCUAACCAUGAAAUUCCCCACGGAGUUAGGGGUGGGCAUAGUGCGGGGAAGGCAGGAGGAGGCUUGAGCUGUAUAUUUGGCCACUAUGGAAGAACCGAGCACCCUGCCAGAAGAAAUAAACCAGGAGGUCAUGGAGGUCCAAAAUGAGAAAAAGGAAACCGGGAUAGAGCCAGUUGAUAAGCUGGAGACAUUCCCACUAUUUGAGGAGGAAAGCGACAAAGUCUUCAGUAUUAAGAGAACCUUGGAAAAGACUAAAAAGAGAUAGCAAUGACUCUUAUCGGAGGGCAUGCCUCAGGAUUUGCCUGGAGGCUUUCAGACAUGUCGGGGAUAGACCCUGAGGUGAUGAUGCACAAAUUGAAUGUCCUUCCUGAAGCCAAACUAAUAAAAUAGAGGAAAAGAGUGUUUGGGAAGGAGAAGCAACAAGCUACAAGAGAAGAAGUGCAAAAACUGGAAGAGGCAGGAUUUAUUAGGGAAGUCAUAUACCCAUAGUAGUUAGCCAACCCUGUGCUAGUCAAAAAGGCCAAUGGAAGUAUAGAAUGUGUAUAGACUUUACCGACCUAAAUCAGGCUUACCCAAAAGAUUGUUAUUCCCUUCUCGAUAUUAAUAAAAUGAUCAAUUCUAUGGCCAAUUUUGAUUAUUUGUCAUCCUUAGAUGAAAUAUCAGGUAUCACCAAAUUCCUAUGGACAGGUCGGAUGAAAAAAAUACGUCCUUCAUAACUGAAGAUGGGACAUAUUGUUACAAGGCUAUGCCGUUCAGACUAAAAAAUGUCGGGGCAACAUACCAACUAUUAGUGAAUAAAAUCUUCAAGGAUUAGGUAGGGAGAAAUGUGGAAGUAUACGUAAAUGACAUGGUAGUAAAAAGCCAAACCUUUCAACAACACCUAGCCAACCUGGAAGAGAUAUUCAGGAUACUGCAGCAGUACAAAAUGAGAUUGUACCCAACAAAGUGUGUAUUCUUUAUCAGGGGAGGAAAUUUCUAUGCUACAUGGUCAGCAAAAAGGGCAUAGAGCCAAAUCCAGAAAAAGUAGAAGCCAUAUUAAGAAUGCUCAAACCGACCUGUGUGAGAGAUGUGUAGAAACUUACAGGAAAAGUGAUGGCGCUCAAUCAAUUCAUGUUGAAGUUAGCUGAAAGAUGUUUACCAUUCUUCAAGAAGUUGAGGAAAGUUUUGAACUUUGAACGGGCAGAAGACUACUAAGAAGCCUUUAGAAAUAUCAAGCAAUAUCUCAGUUCUUUGCAUGUACUUAGUAGCCCUUUAGUUGGGGAGGAAUUUCUGAUAUAUUUAGCCGCCUCUGAAUAAGCUGUAAGCGCAGUAUUGGUGAGGGAUGAAGGUGGGACGCAUAAUCUUAUUUUCUAUGUCAGUAAGUUGCUCAAGGAUGCCGAGGUCAGGUAUAUGAACAUUCAGAAAUUGUCGUUUGCCUUGUUGCUGGCGGUAAGGAAGUUCAGAGUAUACCUAGAAUGCCACCAAAGGAUAGUGAUGACUGACCAACCUUUAAAGAAAAUGUUACACAGACUUGAGACCUCGGGGUGGAUGCUAGCCUGGUCUGUUGAAAUUAGCCCAUAUUGCCUCAUUUAUCGACCUCGGGCUGCCAUCAAAGCCCAAGCCUUAGUUGCCUUCAUAAUUGAGUGCUCUUUUAGCUUAGACCAUCAGGAACAAAGUGAGAGGUUAUCGAGCUCAGCCAAAGAGAAGGAAGGGGACCAACAACCGUGUGAGCUCAAAUGGGACCUAUUCAUGGACGGAGCAUCCAGCGCUGUGGGCAGUGGGGCAGGGAUACUUUUGAAAGGACCAUAUGGAUUCAGGGUGUGCUGUGUUUUGCAUUUAGAGUUCCCAGCAUCCAAUAAUAUGGUAGAGAAUGAAGCCCUCAUGGGGGCAACCGACCUGAAAAUAAAUAGUGACUCCCAGCUUGUGAUCAACCAAAUAACAAGGGUAUACCAGGCAAAAGAUCUCGUCAUGCAAAAAUAUAUGGCCAAGUUCCAAGCUGUAGAGGUCGAGUUCGUUGAGCAGGGGAUUGUUAUACAGUAUCAAAGAAUGCCUCGAGAGGAAAAUGAAGAAUGUAAUACCCGGCUAGAAUCCGGCACCGGAAUGCCUAUUGUCAGGUGGAAUCCGGGGUGUUGGGAUUCUAUAUAAGGGGAGGAGUUAUGUUUUCUAAGUGUUAUGAUGUGUUUUCUGGGUUUACAGUGUGAUAGUUUUGAGUUGCAAUGAACCAAGGCAGAGGAGCCAAGUUCGGCCGCCGAAGAUAAGUUCGGCCGCCGAAAGUGCCCCAUGUUCGGCUUCCGAAGGUACGUUCGGCCCCCGAAUGUUGCAUGGUUUUGCAUGCGAUUCGGCAGCCGAAAUUGAGUUGGCCAGCCAGCUGUUGGGCAUCCUUAGUCAGCAUUUUGGACAGGUGUUAUCACCAGAUCAUGUCCAGAAGUUGGCCACGUCUCCUAUGCUUUAUGUGCUAAGUUUGAGCAGCUCAUGCAAGAGGUUGCUCGUUUACCAAGUUGUGAAGGUUUUGAAGCAAAAAGUGAGGUUGAGAGAGUUUGAGAGUGUGAGAAGAGUUGGUCCGUUUUCCCUUGUUCAGAGUGUUUAGCUUCUUGCUUCAGGAGGUAAGUGAUGCUCUUGACUAGGGUUUUAUGUUUUCUGAAGGUUUUAUGGGAGUUGGGGAGAGAGAGAUGCAUGUUUAGGGAGUUAAUGGGAGAUUUGAUGCUUUAUGCAUGUAUUCCUGAUUAUGUGUUAUGUUUGUUUUGUUGUUUGGGGUUGUUAGAUAGUUUUGGACCCCUGUGACCAUAUACAUGAGUAUAUGUGAGUGGAAUAGAGGAGGUAGGCAUGUUUGGAGAGAUUGAAGGGAAGGAGGAGAUGGUUUGCCGUGGAAGCUGAGUUCUGGAUGAACUCAGGUUCGGCAGCCGAAGGAUCAUUCGGCCGCCGAACCUCCUGCAUGGUGACUUGGUUGCCACAGCUUGCCCCCGAGUGUUUUUGCAUGUUCGGCUCUGUUUGGGGGAUUCGGCCGCCGAAGGUGCCGCCGAAGGUGCUUGAGUUUCAUCUCUGGAGAGGACAUUCGGCCGCCGAACCUGCCGCCGAAAGUGUUCUGUCCAGCUUUUCUUUUGCAUGCUUUGCAUGGCUAGUUAAGUGAGUUUCAGGGGAUUCUUGGGGAGUUUAAUAGAGGUAUUGAUAAGUUAGUUUGGUCCCUCAUUUGAGUCUAUCUGUAUAGGUACAGACCAGAGGAACCAGAGAGAGCAGCAGUGAGUACUGCUCCAGAGUUUCAGAGCCUGCAGAGUCAGUCAGUCCAGAUAGCCGGAGGUGAGUGGAACUAAACUUAUGACUUUUAAUUGAACCACAAACUGCUUUUAGCAUAUCUCAUGCAUCAUGUUUAUGCCAUAGGGUGAUUGCAUUAGUAUCCACGAAUAUGUUGCAUUGCAUUGUUAUUUGAUGAUGUGAGGAAAUGCUGAAUGAUCCAAUAGUCUCAGACAGGAAGUCCAGGAGCCUUUGACUACGCCCUGGCAGGUAUAGAGAAGUCCAGGAGCCUUUGACUACGCCCUGGCAGGUAUAUAGUAAAGUCCAGGAGCCUUUGACUACGCCCUGGCAAUGUUACAAAGAAGCAUACCUUCUCAGCAAGCUGUCCAAAGAAGAACUAGAACAACUCCCAGACAAAGUGUACAUACAACACAUUAAUGCCCCUACUUAUGAAAAAUCAGCCCCAAUCAUGCAGAUCGGAGAGGAAAGGAGCUGGAUGACUCCCUAUUUGGAGUACAUGGAGGCAGGAAAGUUACAUGAGGACAAAGCAGAAGCAAGAAAGAUUGUACCUAAGGCUGUAAAUUAUCAAACAGUAAGGGGGACCCUGUACAAAAGGGGAAAAUCUAGCCCGAGGCUAAGGUGUGUGGACCUGGAAGAGGCGGCCGAAAUUGUUAGGGAGAUACAUCGAGGAGUUUGUGGAGUCCACGAAAGAGCAACCACGUUGGCAAACAAAAUAUUCCGGCAAGGGUAUUACUGGCCCACAGUUAAGAAGGAAGCAGAAGAGUUUGUCAGAAGAUGUGAUGUAUGCCAAAGGUCUGCUAAUGUCAUUAACAGCUCGACCACGCCACAGUUAAGUAUAUCUAGCCCUUGACCAUUCACCCAGUGGGGGAUCGAUAUACUGGGUCCUUUUUCAAAGAUGGUGGAGAAGAAGAGGUUCGUGAUAGUGGCUGUGGAAUACUUCUUCAAGUGGCCAGAGGCAAAAGCUGUACCCAAUAUCACAGCUCGCAAGGUGAUAAACUUUGUCUGGGGCAACAUCAUAUGCCAAUUUGGGAUAUCGAGGAUGCUCAUAUCAGACAAUAGCAAGCAAUUUGACUGCAGAUCCUUCAAGGACUUCACAAAAAAUAUGGGCAUAUGGCACAAGUUUUCUUUGGUAGCCCACCCUCAAACAAAUGAUCAAACAGAAGUAACGAACCAGGGUAUCCUCCAAGGACUAAAAAAAUGGUUGGAUAGAGCUAAAAAGAAUUGGCCAGCCGAGCUAAACAAUAUCCUAUAGGCAUUUCGGACUACCCCUCAGAUGCCGACGAGAGAGACUCCGUUUGCAGUAGCAUUCGGGACUGAGGCUGUAUUUCCCAUAGAGCUGCAGAUCCCCUCUCACCGAGUUCAGUUCCAUGAUGAGAAUACCAAUGGAGAGAAAUUGAGGAGUAACUUGGAUGCCCUGAGGAAGUCAGAGAAGAGGCUCAAAUAAGAACAACUACUUAUCAAUAGAAGGCAGCACGAUACUACAAUCAGAAGGGUCGCAAGAGGAGCCUAAAGGUUGAAGACUUGGCCCUGAGAAGAUUAGACGCAACGAGAAAGAGAACACAUGUGGGAAAAUUGGUGCUAACCUGGGAAGGCCCCUUCAGGAUAGCUAAAGUCGUCAAGCCCGGGGUGCACCGAAUUGAAGACCUACAGGGGCACUCAGAGCCUCACGCGUGGAAUAUCCAGCACUUAAAUAGGUAUUUUGCAUAAGAAAGAGCAUAAUAUAAAACCAUGUCCUUUGAAAUAUGAAUAAAAAUUGUUGUUUCUCCUUUUCUAUUUAGCAUUCCUAAGAGCAGGUAGAGAAGACCCAAGUGAGGUGGAUGACCGGUCUCGGAAUAUGACCAUCGACACCAAAAAACCGGUUGAGGGGAAGAAGACCCCAGUGAGGUGGGUGACCGGUCUCGAAAUAUGACCAUCGGCACCAAAAAACUGGCUGAGGGGAAGAAGACUUUAGUGAGGUGGGUGACCGGUCUUGGAAUAUGACCACCGGCACCAAAUAACUGGCUGAGGGAAAGAAGACCCCCGUGAGAUGGGUGACCGGUCUCGGAAUAUGACCAUCAGUACCAAAAAACCGACUGAGGGGAAGAAGACUCCAGUGAGGUGGGUGACCGGCCUCGGAAUAUGACCACGACACUACAAAAUCGAUUGGAAAAAAAGAAGACCAACAUAAGAAAAACGACAUUAAACAAAGGCCAUGAGCCUCCCAAAGAAAAAUUGAGCAAUAAAUAGUCGACCUAAAAUAGAACUUUGGCUUAAUUAAGACCCAGCAAAUAAGGAAAAAUCGGAUCCCAAGAAAAGAUCUCAGAACACCCAGGAAUGAUGGAUAAAAAUUUGAUUUCGACCUCGCCUAAAGGAUCGGAACACAGAACCACGAAUCAUAAACUCAAAUCCGACCUCAUUGAGGGAUACAGAUUUCAAUAACAUCAGAAAGGCCUAAAUCCAAAUCAAUUAAAAGGCUCGAACUACAGGAAAAAGAGGUCCCAAUACCAUAAAAAUGAGCUCAGCCCACUUAAAGUCCUUAGGCAAAUAAAGGGUAAAUCAGGAAAAUCCAGCCGAACGAGCUCACAAGCUAAACAUGAGAAAAAAACCUAAGUAUAAUAUAACCGAGCUCACAGCCCUAACGAGCUCGUAGGCUAAACAUGCGAAAAAAGUCUAAGUAUAAUAUAACCGAGCUCAUAGGCUAAACAUGCAAAAAAAGUAAUGCAAACGAGCUUACAGCCUAAGUAAAGCUCACAAAGCUAAAUACAUAAAAAUAUCUUAAGUGCAUUAAAACAAGUAAGCCAACAAAUUGGCAAGGCUUGCAGGCCGUGUGUGCAGAAAUAGCUUAAGUAAAUGGGUUAAGCGAGCUGAGAGGCUUGGCCGUUGCUUAAGUACAAAAGGGUAUAAACAUAAAUAAACCAAGUUCAAAGGGGCCAUUAGCUCGGAAAAAAACGCAGAAACUACACAUCCCGAAAUUUUUUAAGUAGGCAAGCAAAACACACGUUAAAGUCAAAAUUUACGAGCUACCAGCCUAAUAAAAGUUCACAAGCGAUUCAUACAAAACAAUUUAAAUAUAAAGUGAUAAAUAAAAUAGACACGAAUAAGUCAAGGAAAAAUAUAAACUUUAUUGAUUAUUUGAAUGGGUUAUAGAGGUAGCAGAGGAGGGGGAACCAAAACUAACUAAGUCAUUUAAAGAUUUGUCCACAGCAUCCUCUCCCUCAGGUCUGGAGGGCAAGCGAGGAGCACCUUUGAGCAAAGGAUUGUCGUCCUCUCCAUAACGCACCUCUUCACCAUCAGAGUCCAUUUUUGGAGCUCGUAGGUCCGCCAAUGGAGUGGAGGGGGCAUCCCUAGUAGACUUCAAGCCCUGGUUAUAGCCUGAGGCAAAAAUUUGAAAAGCCUUCUUAUAUAUAGCCUCCUGCAUAGGCCUUAUACUCCUCUAGUUGUGCUUCGCAGGCAAGAUGAAUUAUAUCUUUAAGCUCCAAAGAGUUUUUAUACUAUUGUAGGCACUCCUCGCAAGCCCGCUGGACCCUAUCCCUUGCGGCUCAGGCAUCCUUCAACAAGGCAGAACAUCUCUUCUCCAGAGCAGUGACUUUUUGGUGGAGUUAUUGUUGCUGAAGGUGAGACUCCUCCGCUGCCAAGGCCAUGCCUUUCAGGUCCUCGAUGUGUUUAUUGAGCUCCUAUUGGAGGACUGCAACGCGAGCUAUGGCCUCAUCACGCUGGUCCCUAGCCUCAUCACGCAAGUUGACGACCGGACUCCUCUAAAGAGGACAACUAUGAUAAGGCAUCGUCUCAUUGAGACUCAGCUGCAGAAGCUCGGCGGGAAGCUGACGGGAAGCCCGGGCGGCCUCCUCUUUCAUAUUCCCCAGCUUGAGUAAGGUCCUUAAUGACUCCUUUCAGCUCGACAAUGUAAUACCCGGCUAGACUCCGGUAUCGGAAUUCCUACCGUCCGGUGGAAUUUCGAGUGUCGGAAAUCUCUAGAAGGGUAAAAUCAUGUUUUUAUGAAAUGUUUUAAUGUAUUUUAUGGUUUUAAGUAAAGAGAAAGUGAGUUUUUGCAUGAAAAUUUAUCUUGGAGGAAAACCCAGGUUUGGCCGCCGAACCUCAAGUUCGGCCGCCGAACAUGCAUGCACUUCGGGAGUGCUUUAGGCCCCCGAAGGCAUAAGUGAGGAAAGCCCAGGUUCGGCCGCCGAACCUUAUGUUCGGCCGCUGAACAUGGCAUGCAUGCGGAGGCACGUUAGGCCCCCGAAAGUGGCCUGGCCAGCCACCUAUAAAGGGGUCCCUGCCGAAAAUGCCGAAACAGGCGAGCUUUCUCCCCAUUUUUGGCCAAGUGAGCUUCCGUCAUUUUCCCUUGCCGAUCUAGUGUUCUUCCUUCAAAUCCCCACUGUUUUCUUGAGUUUUUAACUUUGCAUUGAAGUUUUUUUGAGCUAAGAGCAAGUUGUGAGGCUUGAAAGACUCAGGAGCUCAUUUCUUUGGAUCUCCCAAGUUAGGUCGUCUCUCUCUCGAUCUUCAAGAGGUAAGAGCCGAUCUUAAGCUCAUUUUAUGUUUUUAACAAGUUUAAGUUGAUUCAUGGGGUAGAAAUGCAUGUUUAGGAUAGUUGAGCUUUGAUAAGGUUUAUGUAGUUUUAUGGACAAUGUGUGUUGGAUAUGCAUGUUUGAUGUGUUGUAGUUGGGGUUUAGGAUAGUUUGAGACCCCUAGGUGUUGAUGUAUGAGUGUAUGCAUGUUUUGAGAGGUUUGGAUGCAUGAUUGAAUGUUUUGGAGGCAAAUGUGCAUGUUGGAGCAGAGUUUCUGCCCAUUUGAGAAACUCAGGUUCGGCAGCCGAAAGGACUUUCGGCUGCCGAACCUGCCAGUGAAGGCAAGCCCUUCGGCUGCCGAAGCCUGUCCCUGAAAGUGGACUUUCGUCUCUGGAGGGGACUUUCGGCCGCCGAAGGUGCCGCCGAACAUGCAUGAGUUUCGUCUCUGGAGGGAACCUUCGGCCGCCGAAAGUGUUGCCGAAGGUGCAUGACUUUCAGCUCUGGAAGGACUUUCGGCCGCCGAAGGUGCCGCCAAAAGUGCCCUGUUCAGCCAUUUCUUACAUGUUUUCUAUGAUUGUUUCUAGGUGUUUUUAGGGGGUUUUUGGGGGAAUGUUUAGACUAUGUCAGUAUAUGUUUGGUCCUUCAUCUGAGUCUACCUGUGUAGGUUCGGACCCGAGGAACCGAGGAGGUCAGCAGUGCUAGCUGCUUCAGAGUCCUUAGAGCAUCAGCCAGAGGUGAGUAGAACAGAACUUUGACUUAAAUUUUAAUAGAAUGUUUAGCAUGACCCCAUGCAUCAUAAAUGCCAUGCUUAUGUAGGUUGUCUUGCACUAGUAUUCACGAAUAUGAUGCAUUGCAUUUUUAUUGUUGAUGUGGAUGGAUGUUGGAUGACCCACUAGCUCUCAGUAUGUAACCUAGAAAGUCCAGGGCUGCCCAUGCCACGCGUCCGGGCAAAUGCAUGAUUGUUUAUGAGAAAUGAGUGUUAUUGGUGACAAGUCCGUCCUUGAUGUGAAAUGUCUGUGUUAUGAUGCAUUCCAUGAAAGCAUGAAUAAUUAUAAUGUUUUAUGGUUCUGCUCACUGGGCUUUUUAACUCACCCCAUUCCCUUAACCCCACAGGUUUGCAGGUACGAGGCAGUCAGGGAAGUCAACUAGAAUAGCAAGGUUUCUUGGUUAUGUAAUAGUUUAGAUGUGGACAUGAUAAGUUGUAAUGUAAAAGUAUUAUGUAGUUAUGGGAUGUAAAAAUGUUAUAGAGGUUUAAAAUUGGUGCUUGACCCUAGUAUGUUGUAAAUCCCCUUUUAUAUACAUGAUCUUUAUAUUAUGAUGUUUUGAUAGACCAAGCUUAAAGUAUGUUAUGAUAUCGCAUUGGAGCAUUUGAUGAGGGCUCCAGUGUGUGGUUUAUGCUUAUGUUGAUGUGCAUGCACAGGUUAAGCUUGGCAAUAGGAAAAGAAAAAGUUUAUAUGUUUAUGAUAUGUAUGAUCAUGUAUGGGAUUAAACAGGUUUACAGGUUUAUGUUGGCUUGCUACGGGUCCCGGCGACCUUAUGUCGAACUGGAUCCUAGCGCCGGUAGCGGUCCGGAUUUCCGGGUCUUUACAGACAAUUUGCCCUUGUUCCUCACCAGUGGCAGUAAUAUUCUCGUCCCUGCACUCCUCAGUGAUGCGCUGCACCAUCGAGCUCUAGAAUGACCAGUUUUGAGCAUCGAUCUCGAUAAACACUCCGAAAGCCUGCCACAAAGAAAGAAAAAGACAGAGUUAGAAAAAUCAAGGGAGAUAUAAGUAUUCUCAAGAAAAACACAAUAGCUUACCAUAAGGAGCAUCUCCCUUAGGCUAUCUUCGAGGUCGUCUAGGGAGCAAGCACUGAAUGUUGCUUGCUGCAUAGUGGAGCAGGCAAGGUGGCUGACGAAGGCUAGGAAGUGAGGAUCUAAAGCGUUUGGAGCACCACCAAACAUUUUAUUACAAAGCUCCUUGGUGGUUGAAGCUGGUGUAGAUUCAAGAGUCACAUCGGCAUCGUUGAGGGAUUCAUUGUCAAGGGCUGAGGAUAGUAGCUCCACAACCCUUUUUCCUUUGUCAGCAGAAGGGGGAGGCACGGUCUUGGCAGGAUCUGCGGCCUGAGCCCUAUUAGCAGCUCUACCUUCAGGAGUGGGCUCAGAAGUCCACGCCCGCUUACCGGUGGCCCCUCCAAUCACAACAGCAGUGAUGGUCUGAAGAGGUUGGAUGUCCAAAGGAGCGACCUCAGCACCUCCCUUAGAACCGCCCUUAGCAGAUUCACUGAUGGUGGUAGGCUCCUUGGAGGUCCGCUUAGGAGCUGCCAGGGACUUGGCCAAGGCCGACGCAUUGGCAGGAACAAAGGCCUUUGAAGUUGCAGAACGAGAGCCUUUUGUAGUAGAUGUCAACGCUAGAGCAGGGGCAGAAGCAAGAGUUCGGCUUGCAGAGGUAGGGGCAAUAACCUGGAAAACCUCACGAGUCAUGUCCGCCACAGACUUACCGGCCUUGAAGGCUUCCAGCGUGGCCUUCAUGCUCUCCCUAGAUAGGGUAAAAUUCUUCGGCAAUUUGAGGUUGUCCAUGGGCGAGGCAAAAGCUAAAAAAGAGAAAACAAUACAAGUCAGAACUCAGGAUAACAAAAAAAAUACAAUUAGAAGAGAAAAAUAAGAAAGCAAUAAUUAACAAUACCAGCUUCUCGGUAGUCCCGGAGGUUAGAUAUGAACAUGCACUUCUCGAUAUCACACUUCUCGAUAUCGCACUUCUCGACAUCAUACUUCUUCUGUAUAGAGGUUAGACAUGAACAUGCACUUCUCGACAUCAUACUUCUUCCGUACAGAGGUCAAUCGAAAAAGGUAGAUCUGGUCAACCAGGAUCAGCCAGAGAAGGUCAUUGCAGCCCUGAGGGACCUCUCUCCAAGAGAGAUCAACAUCUCAGCUGAUCUCCUAGCUCUCCUUUAGCUCGACCAUCACGAAGGUCUUGGUCCAGCCUUUUAUUGAAUCUUUAUACCCAGCAAAGAUGGACAACCCCCCUUCCCCUUAGGAGCAAAGUAGUAAAACCUAUGGUUAGCCCAGACGAGGCAGAAGAAAGUGGAGAACAGAGCAACGGAAGGAGCAAAACCCUAACACAGCAAACAAAUUCAAAGGAGCACAUGAAGAGAAUGGAAUUUGGGGAUAACAUGCGAGGGGUCACACUAAAAUACUGAAAUGGAUAAAAAUCUCGAUGAAAAAAGGGGUGAAGGGGAAGGUCAACCCAAAAUCACAUUGCUUAACGAAAAAAAUUAAGUUGCGACCCUGCUGGGGUCUGUCAAGCUCGCCGAAGGUGGAUUGGGAAGGACAAUCCUCUCAUUGUCUAGAGGAGCCCUAAUCCUAUAAAUGGAGGUAUCGAUGUACUCGCUGGAGAAAAAAUUAGAAAGAAAAGAAGGAGUGACAAAGGAUAUCAAAUCUAUGACCUCAGGAAUAGAGUGGGACGUACCUCAGAGCAGAGAUUGCAGAGGCGAAGGAGAACAAUUUAACGGGAGGAGAGUGAGAAGAAGAGUCGAAAGCAAAAUCGAAAAUACGAAUUUGAAAUGGGUAAAGCCGGAGAGAAAAUGUUUUGAUAAGAGUCGCGCGGUCAUAAUUGAAGUUUUGAGAUUUUCCCUCAUUAAUCAUGGAAUAACUAAUGAGCAGGUAAAGGAGCACUUGAUGAUCGCUGGGUCUUUGCUUCCCGGCCGCAGUCAAGCCCAUGUAGGAGAGCAAGGUCAUAACCCACUAGAGCCCAAUACGCAAGUCUAUCCUCUAGCAUGCGGUCCAGAUCACGCUUAGGCAGGACGGGCAAAAUGAGGCUCGAGCCCAACAAAGAAGGAUCUAGCUCACCUGACUUGAUGGGUCAGUGGGGGGAAUAGACCCCUCCAUAUCCAGAACCAUGUCAGCACGAGCAUCGAAGGAAAUUAAAUAGCCGCCUGAUGAUGGAAAAAGGGAGCAGUACGUCCAUACGUACGGUUUUGUAUGAUAGCGGCAUGUGGCACUAUAAUAGGGUGGCAGUUAUAUGUCACUAAAAAACAAAAUGGAAAAAGAAUAAAGGAAGGUGUGAACUAUUCAAACUAAGCUUACACGCACAUACCCAAAACUCUAUCCUUUUCUGAUCAUCAAUAAAAAUUUACCAAAAGCCUAAAAAUCAAAAUCAAACCAAACAAACAAGAUCAACUCAAAAAUGGAACCCAAUUAAACCUAAACAAGAAAAACUAAAUUCAAAUCAAAUCAAAAUGAGAAACCAACAAAAGCACCGACCCUAAUAGCAAUCUCCAUCGGCACCGACUCAAGCCUCAAUCCGUUAUUGGAAUCGAAGAGAACAAAGCGCUGAAUAUAGCAACCAAGGCCUACGCGAACAAUACCAACCACAGACAUGUAAGGAAAGAAAAGAAAGCAGACAAGCACCAAAUCCCACAAACAUCAAGGAAAGAGAGUACAACAAGCCAAUCACUGGAGAAACUAACGAAAAAUACCCAAGGUAGAAUAAACCCAAGCAGCUUUAAAAUACUAGACUCAAAGGGACGACGCGACAUAACUCUCAACAAAAGCGAUGGUCACCAAACGUAAUGUUGCAGACCUAGUUCAUGGAUAUAGUCACUGAGCAUAAGUGUAUACAUUUAUAUGUGUAGGUGGAAAUCAAGUUAAAUUUCUCGUUUAUCUUAAUAAACAAUAAAUAACUUGCUAUUUUUAUGAGACUUUUAUAUUUAAUUUUUUAUUGCCCUCAACACGAAAUUAAUAGGUCAAUUAUUGAAUUUGACUCAAUUUUUAACCCUUGAAUUGGAUCUUAAUAUAAAGUAUAGAGAAACCUUAAUCAUUGAGAUUUUUUUUUUCUUAAAAGAAAGUAAGAAGUAAAAUGUACUUUAGAAGCCAUGCAUAAUACACAUAAAAAUAUAUCAAUAGGGAGUGAGGUUUUAAAAAAUUUAAUAAUUUGAAAAAAAAAUAAAAAAAAGAAUAACUAUGAUAGAUAAAUGAAGGGAAAAGAAAAAUUGAUAAACUACUUUUACCUCUUACUUUUCAUCUAUUUAUAUUAUUUUUCCUCUUUUACUAUUUUUUAAAUUGAAUUUUCUAUUUUAUUUUCCAUUGAAAUAAAAAGAAUUAUAAAGUAUAUAUCAAAACCCCAAUCAAAAUAAAGUAAAUAAAUUUUAUUAAAAUUAUUUAUUUAGAAGAGAUAAAAGGGCGGAAAGGAUAAGAACAACAUUAUUUAUAAAGCAAUUAAUAAAAUGUCACUAUUAAUUAUUUUUUGGUUUAAAUAAUGGAAACUUUCUGAUUGUUGCAUUAAGUCAUUGAUGGGACCCAUGAGCCCAUGUCUAUUUAUCACUAAAAAAAUAUUUACCACUUGCUGCGCAUUAAUAAAAACGAAACUCAUUAAUAAAUUUAUAUGCAUUGCACAAAAUGAAAUUGACUCGCCGCUGGAGUCCACAUGCUGCCCAUUUUACGCCAACUUCAACAUUAUAUAUAUAUUAUAUUUUAAAGGAAAACGAAGGUCUGAAUGCUAAAGUUACCUACCGUCUUCCAUCACCCUUUCCACAUCUCCCUCUCUAUCUCUGACCAUUCAUUCACACUGAAUAUACUUGCAAGAAAGUUCUGGUCGUGGUUGCAUAAGUCUGCAACUUCUGACGACCUCUAGCUUGGGGCUGAACGGGGCAGAUCGCCGGAUGGAUACUAGAGGUAUUAAUUGUUGUAGCUGAAACUGUGGAACCAAAUAGUAUUAGUUUCAUAGAGCUUUCAUUUCAUUUCAUCAACUAAUUGAGGCAUGUUGUUUAUUCUAUGGUCACUAAGCACAGAUCCGAAUGAAUCUGCCUUAUCUCCGUCUGCAUCUGAGAAUUAUGACCGUAUUGGGCCAAAGCCAUAUUCAUACGGUGAACUAGCAAAGGCAACUGGUCUUUUCUCGCACAAUAACCUAAUUGGUCGAGGUGGUUUUGGUCAUGUUUUUAAGGCAUCCUUAGAUGGCGAGACUCGUGCUAUCAAGAGACUUGAUUAUCCGGGUAUAGAGUCCGAAGGAGAUUUGGAAAGGGAGAUUAUGGUCGUCAAAAGCAUCAGUCACAAAAACCUCGUUGAACUGGUUGGUUAUUGCAUUGAUGGAGCCAAUAGAUUGCUUAUUUUAAAGUAUUUUCCAAAUGGGUCUUUGAGAUCUAAAUUAGAUGGUGAGUCCCAUAUCCUUUAUUUUACGUUUCAUGUAACUAACGCGACAUAAUUAAUCUUGUAAAUUACAAAUGGUUUUGGUUUUGUAGGGAAGGAGAAUGUUUUAGACUGGAAAAAAAGAAUGAAUAUUGCUAUAGGUUCUGCAAGAGGAUUGGAAUAUCUACAUGAACACUGUAAGUAUGUAGUACAACAUAUUCCUACUUGGCAGGAUUUUAGCUUUAGAGAGUGAAUUUAUUUUUUAUUUUCUGUUUUUGUAAUAAUUUAUUUUCUCUUAAAAUUUUAUAUUUUCUCUAUAUCUUUUUCAGGUGAACCUAAAAUUAUACAUUUAGAUAUCAAGCCGGAUAAUAUUCUUCUUGAUGAACAUUUUGAACCUAAGGUAAAAUAAUUUUAUAUUAAAUAAAUAUUUUAUUUAUAUUUAUCACAUUUAUAUACAUAGUGGAACCUUGAUCACUGAAUACUGAAAUUUUAUUUUUUGAAUUGAACUCGUUGUUUGUAUAAUAUGAUUGUUGGAAUUAAUUAAUAAAUCAGGGUUCUACUUCUGUUUUGGUUUGGCCAUAUAUUUUUGGCUUUUUUAAUAAAAAUUAUUGCUUAUAGGUGAAGGCAAAAGUUGAAGGAAAGUUUGAUUUUCUUUUAUAUCUUGGAUCAGUAGCAGUACAUGUAUAUAUAUACAGUGGGUACAAUAGACUUGACUUAAAAUAGGUUUACAAAAAAUGUAAUACACAUGAAAGAACUGAAAACAGUUUUUCUAACCUAACUUUGGCGCCAUUAUUUUCCACGUGGCUUAACAUCCCCUGCAAAUUGAAGAGUAUAUAUCAAACAUCCCCAGCUUGGAUAAUAUUUCUCGAAAAGGAGCAAUAGGUAUGGGCUUUGUGCAAAUAUCAGCGAGUUGGGCAGCUGAUGGUAUUGGAAGGAGCUUAAUCAACCCAGAGAGCAGUUUUUCACGAACAAUAUAGCAGUCUAUCUCAAUAUGUCUUGUACAUUCAUGAAAAAUAGAAUUCGCAGCAAUCAAUCCAGAGAGCAGUUUUUCACGAACAAUAUAGCAGUCUAUCUCGAUAUGUUUUGUACGUUCAUGAAAAAUGGAAUUCGCAGCAAUUUGUAUAGCAGGUUUGUUAUUGCAAUAGAUAAUGGCAGGUUGAGGUGACUGACAAAUAGGUCAUGAAGAAGAUACAAUAGCUACUGUACUUCACAGGUGAUAGUUGCAAGAGCUCGAUAUUCAGCUUUAGAGGAGCUCCGAGAAAUGGUGGACUGCUUCUUUGCCUUCCAAGAAAAUAGAGCGGAUCCUAGAAGGAGUCAAAAUCUUGUAACAAACUUUUGGGUGUCAGCACAACUUGCGCGGUUGAACUAGUAGAGAAGAAAAGACAUGCACUCGGGAGCUCUUGAUAUAAUGUAAUAUUCGAUGGGCUGUUUGUAAAUGAAUAGAGGUGGAGCGAUCCAGGAACUGACUAAGUUGUUGAACUGCAAAGGAAAUACCAGGUCUUGUGGAUGUCAAAUAGAGUAAUCGCGCUAUCAGUCUUCUAUAGGAAAGGAUAUCAUCCAAGGGUGUGCCAAAAUCAAUAAUAAGCUUAGUUUUGGAGUCCAUAGGAGUGGGAGAUGGUUUGCGAUCUAAAAAGCCAGAGUCAUUAAGGAUGUCAAGGGCUAUUUACGCCGACAAAGAGAGAUGCCAGCUUAGUUCUUGCUACUUCCAACCCCAGAAAAAACUUCAAAUCACCAAGGUUUUUUAUUUUGAACUUGUUAUCAAGAAAAGAUUUAACAGUGUUAAUUUCUUGUAAAUUUGUGCCAGCUAAGAUAACAUCAUCGACAUAAACCAAUAUCAGAGUGAUGUGAACAUCAUGUUUCUUAUCAAAGAGGGAAUAGUCCGAGAUAGACUGUUUAUAACUCAGGGAGACAAGAGCAUUAGACAAUUUUGAAUACCAUUGAUGAGUGGCUUACUUUAAACUAUAGAGUGACUUGUUUAAGUGACAAACUUUAUUAAAUUGAGAGGUAGUAAAGCCUGGAGGAAGUGUUAUGUAUAUUUUUUCAUGAAGAUCUCCAUGAAGGAAUGCAUUAUUGAUGUCCAACUGUUGUAAAAACCAUCCAUUAGCAGCUGCAAGAGCUAAGAGAAGUUGCACAGUGGUUAUCUUAGUAAGAGCUCUUGAUAUAACGUAAUAUCUGAUGGGUUGUUUGUAAAUGAACAGAGGUGGGGGAGAUCCAGGAAUUGACUAAGUUGUUGAACUGCAAAGGAAAUGUCAGGUCUUGUGGAUGUCAAAUAAAGUAAUCCCACUAUCAGUCUUCUAUAGGAAAGGAUAUCAUCCAAGGGUGUGCUAGAAUCGAUACUACGUUUAGUUUUAGAGUCCAUAGGAUUGGGAGUGACUGUGCGGUUGUCGAAGCAGGUCAAAAAUAACCUUUUUGGUUAUCAACAAUUUUACAACUGUAGAUAGUGGCAAAAGGAUGAAAUCCACAGGGAAUUGAUACUUACUUAUUUUCCUAAUCAAGACCAAGUAAAUAAAUAGACAAUAAGAGUAAAUUGGGAGGGGGGUUUUGAAGAUUGAUGACUAAACUAGCAAUAAAGUAAAGCAAAUAAUAAAAUAAAGGAAAUUCAAUAAUGAGAAAGGCCUAGUUGGAGAGUCAGAUCCACUUUAGUUGUUGGGGUUGAUUAUUGAUACUUAUAUUCUUUUAAUUGACUCAAUAAAUUAGUUAUGGAGGUGGAAGAUACUUCUCACCUCCAUAUCCCUCCUUAAGCAUAGAUUAAUUAGGGAACGUCCUCUAAUUAAUCACUAAUUAACAAGUUGCCAAGGAACAUCCUUGGGGCUUUAAGCAUCUAACAACUGUCAAUUGCAUUAAGAAAUAGAGAGACCUAAUUCUAGCUACCCAAACGUAUGGUGAUGUUGCUAGAUCAUGCAAUUUCCUUAGUUUUUACACCAAGAGUUACUUUUGUUUGAAUAAUUCAAGAAAUUACGGACUUAAAACUAUCCAAACUAACAAAUUAUUACCUUGUAAUCAAGAAUCAAUAGAUCCUAGUGAUCUAAAUAACAAAGCAACAAUAGAAUUAAGCAUGAAAUUGCAUAAAUAUUGAUAAAUAAAAGAUUAACAUAAUAUGUUCAAAUCUCCCAAUCCAUAAACAACUAAAGUUUCACCUAAUCUUCAACUAGAAAAAAGGGUUUCAGCCACUCAUGGCUGAAACAAACAUGAAAAAUAAAGAAAGAAAACCAAAGAAAGGAAGAGGAAGGCCAAUCCGCCGGCUGGAGUGGUAUGCUGGUGGCGCGCGGUUGCUAUGCAGCUUCUGCCGAAGAUGAAUGAUGAUCCAAAGAUGGUUCUUUGCUGGUUUGCUUGUCCUUUUAUAGCUGAGGAGGUUGCCCUAGGUUUUCUUGUUGAGAUGGGAUUCCUUUUCCUACUUGGAGUUGAAUUCUUGAAAGCAAUUGUAUCUUCUUGAGAUUUGGCUUCCUAAAUAUGUAGGAUAGAGAACUGAGGUGUAUUAUUGACUUGCUAAGUUGUCCCCACGUGUUUGGUGUGCAAAAGACUUCUUGAAGACUUGGAUUCCAAGUUUCCCGCAACUGCUGUCUUCUGUCGUAAGUGCUUGUUUGCCCGGGUUGUGUGGGCAAACAACUCAGGCAAACAGUCUGUCUUGCCUGUUGUCUGUGCACUGCUUCUGCCCUAUGGGCUUGUUUCCCUAGUUUGCCUGGACAAACAAUAUAGUCAAACAGCAAGUCUGUAUUUUCCUUAUUCCUCUCCCAAUUCAUCUGCAACUUGGUUUGAGCAAACAACUUGGGCAAACCAGACUUGUUCUCUUUUGCUCUCUUUUAGGCGGAUUUAAGGCCAUUUUUACCAAAUUACCCUUUUACUCAAUUUUCUGCAAAAUAAGAUCAAUACCACAAAAUUAGGUAGAAAAUGUGUAAAUCAACAUAAAUAACAAAAUUAGUUGCUUGCAUCGCACAUGAUUUCAAAGGGAAAGUUCCAAUCAGGUGCUUGAAUGAUUGGGGCAGUCACUAGUAAUUCUUUUAUUAGAUCAAAUGCUAUCUUGCAAAUUGCAUCAAAAUCAAAUGUUACAUCUUGUUGGAGAUGGUUGGGUGAUUUUGGAGAAAUCUUUUAUAAAUCUUCUGUAGAAUCCUGCGUGGCCAAGGAAGGAACGGAUUUCUCUAACAUUUGUGGGGUAGGGCAGAUUUUUUAUGGUGUCCACCUUGGCUUUGUCCACUUCAAUUCCUUUGGCUGAAACAACAUGGCCUAGGAUCAAACCUUGGUUAACCAUGAAGUGGCAUUUUUCAUAUUUAAGCAUAAGAUUUGAUUCAAGGCACCUCUGUAGGAUUUUUUUCAGAUUAGCAAGGCAUUCUUCGAAAGAGUUACCGUAUACCGUGAAGUCAUCCAUGAAGACUUCAAUGAUUUUCUCCACAUAAUCAGAAAAUAUGCUCAUCAUACAGCGUUGGAAGGUAGUAGGCGCAUUGCAUAGUCCUAAUGGCAGUCUUUUGAAUGCAAAGGUGCCAAAAGGAAAAAUGAAGGUGGUCUUUUCUUGGUCUUCUGGGGCCACUGGAAUCUAAUAAAAUCCUGAAUAACCAUCCAAACAGCAAUAGUGUGACUUACCUGCAAGCCUCUCUAGCAUUUGAUCAAUGAAGGGUAGAGGGAAGUGAUCCUUCCUUGUUGCUGCAUUUAGCUUCCUAUAGUCCAUGCAUACUCUCCAUCCAUUCUUAACACGAGUUGGAACAAGUUCUCCCUCGGAGUUUGGAACAAUGGUGAUCCUAGUUUUCUUCGGGACUACAUGUACAGGACUUACCCAUUUACUAUCAAAGAUUGGGUAGAUGAUUCUUGCAUCUAGUAGUUUGACUAUCUCCUUUUUCACCACUUCCAUCAUAGGGGGGUUUAGUCUCCUUUGAGCAUCUUGGACAGGCUUGCAGUAUUCUUCCAUGUGUAUCCUAUGCAUGCAUGUGGCAGGUGAGAUGCCUUUUAUGUCGUCAAUGGUCCACCCUAUUGCUCCCUUCUAUUUCUUUAGUACUUGAAGGAGGUUUUUUUUUUCUUCUUGUUGGCUUAAUUGAUUUGACAUUAUUACUGGAUGUGUCUUUUCAGCUCCUAAGUACAUGUAUUUCAAGUGUCCAGGAAGAGGCUUCAAAUCCGGGUUUGAAAUUUUCUGAUCUGCUGGUUGCUAUUUGGGCAAACACAAUUCUGCCUCAUCUUCCUCUGCUGGUGGUUUGGUCGAACAACAGCUCACUUGUGCUAUCAAUCCGGUUGUGCUGGAUUCUGCCCUCUCAUGCUGUUUGGGCAAAUAGCGAAUUUCCUCAUGUUCCUCUGCUGGUUUUUUAGGUAAACAGUGUUCUGACUUUCCAGGUGCCUUUGCUUCAGUCAAAUGGUAUUCUGUCGAAGCUGUUUGCCCAAUUGGUUUGGGCAAACUGUGUUCUUCUUGCUGAAAUGGUAUGGGCAGGCUACAAGCUGUCUGCGUCUGCUGAACCUGUUUGGGCAAACAGCAGUUUGCCUUGCCUUUCUCUGCUGUCUGUUUGGGCAGACAAUAACCUGCCUGCUGAGUGCAGCAGAUUGCUUCUGUCCGUUUUAGCUUUCCUUGGCUUCCCUCAUUUUCUUGGCUGGCCUCCCUGCAAAAAUCAUUAUUUAGCAUAUCAUUUUGAUUCAUAUCAAAAAUUUCUUGGCUUAGACAAUCAAUGAUAUCUAAACCAUAAAUAGGGAACAUGUCAUGGGGAUAUUUCAUAGCAUCAUAGACAUUGAAUUUAUUACUUCCCCUUCAAAUUUCAUGGUCAAUGUGCCAUCAUGCACAUCAAUCUUAGUCCUGGCCGUGCUCAAGAAGGGUCGUCCAAGCAAUAUGUCUGAGGUAGUGUUGCUAUUGUCUUCCUCCAUAUCAAUCACAUAGAAAUCUGCUGGAAAGACAAGUUGAUCUAUUUGGACUAGAACGUCUUCUAGAAUGCCUUUUGGGUAUACCACGGAUCUAUCAGCCAAUUGGAUAACCACUCUAGUGUCCUUAAGUGCACCUGCAUUCAAAGAAUUAUAAAUAGAAAGAGGCAUAACAUUAAUUGAUGCACCUAAGUCACACAUGGCUUUCUUGAUGUCAACAUUGCCAAUUUUGCAAGAAACAGCAAACAUCCCUCGAUCUUUGCACUUGGCUAGUAGUUUUCUCUUAAUGACAGCAGUAACUACUUCACCUACACUUACCUUUUCUUUUUCAGCAAGCUUCCUUCAGUUUGUGCACAACUCUUUCAAGAAUUUUGCAUACCUUGGUAUUUGUUUUACCGCAUCAAGCAAAGGUAUGUUAAUCUCCACUUUUCUAAAGGUUUCAAGGAUCUCUCUUUCUUCUUUUUCUUUUUGUGAUUUUUCAAACCUUUUUGGAAAAGGAGGUGGAAUCUUGAAGCUUACUUGCUGGUUUGUAUUCUGCUGGUGUACUAGUGUUGUUUGCCCAGUCUGUUUGGGCAAACAGCACUCUGGCUGCUUGGGCAAACUGUCCCUAUCCUGCUGUGUAUGUUGUCUGCUUGUUUGCCCAGUCUAUUUGGGCAAACAACAGUCUGUCUCAGUUUCUGGCAGAUUUUCUUUAGCCACUUGUCUUUGCAAUUCUGAACCUCUAUCAUCAACCUUGACAUCUUGAAGUUCUUUCCCACUUCUUAACAUUAUGGUACUUACAUUUUGCUUGGGAUUGGCCUCGGUUUGGGAUGGCAACUUUCCUUUAGAUUCAAGUUUACUCACAGAGGUGGCUAUUUGACCCAUUUGCUGUUGGAGACUUUGCACAAUGUUCACCAAUGACUUCAUCAUCUCCUCAAGGUGCGUAUUGGACCUUGGAGGUGCUAUUUGGGCUGGAUUUCUUGGAUAAUUUUGGUAGUUGUUAGCCCUAGCAUAGCUGAAGUUCGGAUGGUCUAUCCAACCGGGAUUGUAGGUGUUAGAAUAUGGAUCAUCUCUUGGUUGUCCAUUAAAUCCUCCAAUGGCAUUUACUUGCUGGUCAUCCUCUUGAAGUGUAGGACAUUGAUCAGUUGGGUGUCCCACAUGUGCACAUAUCCCGCAUGGCCUUAUUUGCUGAAGUUGUUGAGCUUGUUGGGAUUGACUUAUAACAAGACUUCUCACAGCAGAGGUUAGUUCAGAAAUUUGAGAUGUAAGAGCAGAUGUAAGAGCAGAUGUACUUACCUCAUUGACUCUCCUUGGCAACUGUAACAGCCCGGGAAUCCAGACCGCUACCGGCGCUAGGAUCCAGAUCGGCGUAAGGCCGUCGGGACCCGUAGCAAGCCUGACAUCUAACCUGUAAACCUGUAAACAUUUGCAUAUCUCAACCAAGCUCAACCUGUACAUUACAUAAUCAUAAACAUAAACCACCACUGGAGCCUUCAUCAAAUGCUCCAAUGGGGUAUCUCAUCAUAUGUUGAGCUUGGACUAUCAUGAACAUCAUAAACAUAUCUAUAGAUCAUGUAUCAAAAGGGACAACAAUACUCAUAUGGUCAAGCACAACUAUAACCACAAUACAUAACAUUACAUAACUGUUCUAUACUCUUACAUUUCAUCAAUUACAUUUGUCAUGUCCACAAUCUAACUAUUACAUAUGCAUACUUCAAGACUCUGGCUAACCUCCUGGUCUACCCUGUACCUGCACAUCUGGGGUUAGGAGAGAGGGGUGAGCUAUAUAGCCCAGUGAGCAGAAUAUAGAAAACAUAUAUUAAAAUUUCAUGCUUUCAUGAAAUUCAACACACCACAAACAAAUCACAUAAGGAUGAACUUGUCACCAAUGGCCCUCUACAUGGUCCAAUGAGGUCCAACUGUGCCAGAACGUAGAAUGGGUCCUGGUCUUUCUCUUACUCUGUGCCAGGGACGUAGAAUGGGUCUUCCUGGACUUUCUCUUACUCUGUGCCAGGGACGUAGAAUGGGUCUUCCUGGACUUCCAUACCAUAUCAUCAUAAUAUCAUACUAUACGAGGACCAAUGGAUCAUCCAACAUUCAUCCGCAUCAACAACAAAGUAUGCAAUGCAACAACUUCGUGAAUACUAAUGCAAACACCCUAUAAUAUCACAUGGCAAAUAUGAUGCAUGAUCAUGCUCAAAAAGUUAUAUCUCAUUUAUUUAAAAACUUAAGGUUUAUUCCACUCACCUCUGGCUGAAGCUCUAAAGACUCUGACAAUCUCUGUAGCAGCUGGCUCACUGCUGGGGUCCUCGGUUCCUCGGGUCCGAACCUACACAGGUGGACUCCAAUGAGGGACCAAACAUACACAAACAUAACUCUAAUGUACUCCCCAAAAACCCCCUGAAACAUCAUGAAAAAACCAUAGGAAUACAUGCAUGAAAUGGCUGAACAGGGCACUUUCGGCGGCAGGUUCGGCGGCCGAAAGUCCCUCCAGAGCCGAAUCCCAGGCAGGUUCGGCGGCACCUUCGGCGGCCGAAAGUCCCAGACAGAGACGAAAGUCUCUUUUCGGGGGCAACUUCGGCAGCCGAAAGGCCUGCCUCCCCAGCCAUGUUCGGCGGCCGAAAGUCCUUCGGCUGCCGAACCUGGUUUCUGCCAAAGGGCAGAAACUUGGCUCCUCUGUGCACAUUUCGCCUCCCAAGCUCAAAUCAUGCAUACCACUCAACCAAAACAUGCAUACAAGCUCCUAGGGGUCUCAAACAAACAUAUACCCCAACUACAACACUUCAAACACACACAAUCAAGCCACAUUGUUCAAGAAUCACAUAAAACCUAACAUAGCUCAACUAAUCCUAAACAUGGAUUUCUACCCCAUAAAACUUUAUAAAACUUGUUUAAAACAUAUAUUGAGCUUAAGAUCGGCUCUUACCUCUUGAAGAUCGAGAGAGAGACGACCGAAACUUGGAGGUCCAAGCAAAUGAGCUCCUGAGUUUCCAAAGCUCCGAAACUUGUUCAAAACUUGAAAAUCUUCAAAACCAAAGUUACAAACUUGUAAAAAUCAUGGAAAAUGAAAGGAAAAACUCAAGAUUUGUGAAGGAUGGCGGAAAGCUCACCUUGGCCGAAAUGGGGAGAAAAAGCUCGCCCGUUUUCGGCUAAGGGACCCUUUUAUAGUGGCUGGCCAGACCACGUUCGGGGGCCGAAAGUGCUUCCGCAUGCAGGCCAUGUUCGGCGGCCGAACUUGAGUUUCGACGGCCGAACCUGGACUUCCCUCACUCAUGCUUUCGGGGGCCUAACGUGCCUCCAAAACGCAUGCAUGUUCAGCGGCCGAACUUGACUUUCGGCGGCCGAACCUGGGUUUUCCUCCAAAAACUUUUCAUGCAAAAACUCAUUUAAUUUCAUACUUAAAACCAUUAAAAACAUGAAAACAUUUUAUAAAAACAUACUUUUACCCUUCUAGAGGUUUCCGACAUCCGGGAUUCCACCGGACGGUAGGAAUUCUGAUACCGGAGUCUAGCCGGGUAUUACAUUCUCCCCCCCUUAAGAACAUUCAUCCCCGAAUGUUCCUCAACUAGCGCAUGCAUAACAUACAUAUACAUCACAUAAACACAUAAAUACUAACCUCUAAAAGAGAUGGGGAUAUUGCUGGAGCAUGGACUCCCGUGUCUCCCAAGUGCAUUCUUUCAUAUUGUGGUGGUUCCAAAGGACUUUCACCAUCGGGAUUUCCUUGUUCCUCAACUUUCUGAUCUGGGUGUCCAGAAUCCGCACUGGCUGUUCAACAUAGGUGAGAUCCUCUUGGAUCUCCACAUCAGGCUCACUAAGAACCUUGCUCGGAUCUGACACGAACUUUCUUAACAUGGAAACAUGGAAAACCGGAUGGACUCUUUCCAUAGAUGCAGGCAAGUCCAGCUUGUACGAUACAUUCCCAACCUUUUGCAAGACCUCAAAGGGUCCGAUGUAUCGUGGGGCUAGCUUACCUUUCUUACCAAACCGAACCACCCCUUUCAUAGGAGACACUCUGAGCAAUACCAGAUCUCCCUCCUGAAACUCUACUUGUCUUCUGCGAAGGUCUGCAUAACUCUUCUGUCUGCUCAUAGCAGUCUUAAUCCUUUCUCUGAUCAUGGGCACCACCCUGCUGGUGAUCUCUACAAGCUCAGGCCCUGCUAAGGACCUCUCUCCAACCUCUUCCCAGCAAACGGGUGAUCUGCACUUCCUCCCAUACAAAGCUUCAUAUGGAGCCAUCCCUAUGCUGGCAUGAUAGCUGUUAUUGUAGGCAAACUCCACCAAGGGUAGAUGUUGCCUCCAAGAACUGCCAAAAUCCAGCACACACAUUCUGAGCAUGUCCUCUAUAGUCUAGAUGGUCCUCUCUGACUGUCCAUCAGUCUGGGGGUGGAAGGCAGUACUGAAAUCCAACCUGGUACCCAUAGCACUCUGCAGACUCCGCCAAAACCUGGAGGUGAACUGGGGCCCUCUAUCUGACACUAUAGACACUGGGACCCCAUGCAGUCUGACAACUUCAUCCACAUAGACCUGCGCUAACUUAUCCACAUAGUAGUUGCUCCUGGCUGGAAUGAAGUGAGCAGAUUUAGUGAGUCUGUCCACAAUCACCCAUAUGGAGUCUAAUCUGUUGGAUGUUGCCGGUAACCCCACUACGAAGUCCAUAGCUAUAUUCUCCCAUUUCCACUCUGGAAUAGGUAGCGGGUUAAGCAUCCCAGCCGGCUUCUGAUGUUCCAGCUUCACCCUCUGACACACUUCGCAGGCUGACACGAACUGUGCCACUUCCCUCUUCAUAGCUGGCCACCAAUAAACUCUCUUCAGAUCUUGAUACAUUUUGGUGGCUCCAGGGUGAACAUUGUAUUUUGCAUUAUGAGCCUCCCUCAUAAUGUCUCCUUUCAACCCGAUGUCAUCUGGUACACAUAGUCUGUUCCCAUAACGGAGGAUCCCCUUAUCAUCAAAUCUGAACUCCUCAUUCUUGCCCGACUGAACAAUCCUGGCAAUCUUCACUAACUCUGGGUCCUCGUGCUGUUUCUGAGCCACCUGCUCCAGAAACACAGGUGCUACUUUCAUCUGGGCUAUCAAAGCACCUGUACCAGACAACUCCAUCUGUAGACCUUCCUCAAUGAGCUUGGAAAACUCCUUCACCACCGGUCUCCUCUCUGCUGUGAUGUGGGAUAGGCUGCCAAGUGAUUUCCGGCUUAAGGCAUCAGCUACUACAUUAGCCUUACCCGGAUGGUACUGGAUCUUACAAUCAUAGUCACUGAGCAGCUCUACCCAUCUCCUCUGCCUCAAAUUCAGCUCUCUCUGGCUCAAAAUGUGCUGCAGGCUCUUAUGAUCUGUGAAGAUCUCACAUUUUACCCCAUAGAGGUAAUGCCUCCACAUCUUGAGGGCAAAGAUAACUGCUGCCAUCUCAAGGUCGUGUGUGGGGUAAUUCAACUCAUGCCUCUUCAGCUGUCUAGAAGCAUAAGCUAUCACCCUUCCAUUCUGCAUUAGCACACAACCCAAACCUACUCUGGAUGCAUCACAGAACACUGUGAAGUCCUCAUUGCUAGUCGGCAGAGCUAACACUGGUGCUGAAGUCAACCUCUUCUUGAGCUCCUCAAAGCUUUCCUCACACUGGUCGGUCCACACGAACCUCUGAUUCUUUCUGGUCAAUCUGGUUAGAGGAGCUGCUAUCUUAGUGUAUUCCAGGAAUGCAGAGGAGCAUGCCCAUCAUCUGAGGAUAGUUCUACAGACCUUGAGGGAACAUGGCUUGUAUGCCAAGUUCUCCAAGUGUGAGUUCUGGUUGAGAAGCAUCUCAUUCUUGGGGCAUGUAGUGUCAGAGAACGGAAUUGAAGUAGACCCCAAGAAGGUAGAAGCUGUAACUAACUGGCCUAGACCCACCUCAGUGACAGAGAUCAGAAGUUUAUUGGGUUUGGCUGGUUACUACAGGAGGAGAAGUCCUGCCCGGAAAUUCGGACCGCUACCGGCGCUAGGAUCCAGAUCGGCGUAAGGCCGCCGGGACCCGUAGCAAGCCUGACAUCUAACCUGUAAACCUGUAAAUCCCAUACAUGAUCAAACAACUCUAAAGAAUCUGUAAACAUUUUCAUAUCUCAACCAAGCUCAACCUGUACAUUACAUAAUCAUAAACAUAAACCACCACUGGAGCCCUCAUCAAAUGCUCCAAUGGGGUAUCUCAUCAUACGUUGAGCUUGGACUAUCAUGAACAUCAUAAACAUAUCUAUAGAUCAUGUAUCAAAAGGGACAACAAUACUCAUAUGGUCAAGCACAACUAUAACCACAAUAUACCUCAAUACAUAACAUUACAUAACUGUUCUAUACUCUUACAUUUCAUCAAUUACAUUUGUCAUGUCCACAAUCUAACUAUUAUAUAAGCAUACUUCAAGACUCUGGCUAACCUCCUGGUCUACCCUGUACCUGCACAUCUGGGGUUAGGGGAGAGGGGUGUGCUAUAUAGCCCAGUGAGCAGAAUAUAGAAAACAUAUAUUAAAAUUUCAUGCUUUCAUGAAAUGCAACACAUCACAAACAAAUCACAUAAGGAUGAACUUGUCACCAAUGGCCCUCUACAUGGUCCAAUGAGGUCCAACUGUGCCAGAACGUAGAAUGGGUCCUGGUCUUUCUCUUACUCUGUGCCAGGGACGUAGAAUGGGUCUUCCUGGACUUUCUCUUACUCUGUGCCAGGGACGUAGAAUGGGCCUUCCUGGACUUCCAUACCAUAUCAUCAUAAUAUCAUACUAUACGAGGACCAAUGGAUCAUCCAACAUUCAUCCGCAUCAACAGCAAAGUAUGCAAUGCAACAACUUCGUGAAUACUAAUGCAACACCCUAUAAUAUCACAUGGCAAAUAUGAUGCAUGAUCAUGCUCAAAAGUUUAUAUUUCAUUUAUUUAAAAACUUAAGGUGUAUUCCACUCACCUCUGGCUGAAGCUCUAAAGACUCUGACAAUCUCUGUAGCAGCUGGCUCACUGCUGGGGUCCUCGGUUCCUCGGGUCCGAACCUACACAGGUGGACUCCAAUGAGGGACCAAACAUACAUAAACAUAACUCUAAUAUACUCCCCAAAAACCCCCUAAAACAUCAUGAAUUAACCAUAGGAAUACAUGCAUGAAAUGGCUGAACAGGGCACUUUCAGCGGCAGGUUCGGCGGCCGAAAGUCCCUCCAGAGCCGAAACCCAAGCAGGUUCGGCGGCACCUUCGGCGGCCGAAAGUCCCAGACAGAGACGAAAGUCUCUUUUCGGGGGCAACUUCGGCAGCCGAAAGGCCUGCCUUAAUUGAACCUCCACAUGCUACAUGAAUGAAUUUCCUUUUGGAUGGUAGCAAUCCUCCAUAGAAGUAUUCUAUGAGUGAUUUAUCUGAGAUGUCAUGUUGAGGGCAGCUUGUGCAUAGUCUCUUGAAUAUUUCCCAAUAAUCAUACAAAUCUUUAGUCUCUUUUUGCUUGAUGCCACUUAUUUCUCUCCUUAUGCCUAUGGCUUUAGAAGCUGGAAAAUAUUUAUUCAGAAAAGCUCUUACCAUGCCAUCCCAAGAGGUGAUUGAUUCGGGUGGUAGGUAGAAUAACCAAUCUUUGGCAUAAUCAUCAAGUGAGAAUGGGAAUGCUCUUAAUUUCACAUGUUCUUCGGAUAUGCCUUGCGGCCUCAUGGUAGAGUAUACUAUGUGAAAUUCCUUCAAGUGUUUAUGGGGGUCUUCAUUUUUCAAACCUCUGAAUUUAGGUAGUAGGUGUAUCAAACCUGUUUUUAGCUCAAAUGGGGCUGUCAAGGGCGGAUAGGUGAUGCAAAGAGGUGCUUGAUCACCUAUAGGGGCUGCUAACUCUCUUAAUGUUCUUUCUCUUGGAAUUGGUGCCCUUAAUGCUUGAUUUUCUGGUUCAAAUUCAGCAUAGACAGCAAGUUCUGCUGGUCUUCAAACAGGUGCAGCAGGUUGCACAUGAAAUUCAGCCAUCUCAACGGCUGUUUGGGCAAACACAACAGUGUAGCGCUCUGUUUCUGCAAAGGGCUGUUCUAUUUCUGCAGUGUGCUAUUAUGUUUCAGCAGUAGGUGUUGCUGGUCCUGCUGGUACAGCAGCUUCUGGUGCAAUUGCGGAAGUUUCAAUAGGUGUUGUCCCUUAGACAGCAACAGCUUCAGCAGUUGCUGUUUGGACAACAGCUGUUGAUGAGGAUGGCUUUGAGGCUUGGCUCUUCGGAUUGGAUUGCUUCCUUAGUUGUUUGGCUGUACGCUCAUUUUCUGGGUCGUAAAGUAGAGUAUAUUUGUGUCUAGUCCUGGUCAUGAAAGAAAAAUAAAUUAGUUAAAUCAAUUCCCCAGCAACGACGCCAAUUUUUGACUGUGCGGUUGUUGAAGCUGGUAAAAAAUAACCUUUUUGAUUAUCAACAAUUUUACAACUGUAGAUAGUGGCAAAAAGAUCGAAUCCAUAGAGAAUUAAUACUUACUUAUUUUCCUAAUCAAGACCAAGUAAAUAAAUAGACAAUAAGAGUAAAUUGGGGGGAGGGUUUGAAGAUUGAUGACUAAACUAGCAAUAAAGUAAAGCAAAUAAUAAAAUAAAAGAAAUUCAAUAAUGAGAAAGGGUUAGUUGGAGAGUCAGAUCCACUUUAGUUGUUGGGAUUGAUCAUUGAUACUUAUAUUCUUUUAUUUGACUCAAUAAAUUAGUUAUGGAGGUGGAAGACGCUUCUCACCUCCAUAUCCCUCCUUAUGCAUAGAUUAAUUAGGGAACGUCCUCUAAUUAAUCACUAAUUAAUAAGUUGCCAAGGAACGUCCUUGGGGUUUUAAGCAUCUAACAACUGUCAAUUGCAUUAAGAAAUAGAGAGACCUAAUUGUAGUUACCCAAACGUAUGGUGAUGUUGCUAGAUUAUGCAAUUUCUUUAGUUUUUACACCAAGAGUUACUUGUGUUUGAAUAAUUCAAGCAAUUACGGAGUUAAAACUAUCCAAACUAACAAAUUAUUACCUUGUAAUCAAGAAUCAAUGGAUCCUACUGAUCUAAAUAACAAAGUAACAAUAGAAUUAAGCAUGAAAUUACAUAAAUAUUGAUAAAUAAAAGAUUAACAUAAUAUGUUCAGAUCUCCCAAUCCAUAAACAACUAAAGUUUCACCUAAUUUUCAACUAGAAAAAAGGGUUUCAACCACUCAUCGCUAAAACAAACAUGAAAAAUAAAGAAAGAAAACCAAAGAAAGGAAUAGGAAGGCCAAUCGGCCGGCUGGAAUGGUAUGCUGGUGGCACGUGGCUGCUGUGCAGCUUCUGCCGAAGAUGAAUGAUGAUCCAAAGAUGGUUCUUUGCUGGUUUUCUUGUCCUUUUAUAGCUGAGGAGGUUGCCCUAGGUUUUCUUGUUGAGAUGGGAUUCCUUUUCCUACUUGGAGUUGACUUCUUGAAAGCAAUUAUAUCUUCUUGAGAGCAAUUGUAUCUUCUUGAGAUUUAGCUUUGUAAAUAUGUAGGAUAGAGUGCUGAGGUAUAUUAUUCACUUGCUGAGCUGUCCCCACGUGUUUGGUGUGAAAAAGACUUCUUGAAAACUUGAAUUCCAAGUUUCCCGCAACUGCUGUCUUCUGUCGUAAGUGCUUGUUUGCCCGGGUUGUGUGGGCAAACAGCUCAGGCAAACAGUCUGUCUUGCCUGCUGUCUGUGCACUGCUUCUGCCCUGUGGGCUUGUUUGCCCAGUUUGCCUGGGCAAACAAUCUGGUCAAACAGCAAGUCUGUAUUUUCCUCAUCCCUCUCCCAAUUCAGUUGCAACUUGGUUUGAGCAAACAACUUGGGCAAACCAGGCUUGGUCUCUUUUGCUCUCUUUUGGGCAGAUUUAAGACCAUUUUUAUCAAAUUACCCUUUUAAUCCAUUUUCUGCAAAAUAAAAUCAAAACCACAAAAUUGGGUAGAAAAUGUGUAAAUCAACAUAAAUAACAAUAUAAAAAAUGGGUCUAAAAUUUGCUUGAUCAGGGAGCUGGUUUACAAUCUGAAAAGCCAGAGUCAUUAAGGAUGUCAAGGGCUAUUUACGCUGACAAAGAGAGAUGUCAGCUUUAGUUCUUGCUACUUCCAACCCCAGAAAAAACUUCAAAUCACCAAGGUCUUAUUUUCAACUUGUUAUCAAGAAAAGAUUUAACGGUGUUAAUUUCUUGUAAAUUUGUGCCAGCCAAGAUAACAUCAUCGACAUAAACCAAUAUCACUAUGAUGUGAACAUCAUAUUUCUUAACAAAGAGGGAAUAGUCUGAGAUAGACUGUUUAUAACCUAGGGAGACAAGAAUAUUAGACAAUUUUGAAUAUCAUUGACAAGUGGCUUACUUUAAACCAUAGAGUGACUUGUUUAAGUGACAAACUUUGUUAGACUGAGAGGUAGUAAGCCUGGAGGAAGUUUCAUGUAUACUUUUUUAUGAAGAUCUCCAUGAAGGAAUGCAUUAUUAAUGUUCAACUAUUGUAAAAAUCAUCCAUUAGCAGCUGCAAGAGCUAAGAGAAGUCGAGUAAUGGUUAUCUUAGUAACAGGUGAAAACAUAUCAAAAUAAUCAACACCUUCAGUUUGUAUAUAGCCUUUUGCCACUAGACGGGCCUUAUACCUUUUGAUGGAGCCAUCAGCUAUCAGCCUGAUGUUUGAUUUUAAAUACCCGUUUACAUCCUAUGGGAGUAACAUCUUUGGGUAAAUCAACAUCUUUCCAGGUAUGAUUAGCUUUCAGGGCUAGAAUUUUAGCUUGCAUUGCCUGUUUCCAACAGUCAUAUUUGAUGGCUUGGUUGUAAGUUUUUGGCUCAGUGGUGGCAGAUAUUGAUAAGGCGAAGUUUCUAUGAGAUUGAGAUAAGUGGAUAUAAGAAAGGGCUGAGGAAAUAGGAUGAGGACUAGUAAUGGAAGAAAGGUUGCAAUGCUAGUCUUGGAGGUCGGAGGUUGGUUUGCAAGUUCUAUUGGAAACAGGAAUAGAGGAAGGAGAAGGAGAAGAUAUAGGUGGUAUAUAAGGAUCGUCAUAAUCUGAGAGAGUGAAGUCUUGUGGAAGAGAUGGAGGGGCUGGAAUUGUAGAUUGAUGAAAAGGAAAUAUGUUUUCAUAAAAGGUGACAUCUCUUGAAAUAAAAACAGCCUAUGAAUGCAAAUCAAGCAAGAAAAAUCCCUUUAUACCAGAUUUGAAGCCAAGAAAAAUACAUUUGUGGGCCCUUGCAUCAAAUUUGGUCCUAGUGGCUUUUAAAGUAGAGGCAAAGCACAGUGAUCCAAAGACCCUCAGGUCAUUAUAAUUAGGCAUACAAGAGAAAAGGACUUCAAAAGGAGACUUGUUAUGAAUCAGAGGACUGGGCAAUCUGUUUAUCAAGUGAACAGAAUGCAAGAUAGCAUAGGACCAAUAUGGAAGAGGUAACUUGGAUUGAAAUAUCAAGGAUCUUGCGAGGAUGUGUUGGUGCUUCCUCUCUGCUGUACCAUUCUAUUGAGGAUUCUCAACAUAGGAUAUUCGGUGAAUGACUAAAAGUCUGGUAUUGGAAAUUCAACUCCAAUGUUACUUCUGAUUUUUUGGAUCUUAGUAGAAAAUUGAGUUUCUACAAGAUUAAAAAAGGAUUGAAGGCAAGACCUGGCAUCAGAUUUAGAGUGCAAUAAGAAAAUCCAAGUGAACUUAGUGAAAUCAUCCCCAACAGUUAAGAAGAAUUUGUGACCAGUUAUUGAACAUACUGAAAAUGGCCCCCAAAUAUCUACAUGUAUUAGUUCAAAAGCUCUAUUUGUAGUAGAUAUGCUAUCAGAAAACAAAAGCCUUUUUUGUUUUGCAAAGUGGCAAAACAAUUUCUAGAAAGAGUAAGCUUAGACACAGAUAAGAAUGAAAAGAGCACCAUUCAGUAUCAAUUUGUCUGUCAAUUGAACUGUGCCUGCAACUUUUGUAAGAAGCAUGGAUCCAUUUGGAAGUGUAACAACAAUGGAUGGAAUGUUGUGAUAAGUACUGAAAAGAUGCAGUGAAUGUGCAAUAUGGUAUAUUUCACCAGUGUCCACUAUCCAAACAUCAGAACUGGCAGAAAAAGAUAAUGCCAAAUGUGUACCUGGUUGAGGAUCAAAGGCAGAUACCAAGUUUGUAACAGGAGUAGAGAUUGCCUGAGAGUUGUUAGAUGUUAACUGUGGAUAGGAUUUAGCUUCAAGAUGAGAAUCAUUGAGGAGUGCUAGUAAGCCAUGAUAUUAUUCUUGCGUUAAUGAGAAUCUUAAUUUCUCAAUUUUUGUCUGAGGCCCAAUUGAACUGAUGGCUUGAACCUCAUCAACAGCGAUAACAUUGUUGACGGUCACAUUUGAUCCUCUUGGUUUAUAACCGGGGGAUAUCCAUGUUUCUUAUAGUAAGUUUCUAUUGUGUGCCUGUACCUUCCACAAAAUGUGUAGUAUCUAUUGUCUCCAGAGGAGUUAACAAUAGAUUUUUCAGCUGAAUGAAACUUGUAAUUGUAUGAAGGGACAAAUCUAAAACUGGACAGAUUAGAUUUUGCAAUCGGACUAAUUAAAGCCUUAGAUUCAUCAAGAUGCAUCACAAGAGGGGCUAUUUUCCUUUCCCUUUUCUUAUUGAAUGACUUAAAAAAAAACCGUUAUUGAUGGAAGGAAAGGAGUCUAACAUUAUGAUUUGUGUCCUUACAUUCACAUAUUGUUCAUUCAGACCCUUUAGGAAUCGAAUGACAUAAUCAUGAGAGAGUGAAGUCUUGUGGAAGAGAUGGAGGGGCUGGAAUUGUAGAUUGAUGAAAAGGAAAUAUGUUUUCAUAAAAGGUGACAUCUCUUGAAAUAAAAACAACCUAUGAAUGCAAAUCAAGCAAGACAAAUCCCUUUACACCAGAUUUGAAGCCAAGAAAAAUACAUUUGCGGGCCCUUGCAUCAAAUUUGGUCCUAGUGGCUUUUAAAGUAGAGGCAAAGCACAGUGAUCCAAAGACCCUCAGGUCAUUGUAAUUAGGCAUACAAGAGAAAAGGACUUCAAAAGGAGACUUGUUAUGAAUCAGAGGACUGUGCAAUCUGUUUAUCAAGUGAACAGAAUGCAAGAUAGCAUAGGACCAAUAUGAAAGAGGUAACUUGGAUUGAAAUAUCAAGGAUCUUGCAACAUUGAGGAUGUGUUGGUGCUUCCUCUCUGCUGUACCAUUCUGUUGAGGAGUCUCAACAUAGGAUAUUCGGUGAAUGACCCCUUUAGAAGCAUAAAAGACUGGUAUUGGGAAUUCAACUCCAAUGUUACUUCUGACUUUUUGGAUCUUAGUAGAAAAUUGAGUUUCUACAAGAUUAAAAAAGGAUUGAAGGCAAGACCUGGCAUCAGAUUUAGAGUGCAAUAAGAAAAUCCAAGUGAACUUAGUGAAAUCAUCCCCAACAGUUAAGAAGAAUUUGUGACCAGUUAUUGAACAUACUGAAAAUGGCCCCCAAAUAUCUACAUUUAUUAGUUCAAAAGCUCUAUUUGUAGUAGAUAUGCUAUCAGAAAACAAAAGCCUUUUUCGCUUUGCAAAGUGGCAAAACAAUUACCAGAAAGAGUAAGCUUAGACACAGAUAAGAGAUUAAAGGCAAAUUCUGGAAUGAAAAGAGCACCAUUCAGUAUCAAUUUGUCUGUCAAUUGAACUGUGCCUGUAACUUUUGUAAGAAGCAUGGAUCCAUUUGGAAGAGUAACAACAAUGGGUGGAAUGUUGUGAUAAGUACUGAAAAGAUGCAGUGGAUGUGCAAUAUGGUCUGUUUCACCAGUGUCCACUAUCCAAACAUCAGAACUGGCAGAAAUAGAUAAUGCCAAAUGGGUACCUGGUUGAGGAUCAAAGGCAGAUACCAAGUUUGUAACAGGAGUAGAGAUUGCUUGAGAGUUGUUAGAUGUUAACUGUGGAUAGGAUUUAGCUUCAAGAUGAGAAUCAUUGAGUGCUAGUACGCCAUGAUAUUAUUCUUGCAUUAAUGAGAAUCUUGAUUUCUCAAUGUUUGUCUGAGGUCCAAUUGAACUGAUGGCUUGAAUGUUAUCAACAGCGGUAACAUUGUUGACGGUCACAUUUGAUCCUCUUGGUUUAUAACCAGGGGGAUAUCCAUGUUUCUUAGAGUAAGUUUCUAUUGUGUGCCUGUACUUUCCACAAAAUGUGUAGUAUCUAUUGUCUCCAGAGGAGUUAACAACAGAUUUUCCAGCUGAAUGAGACUUGUAAUUGUAUGAAUGGACAUAUCUAAAAUUGGAUAGUUUAGAUUUUGCAAUUUGACUAAUUAAAGCCUUAGAUUCAUCAAGAUGCAUCACAAGAGGGGCUAUUUGCCUUUGCCUUUUCUUAUUGAAUGACUAAAGAAAAAGUGUUAUUGAUGGAAGGAAAGGAGUCUAACAUUAUGAUUUGUGUCCUUACAUUCACGUAUUGUUCAUUAAGACCCUUUAGGAAUCGAAUGACAUAAUCAUGUUCUACAUAUUGCUUCAUUUUGCUCAAGGCACCAUAUGAACAAUUAGGUUCACAUGAACAGGAAGGCAUUAGUCUGAAAUUCAUCAAUUCAUCCCAUAAAAUUUUGAGUUAAGUAAAAUAAUUAGUGAUAGACUUCUCACCUUUUUUUAGUGCAUAGAUCUCCUCUUGCAAAUCUGAUACUCUCAAGAUAUCUCCUUGAGAGAAUCUUUCUUUUAAAUCUUUCCAAACAUCCAUGGCUUUGUCAAUGAAUAAUAUGUUUUGUGUGAUUGAUGACGAAAGGGAUCACAUUAUCCAAAAUAGAACCAUCAUAUUCCAUCGUUCCCAAGUAGAACACAACAGAUCUGUUGCAGCAGGAGCUUGUAUAAUGCCAUCUACAAAUUUCAUUUUAUUCUUUGACAAUAGGGCCAUCUUCAUUGCUCUUGACCAAGUGUGAUAAUUAGGACAUGUUAAAACUGGAGAAAUAAGAACUAGUGCAGGAUUCUCAUUCGAGUGCAAGAAAUAUGGACCGGAUGGACUUUGUGUUGGAUCGCUACUAGCAGAAACAACCAUGGAUGGAAGAAAAAUUAAAGGGAGGGAAAAAUGAUUUUCUUGAGAGAGAGAAUUAUAGAAAAAAAACUCUAUUUCGGAGCUCGACGAAGGUAAAAAUUAAAGGAAAAAUUGAUUUUCUUUAAGGGUGUAAACGAACCAAACUGUUUGUGAGCUAUUCGAGACUCAACUCGAUAAAAGUUCGAUCGGACUCGGCUCGUUUUCUAAACGAGCCAAGUUCAAGCUCACUUUUUAGGCUCAUUCCGAACUUGAGCUUAGCAGUAUUCAGCCCGUUUAGGCUUGUGAGCUCAGCUCGUCCUGUCAACCUCUAGCAGCCUACUAACAUCCAACAAGACUGCCAGACUGGGAAAGAUUCUAGAAUCGGGGGAAGCUUAACCAGCACAAGACUUCUAGGCUGGAGGAAGAUUCCAGAAUUGGGGGAAGCUUGACCAGCAGACCGUAGCUGGCAGAGAAGUUCUCCAAGAAUCAUUAAAUAAUGCUUGUCUUAGCCUAUAAAUAGGGAAGUCCCACGAAUUUGUAAACAAGAAGCAGAAUAUUAGAGAUUACUUGCAUUGAGAAAGCUCUUAUAAUUUGUACAACCAUUCUCCAAAAAGCAUUAAAUAAUGCCUGUCUUAGCCUAUAAAUAGGGAAGUCCCACGAAUUUGUAAACAAGCAGAAUAUUAGAGAUUACUUGCAUUGAGAAAGCUUUUAUAAUCUGUACAACCAUUCUAGUGAAAUAUACUUCCUCUUUGUGUAAUUCUCUUCUCCUUUGCAAGUGUGUGAUUGUCCCAAUUCGUUCCUUGUGUUGUUGGUUGGUUGGAUAGGCUUACUUUUGUUGGUUUUGGGGAGAGCAACCUCACAAGUGCCGCACGUUGGCAAGCUGAAAAGUCUUGUAGCGUGACACGUGGUAUCAAGCCGACUCGUGAACAAGCUCGCGAACAAUCUCAUGAGCAAGCUCGCGAACAAGCUCAUGAGCAAGCUCGCGAACAGGUUCAUGAGCAGGCUCGUUCGCAAAUACCAAUCCCACAUCGAAAGUUGAAGGGAUAUGGAGGAUUAUGACUUCUCUAUAAAAGGACAACCCUUCAACAUUUUUUUUAUUAGUUUUGGGUUUGAGAGAUUUCAAUUAAAUUUAAAAAAUUUAAUUUAAAAGUCUCUUAAUGAUUUUAUAAUUUAAAUUUCUUAAUAAUUUAAAUGAAUUUGAAUUAUAUUGAGCUUGUUUAUAAUAUAAUCGAGCUCAAAUUCGAGCCUAAAUGAUAAAUGACUAAUUAGACUCCGUUAGGAGUUUUAACCAAUAUCAUUUGACUAUUUGACUAAGACGAUAUAAGAGAAAAGAUAGACUGAAAAGACGAACAGUCUUAUUGAAAUUUUUCAAAAAUUAAAAAGUGGAUUUCUAAUAACUAAGAGAGGCUAUUUAUAAUAGAAAAAAAAAUCAUAAUAUGCAAAAUUAUAAAAAUAUCCAAAAAAUAAUUAAAAUACAAAACUGACCCCCUAAACGAUGAAAUUUUCAUAUUGAACUUUAUAAUAGGCCUGCGACCCUUGUCACACUUUUGAAAGUCAUGCGUCUCAAAAUUCCCUUUUUGAAAAGCUAUCGUGGGUCUCCAUCGGACGUCGGCAGUAAAAGUUAGGCUCAGUCCAAGUCUGCUGUAAAGUCCAAGACUAAUUGCUCCAUAUCAUUCCCUUCCAUUUGUAAAGAAUUCGACCUCGAGUUGUCAUCAGUAGGGUAGUACUGAAAUAGAUUCACCACGUUAAAUGUCUUGAAAAUUUUCAUCUCAUUUGGGAGGUCAAGAACAUAGGCAUUGUCAUUAAUCUUCUAAAUGAUCUGGAAUGGACCAAUCUUCUUGGCGUCAAGCUUUUUUUGUCCUCCACCAUGCUCCUUGCGUAAAUACACUAUAACUUAGUCUCCAACAUUGAAGGAUUUGAAACGCCUAUGUUUAUCAGCUAUAACUUUAUAUUUGUCAUUAACUUCUAUAAGGAAUUGUUGUACCUGUUUCAAAACAUCCACAUGCUACUUUGCCAAGUUGCUUGCUGCUAUACUGUUGUGAGAACCUGUAGAAAGGGCAAUAAGGUCGACUGUAUGUGCUGAGACUUUCCUAUACACAACUGCAAAUGGUGACAUCUUUGUGGAGUUGUGAACAUCACUGUUGUAAUCAAAUUCUGCUUGCACAAGAGCAAGAUUCCAAGUAGUUUUCUUGUUACUACAGAUACGAUGCAAAAGAUUGUGAAGCUUGCAGUUCACUACUUCAGUUUGGGGAUGGGCAGCACUAUUGUAUCGAAGUUCAGUUCCAAAACGUUUCCAUAAAGUCACCCAGAAGUGAGCUAGAAACUUCACAUCUCUGUCAGAAGUAAUGGUCUUUGGGACACCAUGUAGACGAACAACCUCCUGAAAAAACAGUUUUGCCACAUGAGAAGCAUCAUUAGUUUUCUUGCAAGGAAUGAAAUGCACCAUUUUGGAGAACCUGUCAACAACAAUAAAAAUGAAAUCAAAUCCACGUUGAGUACGUGGAAGGCCAAGAACAAAAUUCAUAGACAAGUCCUCCCAAGGAUGUGCUGGAAUAGGCAGUGGAGUGUAUAAGCCCGUAUUCUGCGAAUGUCCCUUCUGAGUUUGACAAAUUGGGCACUUCUGGACCAUCCGACCUAUAUUCCUUUUUAAUUGUGGCCAGUAAAAAUGCUCCUCCAACCCAGCAACAGUCUUAUCACGCCCCAAAUGUCCACUCAAACCUCCUCCAUGGACCUUCCGAAUAAGUUUUUCCCGCAAAGAAGAUCGAGAAAUGCAUAACUUGUUCUCCUUAAAAAGAAAGCCAUCAUAUAUUAAGAACCCAUCAGCAAGCUAGUGAGUCUAGACUCUAGCCCAUAUAUCAGAAAAGUCAUCAUCUGUAGCAUACAAAUCCUUUAGGAAUUCAAAACCUACAACUUCCUGAUUAAUUGUAAUCAAUAGAGCAACCCUGUAAUACCCGGCUAGAAUCCGGCACCGGAAUUCCUGUUGUCUGGUGGAAUCCGGGGUGUUGGGAUUCUAUAUACGGGUAGGAUCGAUAGUUUUGAGUUGAAAUGAACCAAGGCAGAGGAGCCAAGUUCGGCCGCCGAAGAUAAGUUCGGCCGCCGAAAGUGCUCAAUGUUCGGCUUCCGAAGAUUCAGGUUCGGCCCCCGAAUGUUGCAUGGUCUUGCAUGCGAUUGGGCAGCCGAAACUGAGUUGGCCAGCCAGCUUUUGGGCAUCCUUAGUCAGCAUUUUGGACAGGUGUUAACCAGGCUUAACAGGUAUGAGAUAACCCAUCUAGAGUAAGCUCUAGUCAGGGAUACAGAGUACAGAGUACAUGAGUACAGAGUACAUGAGUACAGAGUACAGAGAUAGUGCAUGCACAGGUUAAGCCUUGGUUCAGAAAAGAGUUUUAUUUUCACAGAAAAUGUAUGAUCAUGUAUGAGGUUUACAGGUACACAGAGAGUAUAGUAGGCUUGCUACGGGUUCUGGCGGCCUUAAGCCGACCUGAAUCCUAGCGCCGGUGACGGUCCAUUUUGGGGUCGUUACAAACCCUACUACUCAAAGCAUCUGCCACCUUAUUACUAUGGCCAGCCUUAUGUUUUAUGACAUAAUGAAAGGCUCCAAAAUAAGUUGCCCAUCGACCAUGCAUCUUAUUCACAUGUUUUUAAGUUUUAAAGUGGAUCAAAGAUUGAUGAUCCGUGUGAAUAAUAAACUCUCAUCCCAUCAUAUACUACUCCCAAGUUUUAAAAGUCUGGAGUACUACAUAUAGCUCUUGCUCAUAAGUAGACCACUUCUUCCUAACUUCAUUCAGUUUCUCACUAAAGAAGGCAAUAGGCCUUUUAGACUGCGACAACACUCCGUCAAUCCCAACUCCACAAGCAUCACAUUCAAUCUCAAACAGUUUAUCAAAAAUAGGUAGAGCAAGAAUAGGGGCAGAAGUAAGCUUAUCUUUAAUCUCUUCAAAUCUCUUGUUGAUAGUGUCAGUCCAAGCAAAUUUCUACACUCUCUCUUUCUUCAAGCAAUCUGUGAUAGGGUAAUGAUGCUGCUAAAAUUUCUGAUAAACCGCCGAUAGAAAGUAGCAAGGCCAUGAAAGUUGCGAACUUCAAAAAUAGUUUUGGGGAUGGGCCAAUUCCGUAUUAUUUCUACCUUCUUCUCAUCAAUAUGUAUUCCUUUUGCACUAACAAUGAAUCCCAGGAACAAAACGCGCUCUGUCAUAUAAAUGCACUUUUUAGAUUAAUAACCAUCUCACUUUCUUGCAAGGUUGUCACGAUUUGAUGGAGAUGCUGUAAAUGUUCUUCUUUGCUGCGACUAAAAAUCAAGAUGUCAUCAAAAUAAACAACCACAAAUUUGCGUAAGAAAGGACGCAAAACCUUAUUCUUAAGUCGCAUAAAGGUGCUAGGUGCAUUCGUCAAACCAAAGGGCAUAACCAGCCACUCAUACAAGCCUUCCUUAGUCUUGAAGGCGGUCUUCCAUUCAUCUCCCUCCUUGAUCCGAACUUGGUGAUAGCCGCUUUUAAGGUCGACCUUAGAGAAGACUUUAGACCCGGAUAACUGAUCUAGCAUAUCAUCCAGUCGUGGAAUAGGAAAUUGAUACUGAACUAUAAUUUUGUUGAUGGCGCUGCUAUCCACGCACAUUCCUCAAGUCCCAUCUUUCUUUAGAACUAAUAGGGCAGGUACUUCGCAGGGGUUAAUGCUCUCCCGAAUAUUCAAUACUUCUUCAACGUGUUCUUGGAGGAUUUCACUCUCCUUUGGACUCAUAUUAUAAUGAGGCAAAUUCGAUAAUUUUGAUCCAGAAAUGAGAUCAAUCUGAUGUUGGAUAUUCCGCAAAGGUGGAAACUUGGAUGAUUCCUCCACUAUCUUAGGAAACUCCUUCAACAGCUCUUUGACAGGUGGUGGUAAAGAUGGUGCAUCCUCCAUUACACCUUUUGCUCUCACCAAUAAAGCCAGUGUGCCUCCAGAUUUUUCAACUGCGCCUGAUAGCCUCUGCACUCCCGUGGAAAUAGCAACAACAUUCUUCCUUUCUACUUUAGAAUGUUUCGCAGAACCAGAAGGCAAGAUAGUAAUCUUCUUUUGAUUCCACGUGAACAUGUAUAAAUUCUCCUUCCCCUUAUGCAAAGCAUCAACAUCAAACUGCCAAGGGCUACCUAGCAAAAUUUCACAGCAAUCCAUAUCCACAACAUCACAAUUAACAGGUUCAGUAUAAGAUUUACCGAUCAAGAUAGGCACGCUAUAGACUCUAUUGACCUCAAUUGUCGGACCUUCCUUAAUCCAUCUGACUUUGUAUGCGAAGGGUGUGGCUGUGUAGGCAACUGCAAUUUUCCCACCAAUUGCUUAGCUAUCAGAUUCUCACAACUGCAACUAUCUAUAAUUAGCCUGCAAAUUGCCUCUCAUACUUGACAAUUUGCUUGGAAAAUCUUCCUCCUUUGCGUCUCAUCCUCCUGUUUUGUUGAGCAUAAGAUUUUCUUCACCACAUAGGUGAUCUCUCCAUCUUUUGAACUAGCAAUCUGAAUGUACAUGACAUUCAAAUUUCACAUUAAGACAGCAAAGNNNNNNNNNNNNNNNNNNNNNNNNNNNNNNNNNNNNNNNNNNNNNAAAAAUCUAUCAUGAUGGAAUAUGGUAGAGACUUACAUCUCCACUCCUUUCCUUCACUUUCUUAAUUAUAAUUAGGAACAUCUUCAACUUCAAUUCAAGUACGUACACAAAUAAAAAAAACUUAAUUACACGUAUAAAACAUUACCAAAUUUCAACGAAUCUAUCAUGGCGCAUCAACAUGUUUAUUCCCAGUGGAACACAUGGUUGAACCAAGAGUACUAUAAUUUAUAUAUCGGCUAGGAGCUGAAGUUCUAUGAAAUCCUUUCGGCAAACAAUUCGUCAUCCACGUCUUCCUCAGAUUCAGCCACCGGCUCAACCACAUUAACCUAUCAGUGAUCAGUAUUAACUCCUCUAUGUUCUGAACAAUUAUUCGAUCGAUGACCAGGUUGCCUGCAGCGGUAACAUAUGUCUCCCAUUGGCUUCUGAUAAGGAUUGGUCUACCUCCUUUGUCUAUUGUAGUAGUGACUGCCUUUCCUUUACUGUCUCUCCUUUCUUCCAUAAUAUUUUGAGGAUUGCCAGAAUUUACAACCUUAGAAGACUGCUCGCUGUUAUUGCCUCUAUACUGCUAUGUCCUUGUCGAACCAAAAUUUCUAUAAUUAAAAUUCCGGUUGUACUACUGUCGUAGUUGCCAAUCAACACGCUCUUCUACUCUUUUUGCCAUCUCGAUGGCGUCUGUCAAAGUGAAAAUCGUAGCUUGAUAGUGGUUGUCGAAGCUGUAAAAAAUAAACCUAUUAUCAAUCAAUAAAAUAAUUUGUAGAUAGUGGCAAUAGGGUCGAACUAUAGGGAUUUGACACUAAAGAUCUUCCUAAUUAUGACUUGGACAAGUAAAUAAAAAUAAAUAAAAAGAGGGGGCUUUGUUUUGAUGAUAAUGAAUUAAAACUAAAUAGUAAGAGAAAGUAAUAAUUUAAAAAGAUGAGUAAAUCAAUGGGAGAAAAGCUCUAGUUGAAGUAUGGAUCUGUUUCAAUUGUUUAGAAUUGAUCAUUGAUACUCCUAUUUAUUUUAAUAAAUUAGUUUAGAUUGUGGAAGACGCUUCUCAAAACCAAAUUCCUCCUUAGUUUUAGUUUGACUAGGAAACGUUCGCUAAUCAAACACUAGUUAACAAGUUGCCAAGGAACGUCUUUGGGAUUUUUUACUUUUCAACUGUUAACUGCAUUAAGACUUAGAGAAACCCAAUUCUAAUCUUGCCAACCGCGUGGUCAAGUUUAGAUUAUGCAACCAAGUGUGCUUGUGUUCAAACAAUCUAAGGAAUUACGGACCUAAAUUAUUCAAACUAACAAUUUAUUACUUAUGCAAUUAAAAGCAACAGGCCUUAAUUGAUUCUAAUAACAAAGCAAUAAUAGCAUGAAGAUCAAGUUGCACAAAUAUUGAAAAUAUAGGAGCUUAACAAUGGAGUUUUAAAUCUCUCAAUUCAUCACAAACUGAAAUUUUCCAACUUCAACUAGAAAAGAAGGUGUUUAGCCACUCAUGGUGGACAAAAAUACACAAAAAGAAAGAAGAAAAGUAGAAGAAGAGAGCUGUUGUGUUGCUUGCUGACUUUCUGCAGUAAAUUCGAUGCCUUUUUGCUGGUUUUGGUGCUAUCCCUUUUAUAGGUGGAGAUUCCUAAUUCAAUUAGGACUUGGAAUCCUUCUUUGAAUUGGUUUCAUGAUGGUCUUUUAAUUCCUCCUUGCUUUCGUAUUUUAUAAUGAAUAAAAUUCCUUUGGUGAAAGAUUUUCUUUGGUGUGGCUUUUGGAGUUGUCAUAAGAUUGAUCUUGUAGUGUUUGAAGUAGGAUAGGACUUCAAUGCUUUUGAAAUUUGAAAUUUGAAAUUUUUCUCGAGCUGUUGUUCCUUGUUUGCGUCAGUUUGAUUUGGGCAGUUGAUUUGCCCAAAUCGCUUGCCCAGAUCAUUUCUGCAAUUCAGUCCCAGUUUUCUGCUUCAGCUUCCUGCGAGUGAUUUGGCCAAAUCACUUCGACCCAAUCAAUUUUUCAGCUUUUUCUGCACUUUUUCUCUAACUUUCCAUUUUCUUCAUUUUCUGUAAAAAUAUCACAAAAACAUAAAUUAAAUUAGAAAAAUGUGUAAUUAAACAGUAAUAAAAAUAAUAAAAAUGUGACUAAAUUAUGCUUGAACACAGCUACUCCUAUCAUACAACGAAUUUCGUGAUUCAGGCCCCUCUGAUAAUGAGCAACUUGCUGGGCUUCGUUCUCACAGUUUUCACACCUCGCCUAUAAUCUCAAAAACUCCUCGGUAUAUUCAUUCACCCUUCGGUUCCCCUGUACACAGUCAUGAUAUCGGUUAUACAAAACCUGAGCGUGAUCGUUUGGCAAGAACCGUUGUUUAAUCAUCUGCUUCAUUAACACCCAGUUUCGUAUGGGUUCCAGCCUCCUCUGAUAGCAUUCAUUUUGAAUCGAAUUCCACCAGGCUGCUACACCUCCUUUUAACUUAUAGGCCAUAAUCGAAACCUUGCGAUCCUCUUUCACGUUUAUAACUUCGAAGAAAUGUUCAACCUCUGCCAGCUAAUCAAGAACAGAUUCCACAUUCAACGAACCAGAAAAGUUUUGAAGGUCUAUAUUGAUCUUGUAACCUUCCUGAUAAUUCUGUUGGGGAUUUGCAGGUACAGAAUUGGCGACCACAAAAUUGGCGGCCACAGGAUUGGUGACUGGCUGGGGGUGUGCGACGGCGGUGGGUUGGUGUAUUCCCUACUGCAGGGCCAGCUGUCCUAUCAUCUCCUUCAAUUCUGCCAAAGAUGCCUCAAUCGCAGCAAGUCGUACCUCUUAGUUGUCUGCCAUGGUCAAACUUUGCUCUGAUACCAAUCAGAUAAAGGACUAAUUAGACUCUGUCAGGAGUUUUAAUCAAUAUCGUUUGGCUAAGACGAUAUAAGAGAAAAUAUAUGCUGAAAAGACGAAUAAUCUUAUUGAAAUUCUUCAAAGAUUGAAAAGUGAGUUUCUAAUAGUUAAGGGAGGCUAUUUAUAAUAGAAAAAAACUCUAAUAUGUAAAAUUAUAAAAAUAUCUAAAAAAAUAAUUAAAAUACAAAAUUGACCCCUAAAAGAUGGAAUUUCCAUAUCGAACUUAGUGAUAGGCUUACUGCCCUCGUCACACUUUUGAAAGUUGUGCGUCUCAAAAUUUCCUUUCCGAAAAGUUAUCGUGGGUCUCCAUUGGACGUCGGCAGCAAAAGUUAGACCCGGUCCAAAUCUGCCAUAAAGUUCAAGACUAGUUACUCCAUAUCACUAAAUGAGCUCAAAUUUACUCCAUAUCACUAAAUGAACUCAAAUUCAAACUUUUUGAAUAGAGUUUGAGUUGGCUCGUUAAUGUGAUAAACGAGUUUAUUAAGAAUCGAGUUCGAGCCGAAGAAUCGAGUUCGAGCUUAUAAAUGAAACUCGAGUCAAGCUUGAAUUCGAACUUGAACUUUUAAAUUUAUUUUCUAAUUGAAUUUGAGUUUAUCAAAGCUCGGCUCAACUCGACUCGAUUAUGGCCCUAAUUUCUUGUAUAUUUUGGAUCAGCAGCCAUACAUGUAUAUAUACAGUGGGUACAAUAGGCUUGACUCAAGAUAGGUUUACAGAAAAUGCAACACACUUGAAAGAACUGAAAACAGUUUCUCUAAUCAACCUUAAUAGGUUUCUUGCUUUUUUUUUUCAUGAUUUAAUCUUAAACCUUUUUGCAGUACGAAAAAUAGUGUAAUUUAUCAAAUUAAAAAAAAAAGUCUAUUCAUGAAAUUAAGUGCGAAAAUAACUUAUUCACCUUUAAAUUAAUAUAUACAUUAUAUAUAAAUUGCAUAAUAAAUUUAUUAACCAACUUAAAUCAUUUGUUUAGAUUACAGAUUUUGGACUUGCUCAUGUUUUUACGGACGUUGCUACUCACAUAUCCAAAUCAUCAGUUAUGGGAACCCGAGUGUACGUAAGAUAUAACUUUCUUUCUAUAUUUAAUUGCAUUGCUAUUUUUUUUCUUAUAUAAACGAAUUGCAUUGCUAUUAUUAUCUUUUUUAUUUUCACUCUCAUUAUUAUCUACUCUAAAAUAAAAAUUAAAAUAAAAAAAUACAUAAAAAUAAAUUAAGACUCCUUAAUUUGAAGAUAUUAUUUUCUUAAAGAAAAUCUACAUGAAUUUUAAUUGCAAUAAUUCCAUUGCAGUUAUGAAGAUCCACUAACGACGAAAUUGGGGAAGUAUUCUGAUAAGUCUGAUAUUUAUUCUUUUGGUGUUACACUUUUAGAGUUGAUUACCGGAAGAAAACCUCUAGAUAAUGGCACUGAUAUUGUUACUUGGGUAUGACUCUAUUUGCAUUAAUAAAAACUAUGAUAUAAUUUUUUUUUUAUCUCAGUGAUAUAUAGUCAUUUAAAAAAAGUAAAGUCUUGAAUUUAGAUUUCAAUGGAGCUAUUUAGAUUUCAUUCCCAUGCAUUUAAGAUCCAUUAAUAAAUAUUUUUUUUAUCUUGUAGGCAAAUCUUCGCAUUAAAAAAGUUUUAGACGGAAAAUAUGCAAAUUUUGUAGAUUCUAAAUUACAUUCUUUUGAUGCCGAACAAAUGCAUAGAAUGGUUUCUUGUAUUAAUUCUUGCUUAAAUCAACCUCCAAACUCUCGUCCAACGAUGGAAAAGGUAAAAAUUGUUCCCAUAAUUAAUUUAAUUUCAGUAUCUUUCAAUAUAUAUAUAUAUAUAUAAUUAUGUAGAAGCCUAUUGAUUUGUAAUUAUUUUUUUGCUAUAAAUGUCACACAGAUACGUUUAGUUCUUGAAGGAAAAUCACCUCUAGAGGAAUUAUAUGGUCACGAAGGAUUGCAGCUGAGUAUGAUAUAUAAAGGUUCAUAUUAUUUUAUGUUAAUUUAUUAUAAAUUAUAUGCAUAUUUAUACUAAAGCUUGAUCUAAUUGCUGCCUAAAUUGUCAUUUAAUUUUCAACUGCAAAAAAUAAGUUUUUUAAUUUGAAAUUUAGAAUAAAUUAGUUUUUAACCAAAAUUGAUACAUAUUAAUUAAAUAUAUUUUUUAAUCUUAUAAUUAUUCAAACAAACUGUAAAAACAAUGAUGAAAGCUUUAUCUUAAAGUUUUAAAACAUAAAUCUAAAAGUUCAUAAAUAAUUUCUUAAUCGUUAAUUUUGUUAAUCAUUGAAUUAAAACGUAUAGUUAAUAUAUAUAGUAUUGAAUAGUUUCAGGAUUAAAAAUAUAAUUUUAUUUGAAUAUAAUUAUUUAUAGGGUUAUGAUUUAUCUUAUUAAUUAUUUUUAAUAAUUAUAGGAGACAAGAACAAAAAAAUCAUUUAUCAACCGAAAACCUCCUUUGUCCCAUAUAUAUGAAAAGUGUAAAAUUAAGAAUUACUAUAUUUUAUUUAUUAUUUCAUAAAAAUGAAUACGUAAUUACAUUUACAUUUAAAUCGGUUAGAGUUUUUUAGAAUUAAAAAAUAAAUUAUAAAUAUUUAAUUUAUUAAUUAGGAAUCAAUAUAUAAAUUGGAUGUUUGUAUUAAAUAGUUAACAUUUUAGUCAAUUUACAAGUUCAUUGACUUAUUUAUAAUUUUACAUAUUAUUCUUUUAUUAUUUAAGGAAAAGUAAAUAAAUAGAAACAAAUCUUCAUAAGAAAAAAAUAUAUAUUAUCAAUGGCCAUGAAACCAUUUGCUAUUUUGAAGUUGUUAAAUUUUCUUUUGAAAGAUUGUGAAACGUAAUGAUUUACUUAUAUUAUAUACAUCCUGUUUGACAAACUUCUAAUAAAUUGAUUUAGUUUGUUUAAAUAAUAAACUUAUGAUAUUUAUAGGUUACAGUGUUUUUAGGUAAAUUUCAAUCAUAUAGGUUAUUUGAAUAUUAUUAAAAUUAGUACAUAACAAUAAUAAUAACUCAAUGUAUAAAAUUAAGAAAAUGAAAAAUAAAAAUAUGAAAGUUAAUACGAUCAUUUCUCGUUCACUAAUCUAAUUGGUGAAGGUGGUUUAGGACAAAUUUUUAUCGGAUCUUUGAAUGGUGAGAUCCGUGCUAUCAAUAAACUUAAAAAUCUGCCGGAUUUACAAUUCGAAGGAGAUUUUGAGAGACAGAUUAGGGUCUUUCAUAGUAUCCGUCACAAAAAUCUCAUUGAACUGCUUGGUUACUGCAUCGAUGGACCCAAUAGAUUUCUUAUUUUAGAGUAUUUUCCAAACGGAUCUUUGAAAUAUAAAUUACAUGGUGAGUCCUAUAUCUUUUAUUUUAUAUUCAUAUAACUGUUAUGACAUAUAUAAUUAAUCUGACAAAUUAGAAAUGGUAUAUUGUAGAAAGUCAGAAUGUUUUGGACUGGAAAAAAAGAAUGAAGAUCGCUAUAGGUUCUGCAAGAGGAUUGGAAUAUUUACAUGAACAAUGUGAGUAUAUAUUAAUAGAAUAUAUUUAUGCUUGGUAGGCUUUGUAUUAAUAAUUUAUUUUCUUUAAAGUCUUAUCUUCUCUUUAUGUCUUUUUCAGGUAAUCCUAAAAUCAUACAUUUAGAUAUCAAACCAAAUAAUAUUAUUCUUGAUCAUAACUUUGAACCUAAAGUAAGACAACUAAAUAAUAAAUAAAAGUUUUGUUUAUAUCAUUAUAUAUUUAUAUUAAAACCUUGAUUGUUGAAUUUUUAAAAAAAAAAAUAUAUUAAAAAAUAUGUGAACUCAUUAAUUUGAUUGUUGUAACUAAUUAAUAAAUUAACCUUUAUAGUUUUUUUUGUCUUUUUCCUGCCUUAAUAUUUUCUUAAUAAACCUUAUUGAAGUACGGAUAAUAGUGUUAUAUGAUCAAAUAAAAAAUAAAAAAUAAAAAAAGAAUAUAUUCAUGAAAUUAAGUGUUGAAAAUAAUUAAAUAUUUAAAUUAAUAUAUAUAUAUAUAUAUAUAUAUAUGGCAUAAUAAAUUUAUUAAUCUACUUAAAUCAUUUGUUUAGAUUUCAGAUUUUGGACUCAGCACAUUUUUUACGGACGAUGAUAGUGACAUAGACGAAUCAUAUAUUGGAUGGACCCCAGGGUACGUAAGAUACAACUUUCUUUCUAUCAUUUUAAUUACAUUGCUAUAUAUUAUUGUAUAUUUCUUUUUUAGUGCCAUUAUUAUCUACACAUAAAAAGAAAUUAGGACUCUUUAAUUUGGAGAAAUUAGUUUUCACAAAGAAAAUUUUAACAUGAAGUUUAAUUGUGAUCAUUCAAUUGCAGAUAUACAGAUCCGGCCAUAUUUCAAUCGAAAAAGUAUUCUGAUAAAUUCGAUGUAUAUUCUUUUGGUAUUACACUUUUAGAGUUGAUUACGGGAAGAAAGCCCAUUCAUAAAGGACUUGACAUUGUUACUUGGGUAUGACUCUAUUAGUUUAUAACGGUAUAAUAUAAAAAUUGUAAUAUAUAUUCUUUUAGCUCAUUGAAAAAAAAUAUAUACAUAUAUACUAUAAGUUAAAUAUAAAUUUACAUGCAACAAAUAUUUAUGAUUUGUUAAUAAAUAUUUUUUUUUCAAUAUCUCAUAGGUAAAUCCUCUAAUUAAAAAGGCUUUAGACGGAGAAUAUGUGAAUUUUGUAGAUUCCAGACUACAAUCUUUUGACCACAAUGAAAUGCAUCGAAUGAUUUUUUGUGCUAAUAGUUGUAUAAAUCAAUCUCCAAAAUCUCGUCCAUCAAUGAAAAAGGUAAAAUUUAUUCACAUAAUUUAAUUUUGGUGUAUUUUAAUUAAUUUUGGGGAAGCAUUAAAAGAUUACAUAAUUGAUUUAUAUAUUUUUAUACCAUUGCUAUGCCAUGUAGAUAUUUCUAGCUCUUGAAGGACUUUUGCCUCUAGAGGUUUUAUGGGAUGAGAAGAACAACUACUUACUAGAGAGAGCUGCAAAUGAAGGUCCGUUUCUAGUAAACUAUGGGAAUAUCUAUUUCAAAGUGUUGUUCAUUUUCUUUAUAGAUAAAUUAUAACUUAAGGAUAAAGUGAGAUCAUAUUAAUGUGAAAAAAAAAAAUCUUACUAUUAUCAAUUAAAUUUUAAUUUGUUUCAGCUACAUUUUAGAAUAAAUUAAAUUAUUUUUUAAAGCAAAUUCAAUUAAACUUAAGAUUGGUAAUCAAAUCAAAAUCAUAUUUUAGUGAAUUAAAUCUUUUUUUCUUUAAGAUAAAAAGUUACAAAAUCUAAAAGUAUAAAUUGUUUUGAAUUGCAUUUUUAAAAUACUUAAUUUAUUUAAUUCUGAUUGGCAUAUAAUUCUUAAUUUUGUCUAUUUAUUUUCAUUGAAAUAAAAUGAUUACUUUAGAUACAGCUUCACAUUUGCUUCUCAACCAGUUUCACAUUUUUUUAAUCUGUUUUGAUGGAUUUUUUAUCCAAAUUUUUUUACUUAGCAUGAUUGAUCAUAAGAUGGAUAUAUUAAAAAGUCUGAUAACCGAUUUUAAUUAGAUUUUUCAUGUUAAAUUUUUUCUUGUCUUAUUAAUAAAAUGCUGCUUAUCAGAAAAAAAAAACCAGUACUUACCAUUUUGUUUUUUAAUUCCAUUUCUUGGCAAAGCAGGUGAUCCCGUUGGAGUUCGAGCAGGAAAUAUUCCUCUGAAAAAUCUCAAGAAUUGAGCAGAAAUGUUUAAAAAAAGAAUUAUUUUUUUCCUUUUAAAUAGAAGUUGGAAACUUCAUUCAAAGGCCAAUUGAACAUCGAAAUAAAAGAUAGGCCUCAGUUGAGUUGGCAAAGGAAGACUUUCUGAAUUUUGCUUUGCUUGUAUGAACAUGUAUGUGGAUCAUUCUAUGUAUUGAUACGUCUUUGGAGUACUAUUGCAAUUUUUUUUUUAAUUAAAAAAAAAAGUUGGGGUCUGAAAUAAAUAGUAUACAAUGAAGUGAUUUAAUUUUUAUAAAAUCAUAUUAUUUUUAAAUUAAAUCUUUUUAGUUAACAAAUUUAAAUGAAUUUAUCCAUCUCAAUCUUGGAGAUAAGGUUGUUGUUGAAGGUGAAGGAAAUGAUAGGCCAAAAAGAUCUCAAUGUGUGCUAUGUAACAUGAGACAUGGACACACCUAUAUGUGCAACAUGAUGGUAUACUUGCUCAUGCAACAUGAAAAAGAAUGUGGCUUUAUUUGUUGAUUUACUUGCUUCACGUGGGAUUAGACCAAAUUAUUAUCUAUUGUUAUUUUUUUUCACUAUAUCAUGAAGUUAGGAGUAGUUAUUGAUUCCAAUUUAUAUUUAAACUCUUUCUCAUUUAUCAAAAAGCCAUGCAUUAUUUUAAAUAAAAUCUCCUAAUUUAUUUUAACUAUAAGCAAAAUAUUAGUUAUUCUUUUUAAUUUUGAUUCGACCUGUCAUCCUGGGCUCUUCAGUUUUUGCAUUGAACCGAAUGUAUUUGUAUUUGAUGCUGGACGCUGGGAAAAUGGGGUAUGGAUCUGGAAUCUGCUGUGGACAACUAUAUAUACACAUGAUAUUGUAUCAACGGGAGAUUGAACUCCUAGUCCAACUAUUGGCUUCUAUUAGAGGUGUAAAUGAAUCAAAUCGUUCGUGAGCUACUGGAGAUCCGGUUCGAUAAAAACUCGACCAAGUUCGAGUUUAAUUUUUAGACUCAUUUGAUAAACAAACUAAAUUUGAGUUCCAUAGUAUUCGACUCGUUAAAACUCAGUGAGUUCGGCUCGUUUCUGAGUUAAUGAGCAGGCUCGCGAAUAGACUCGUGAACAGUCUCAUUAAGUAAGUUGAAAUUAUUAUCAUAACAGCAAUAAACUCAAAUCCUACAUAUACUUUCAUUAGCCAAACUUAAAUUUUUUAAAAUUCAGCUCAAUAUAAUUUAGUUAUACUUUUAAAUUUACAUAUAUUUGGAUCAUUAAAAUUUUAAAGUUUAUCUUUAUAAGUUUACGAGUUAAUUUGUGAAUAUACUUAUUUAACUAAAAUUAUUUUAGUUUUAAACUUAUUCGUUUUAAAUUAAAACUCAUUAUAUAUGUAAAUAAAUUGAAUCAUUAGUUAACUAUUCGAGACUAAACUCGAUAAAAGUUCGAUUCAGCUCGAUAAAAACUCGACUCGUCUAAAUUCGUUUGCUAAACGAGACAAACUUAAACUUUUUAAUACUCGACUCGAGUUCGAAAUGAGUAAAACUCGAAUUCGGUUCGAAUUUAAAAAAAUUUUAACGAACCAAAUUUGAGUUCUUCAAAAUUCGACUCGACUUGAUUCGUUUACACUUCUAACUUCUAUUAAUACAACUAGACCAUAGACUGAAAAAUCAUCGCCUCAUUUAGAAAGUUUAAUGUUACAAGUUAUUUCAAUUGCUAGUUAGUUCUCUUUAUUAAUUUAUCUAAAUUAAAGAAUGAAUAAUUAAAAAACCAUAAUCAUAUGAAUUAGAUAUGAGACCAUCCAGAUCGUUGACUUUGAAAAAAAAAUGUUAAUACUAAUUAAAUUCAAAUGCCAUGAUUGUUCAUUGAUAGAGUUAUUAACAUAAGUACAUCCAUUCAAACGUCCAGGUGGAAAUCACGUUAACCUUAUGUCUUAAUAAACAAUAAAUAACUUGUUAUUUUUAUAAGACUUUUAUAUUUUUAUUUUUAUUCUCAUAAUCUUUUGUUGCCCACUACACGAAAUUAAUUUGUCAAUUAUUUACAUCAGAUAUCCUGCAUAAAAUCACUAAUAUAUUAUAAAAUUACUCUAAUUACAGUGUGAAAACAUGAAAUUCCCAUACUCAUUCUGUAAGAAAGCCCCAUUAAUUACAUUUUUUAUUAUAUAUUUUAAGAAAAGAAAUUAUAUCCACCGUAGGUUUACUGAGUCGAACUCAUUAAUAAAAGACCCUCAUUGAAACUUAGAAUAAAGAGAAACUCAUUAAUAAAUUUAUAAUAUGCAUUACACAAAAUGACAUUAACUGGAGGCCACAUGCUGCGAAUUCUACGCUCAACGUCAACGUUAAUUUUUUUUUUUUUUUAAAAAAAAGGAAAACGAAGGUCCUAACUGUCUUCCUUCAUCCUUCUUACAUCUCCCUCUUUAUCUCUGACCAUUCACAUUCACACUCUAUAAGAACUCUAUUAUAUAUACUUGCAAAAAACCUCUGGCCGUGGUUGCACAAGUCUGCAACUUCUGAUGGCCAAUCGCUUGGGGAUGAACGGGGCAGAUCACCGGAUUGAAACUAGAGGUAUUAAUUGUUUUUAGCUGAAACUGUUGUACCAAAUAGUAAUAGUUUCAUGGAGAUUUCAUUUCAUCUAACUAAUUGAGGCAUGUUGUUUAUUGAUUGUCACUAAGCACAGAUCAGAAUGAAUCUGGCUCAUCUUCUGAGAAGACUAUUGGGCCAAAGUCAUAUUCAUACGGUGAAUUAGCAAAGGCAACUGAUCAUUUCUCGCACAAUAAUCUAAUUGGUAAAGGUGGUUUUGGUCAUGUUUUUAAGGCAUCUUUAGAUGGUGAGAUCCGUGCUAUCAAGAAACUUGAUUUUUCGGAUGUACAAUCCGAAGGAGGUUUGGAGAAGGAGAUUAUGAUCGUCCAAAGCCUCAGUCACAAAAACCUCGUUGAACUGGUUGGUUACUGCAUUUAUGGAGCCAAUAGAUUGCUCAUCUUAAAGUAUUUUCCAAAUGGGUCCUUGAGAUCUAAAUUACAUGGUGAGUCCCAUAUUCUUUCUUUUACUUUUAUGUUCAUAUAACUAAUCAAUAUGAUAUAAUUAAUAGGAAGUGAUAAUGUUUUGGACUGGGAAAUAAGAAUGAAGAUCGCUAUAGGUUCUGCAAGAGGAUUAGAAUAUUUACAUGAAAAUUGUGAGUAUAUACUACUACAUAUUCUUAUAUGGCAGUAUUUUAGCUUUUUGAGUGUAAAUUUAUUUAUUUAUUUUUAUUUAUGUUUGAUAAUUUAUUUUCUCUUGCAGUUCAUAUUCUUUUUAUAUUUUUUCAGAUAAAUCUAAAAUUGUUCAUUUAGAUAUUAAACCAGAUAAUAUUCUUCUUGAGGAAGAUUUUGAACCUAAGGUAAGAUAAUUUUAUCAUAAGAAAAUAUUUUAGUAAUGUCAUCACAUAUGUAUAUAUAGCGUAACUUUGAUGAUUGAAAUUUUAUUUUUGAAUAACAUUAAAAAAUUAUGUGAAUCAUUAAUUAUAUAAUUUAAUUAAUAUAUAUAUAUAUAAAUGGCAUAAUAAAUUUAUUUAAUUAACUUAAAUAAUUUGUUUAGAUAACAGAUUUUGGACUUGCUCAAUUUUUUACCGACGGUGCUACUCAUAUAUCCAAAUCAUCAGUUAUGGGAACCCAUGUGUAAGAUAUAAUUUUCUUUCUAUCAUUUAAUUGCAUUGAUAUUAUUUUCUAUUUUUUCAAAUGCUAUUAUUAUCUUCUCUUAGAAUAGUUUAAAAUAAAAUAAAUAUUGAAAUAAAUAAAAUAACACAUAAAAAAAUAUAAGUGCUCCUUAAUUUGAUAGUAUUAGUAAUCUUAAUCUUAACGCACUCACAGAUUUAAUCUGGUGGUAAGUGCAUUUGAGUAAAUCUGAGAGAUUUCAUAUUCUACUUUUCAAAUCUCCAAUUCUCAGUUCAAAAAAAUAAAAGUAAUCUUAAUCUUAACAAAUUCUAUUGCAGUUACGAAGAUCCACUGACAACAAAACUUGGAAAGUAUUCUGAUAAAUCCGAUAUUUAUUCUUUUGGAGUUACACUUUUAGAACUGAUUACUGUAAGAAUGCCUAUAGACAAUGGUAUUGACAUUGUUACUUGGGUAUGACUCUGUUUGCUUUAAUAAAACUAUGAUAUAAAUAUUCUAUUUACCAUUUAUAAAGUUUUGAAUAUAGAUCUCAAUUGGAGUUAUUUAGAUUUCAAUCCAAUGCAUUUAUGAUUCAUUAAUAAUAAUUUUUUAAUUAAUAUCUUGUAGGCAAAUCCUCUAAUUAAAAAGGCUUUGGAUGGAAGAUAUACAAAUUUUAUAGAUUCCAAUUUACAAUCCUUUCACCACGAACAAAUGUAUCGAAUGGUUUCUUGUGUUAAUUCUUGUCUAAAUCAACCUCCAAGCUCUCGGCCAACAAUGAAAAAGGUAAAAUUUUUCACAUAACUAAUCUCAAAACCAUAUAUAUAUUAUCUUAAACCUUGUAAUCAUUUUAUUGUUAUGUCAUGCAGAUACGUCUAGUUCUUGAAGGAAUAUCACUCCCGGAAGAAUUAUACGAUCAUAAAUUGCGAAAGAGCAUCAUACAUAAAGGUCUAUAUCCUUUUAUGUUAAUUUAUUAGAAAUUAUAUGCGUAUUUAUACUAAAACUUGAUCAAAUUGAUGCCUAAAUUAAUUUUUAUUUAAUUUGUGUCAUAUCUUAAAAUUAGAAACAAAUGUUGAUUUUCAACUGCAUAAAUAUUAAUUUUUUUAAUUUUAAAUGUAGAAUAAAUUAGUUUUUUAGUCAAAAUUGUUAACAUAUUAAUGAAAUAUAAUUUUUAUCUUCUAAUUAUUCAAACAAACUGUAAAAACAAUGAUGAAAAUUUUACCUUAAAGUCAUACAUAAUUCCUAAUCAUUAAUUUUGUCAAUUAUUGAAUUAAAUCAUAUAGUUAAUAUUUAUAGGAUUGAAUAGUUUCAAGAUUAAACAUAUAAUUUUAUUUGAAUUAGAAGAAUAGAAUUACUUAUAAGAUACAGUUCUUAGAACACUUAACAUUAUAUUAUGAUUUACAUAGUCUGUUAACCAAGUUGGUUUCCUAGUAGAACGAGGCUAACCUCUUUCAAUAGGUUGGAUUUCCGGUGACCAGCAAUUUGAUGUUGCAAGUCAGAUUCUAAAAGUUGUACAAGUUGGUCAUUUUGAUUCUCUAUUUCUUUAAAGGAGACUCAUAUAGGUUGCUGUUGUGACUCAUUUUUAUCCUAAUUCCAUGUGUUUUCUUCGUAAAAACUCACAUCUCUACUGAUCACAAUCUUUUUAGUGUCUGAAUUUAAUAAUUUAUAAGUUUUAGAGACUUCACUUAAGAUAAGAAAGACACAUUUUUCACCUUUAUCAUUUAACUUUUUUCUUUUCUCAUCAGAUAUAUAUAUGCAUAUUUGAUGCAACUGAAAAUUCCACAAUGAUCAACAGUUGGUUUUCUUUCACUCCAUAUUUCCUUUGGAGUCAUAUUCUGUAUUGAAAAUGUUAGACUUCUAUUCAGUACAUGGAUACUCCAAUUAACUGCCUUAGGGCAAAAGUUUUUCGGAACAUUGCCUUUAGCCAGCAAUCUUCUCACCAUAUUAAGUAUUGUUCUAUUUUUCCUUUCCAAUACGCCAUUUUAGUAUGGUAUAUAGGCAGCUGUGAGUUGUCUUUGAAUGCUUUAUUCAUCACAAAAUUGUUUAAAUUUCUUUGAACAAUAUUUUCCACCAUGAUUAGUACGGAAAGUUUUAACUGCCUUCCCUUACUCAUUUUCAACAUGCACUUUGAAGCUUUUAAAUGCACAAAAAGCUUCUGAUUUAGCCUGCAAAAAGUAAAUCCAAUCUUCCGAGAAAAAUCAUCAAUGAAAGUGAUUAAAUAUUUAUUACCCCCAUUGGAAGUUGAAUUGAUUGGAACACAUAUAUCGAAAUGGACCAGCUCUAAAAAAUUUUUCGCUCUCUAUUAUUUUCCUUGUGGAAAUUGAGAGCAAUGUUGUUUACAAACACACACUCUUCAUAAACACGAGAUGGAAUAGUAAUUUGAGGAUGACCAUUCCCCAUAUUCCCCUGUUGGAGAGUUCUUAAUCCACCGAAAUUCAAGUGGCCGUAACGGAAAUGCCAAAGCCGAGAUGGAUUCUUCAUUUCAGCCAUCAAAUUGGUUUGGGCAACUUGAAUUUGCAAUGGAAACAACCUGUUUGAGCUCAUUUAAAUAAUUACAAUAGCUUCUCUUGAAGGAUCAUAAAUUUUACAAGCUCUCUUUUGAAUGAUUAUCAGAUAGCCCUUCUCUUGCAAUUGACCAGCACUAAGUAAAUUAAUUUUCAAAUCAGGAACAUAAAACACACUAGAAAUGGUCUCCAUAAAACCAUUCUUAGUUUUAAUAUCAAUAUCACCUUUUCCCAUCACAUUUACUUUAGAACUAUCACCAAAGCUCAUAGUUGAAUGAAAAGUUUUAUCUAAAUGGGAAAAGAGAGACUUACUACCACACAUAUGAUUACUACUGUAACGACCCAGAUUUCGGACCAUUACCGGCGCUAGGAUCCAGAUCGGCAUAAGGCCGCCGGGACCCGUAGCAAGCCUCCUAUACUCUCUGUAUACCUGUAUAAAUCUCAUACAUGAUCAAACAUUUCCUGUCAAAAUUUUGUUUUGUUCCUUGGCUUAACCUGUGCAUGCACUAACUCUGUAACCUGUGUAUGAACCCCCUAACCAGAGUACUCAUCAAUGCUCUAGUUGGGUCCAUACCAUAUGUGUUAAGCCUGGACACUCAUACUCAUCCAUGAAACAUAAACAUAAUCGACCAUGUACAUAAAGGGGAUUAACAUAAAACUGGGCCAAGCACAGUACUAUACAUCAUUCUUAACAAUACUACACAUCAUUCUUAACAGUUCUAAACAUCUCUUUAAAAGUUUACAUCAUAUACAUCAAUUACAUGUCCACCACUAGCUAUUACAUUAUCAGAACUCCUCUAACACUAUCAACUCCCUGAUCUGUCCCACACCUGCAAACUGGGGUAAAGGGAAAACGGGGUGAGCUAUAAAGCCCAGUGAGUAGAAACAUGGGGCAUUUUCAUAUAAACAUGCUCUCAUGGAAUGCAUCAUAACUCAAACAUUUCACGUAACGGAUGAAUCUUGUCACCAUUAGCCCUCUCAUCCUAUGCCCGGCCCUCGACGGGGCUCCGCAGGCUAUCACUUUAUAUCAUGCAGUUGCCAAGACGCGUGGACAUGAGGCAGCCCUGGACUUUCAUCAGCAUGCAAACAUAGGGCGGUGCCAGGACGCGAGGACAUGGGCAGCCUUGGACUUUCAUCAUCAUACAUAGGAGAGCUAAUGGGUCACUCAAAAUUCAUCCACAUCAUCAACAUAGUAUGCAAUGCAUCAACUUCGUGAAACUAAUGCAAAACAACCUAAAAUAUUCAUAGCAAUCAUGAUGCAUGAGAUAUGCUUAAAUUUUAAAACAUAGUUUAGUUCUACUCACCUCAAACUGACUCUGCUGCAGCUGACCUACUGCUGUGGUCCUCGGUUCCUCUGGUUCGAACCUACAUAGGUGGACUCAAAUGAGGUACCAAACAUAGACUAUAAAGACUCUAAACAACUCCCCGGAAACCCCCUAGAACAUCAUAAAACCAUCAUGUAAAACAAGCAAAGAAAGGCUGGACAGGGCACUUUCGGCGGCAGGUUCGGCGGCCGAAACCCCCCUCCAGAGACGAAACUCAUGCAUGUUCGGCGGCACCUUCGGCAGCCGAAAAUCUCGUCCAGAGACGAAACUCAUGCACCUUCGGCGGCACUUUCGGCGGCCGAACCUUGCCUCCAGAGACGAAGGUCCCAACUUUCGGAAGCAAGCUUUGGCAGCCGAAACUGCCUCCACAAGGGGUUCGGCGGCCGAAACUCCCUUCGGCGGCCGAACCUGGUUGCUUCUGUAAGGCAGAAACUCUGCAUCUCACAUGCACAACUCCCCCAAACUCAUUCCAACUUGCAUCAAACAUAACACAACUAGCAUAUACUUAAGUAUAUGCAUAAAGGGGUCCAAAACUAACAUAAAACCCCAAACAACAAACACAAACAACCACAAAUCAUGAAUAUACACAAAACCCUCCAUAACACCCUCCUUAACCUAACAUGCAUUUCUACCCAUAAAAACUCCAUGAAACCUUCAAAAAUCAAGAAAGGAAGUUCAGGAUCUUCACUUACCUCUUCCAAAUGAGAGAAUAAACGAUCCCAACGUGGAGUGAUGGAGAAAUCUUCCCUCAAAACCUCCAAACUUCCUAACUUUGCUCUUUUACUCAAAAACUUCAAAACAAACAUAAAACUCAUCAAAACUUUGAAUGAUUUGAAGGAAACAUGAAAAUCACCCAAGGAGAACCUCAGCCUCACCUCUGGUUGGCAAAAAUGGAAAAAGUGAUCCAAAUCACCGACCUUUGACCAUUUAUAGGUGGCUGGCCAGACCACCUUCGGCGGCCAAACGUGAAGCCGAAUGCCAUGCAUGUUUGGCGGCCGAAAGUAACCUUCGGCGGCCGAACAUGGGCUUUUCUGCCUUGGUGUUUUUUCUUUCAAAAACUCAUUUCUUUUUAACACUUUAAAACAUUAAAACUCUUUUAAAACAUGUAAAAACAUAACCCGAACCCUUCUAGGGCAUUCCGACAUCGGAAAUUCACCGGACUACAGGAAUUCCAAUGCCGAACUCUAGCCGGGUAUUACAUUCUCCCCCCCUUAAGAACAUUCGUCCUCGAAUGUUCCUCGAACACAUAACACAUAGAUACGGGAAAAAACUAACUAACCUUAAAACAGAUAUGGAUACUGCUGAAGCAUAGAUUCCCGUGUCUCCCAGGUGCAUUCCUCUAGAUUGUGGUGGUUCCACAAAACUUUCACCAUCGGAAUUUCCUUGUUCCUUAGCUUUCUGAUCUGCGUGUCCAAGAUCCGUACUGGCUGCUCUACAUAGGUGAGAUCACCGAGGAUCUCUACAUCAGGUUCACUAAGAACCUUACUCGGAUCAGGCACGAACCGUCUCAGCAUAGAAACAUGGAAAACCGGGUGAAUUCUCUCCAUAGAUGCAGGUAAAUCCAGCUUAUACGAUACCUUCCCGAUCCUCUGCAAGAUCUCAAAGGGACCAAUGUACCGCGGAGCUAGUUUACCCUUUCUUCCGAACCUAACCACUCCCUUCAUUGGAGACACUUUCAGCAAAACCAUAUCCCCCUCCUGGAACUCUAACUGUUUCCUGCGAACGUCUGCAUAGCUCUUCUGUCUGCUAACUGCAGUUUUCAUCCUUUCUCUGAUUAUGGGCACUACCCUGCUGGUAAUCUCUAUUAACUCUGGCCCUGCCAGAGCCUUCUCCCCUACUUUUUCCCAGCAAACAGGUGUUCUGCAUUUCCUCCCAUACAAAGCUUCAUAAGGAGCCAUCCCUAUGCUAGCAUGAUGGCUGUUGUUGUAGGCAAACUCCACCAAAGGUAGAUGCUGUCUCCAAGAACCGCCAAAGUCUAACACACACAUUCUGAGCAUAUCUUCUAUGGUUUGGAUGGUCCUCUCUGAUUGACCGUCUGUCUGUGGGUGGAAAGCAGUACUGAAAUCCAAUCUCGUGCCCAUAGCAGCUUGCAGACUCCGCCAAAACCUGGAGGUAAACUGAGGUCCUCUAUCCGAAACUAUAGACACAGGAACUCCAUGCAGCUUUACUAUCUCUUCUACAUACACCUGCGCAAGUUUGUCCACAGAGUAGUUACUCCUAACCGGAAUGAAGUGAGCAGAUUUAGUCAGUCUAUCCACAAUCACCCAGAUGGAGUCUAGCCUGUUAGACGUCACCGGUAACCCCACUACAAAGUCCAUGGCUAUGUUUUCCCAUUUCCACUCUGGAAUAGGCAGUGGGUUAAGCAUUCCGGCCGGCUUCUGGUGCUCUAGCUUCACCCUUUGACAUAUCUCGCAGGCUGACACAUACUGUGCCACUUCUUUAUUCAUCGCUGGCCACCAAUACACUCUUCUCAAAUCUUGAUACAUCUUAGUGGCUCCAGGGUGAACGCUAUACCUUGCAUUAUGAGCUUCCCUCAUAAUGUCUUCCUUCAACUCUCUAUCAUCUGGUACACAUAGACGAUUCCCGUAACGGAGGAUCCCUUGACCGUCAAACCUGAAUUCUGCACUGUUGCCUGACUGAACAGUCCUGACAAUCUUCACUAGUUCUGGGUCCUCGUGCUGUUUCUGAGCCACCUGCUCCAGAAAAACUGGUGUUACUCUCAUCUGUGCUAUCAAAGCACCGGUACCAGAUAACUUUAACUGCAGCCCUUCCUCCAAGAGCUUAUAAAACUCCGACACCACUGGUCGUCUCUCUGCGGUUAUGUGGGAUAAGCUGCCAAGUGACUUCCGGCUUAAGGCGUCUGCCACAACGUUCGCCUUACCCGGAUGAUACUGAAUUUUACAAUCGUAGUCACUAAGUAGCUCUACCCACCUUCUUUGUCUCAAAUUCAGCUCUCUUUGACUCAAGAUAUACUGUAAACUUUUGUGGUCUGUGAAGAUCUCGCAUCUAACCCCAUAGAGGUAGUGUCUCCACAUCUUGAGUGCAAAGAUAACUGCUGCCAUCUCCAGGUCGUGUGUGGGGUAAUUCAACUCAUUCUUCUUCAACUGCCUAGAAGCAUAAGCUAUCACCCUAUCAUUCUGCAUCAAAACACAACCCAGCCCUACUCUAGACGCAUCACAGAAUACUGUGAAGUCCUCACCACUGACUGGCAAAGCCAACACUGGUGCUGUCGUCAAUCUCCUCUUAAGCUCUUCAAAACUUUCUUCACACUGAUCUGACCAAGCAAACUUCUGAUUCUUCUUGGUCAGCUUGGUCAUAGGAGCGGCUAUUUUUGAGAAAUCCUGCACAAACCAUCUGUAGUAGCCGGCCAAACCCAAGAAACUUUUAAUCUCCGUCACCGUAGUGGGUCUGGGCCAGUUAGCUACAGCCUCUAUCUUCUUGGGGUCUACCUCGAUUCCGUCUGCUGAAACAACAUGCCCCAAGAAAGAAAUGCUCCUUAACCAGAACUCACACUUGGAGAACUUAGCAUACAAGCUAUGCUCUCUCAAGGUUUGCAAAACUGUCCCCAGAUGAUGGGCAUGCUCCUCUGCAUCCUUGGAGUACACUAGAAUAUCAUCUAUAAAGACAAUCACAAAGUGAUCCAGGUACUCACUGAAAACUCUAUUCAUGAGGUCCAUAAAUGCUGCAGGGGCAUUAGUCAACCCGAACGGCAUUACCAGGAACUCAUAGUGCCCAUAUCUGGUCCUGAAGGCUGUCUUGGGAACAUCUUCUUCUCUAACUCUUAACUGGUGAUAUCCCGAUCUCAGAUCUAUUUUAGAAAAACAACCUGCUCCAGCUAGCUGGUCGAAUAGAUCGUCGAUCCUCGGCAAGGGAUACUUAUUCUUGGUAGUGACCUUAUUCAACUGUCUAUAGUCGAUACAAAGUCUAAGGGAUCCAUCCUUCUUUCUAACAAAAAGCACUGGAGCACCCCAAGGUGAGGUACUAGGGCGGAUGAAACCCUUAUCUACCAACUCUUGCAGCUACUCUUUCAGCUCUUUCAAUUCUGCUGGUGCCAUCCUGUAGGGAGGAAUAGAGAUCGGUCUGGUACCAGGCGUCAACUCUAUCUCGAACUCUAUUUCCCUAUCAGGUGGUAGUCCUAGAAGCUCUUCCGGGAACACAUCUAAAAACUCAUUAACUACUGGUACCGAAGCUGGUUCCCUAACCUGUUUAUCUAGCUCUCUCACAUGAGCUAGAAACCCCUGACAACCCCUCCUCAACAACCUGUGAGCCUGAAGGGCUGAUAUCAAGCCUCUAGGCGUCCCCCUCCUGUCUCCUCUGAAGACACAUACUGACCCAUCCAGAUCCCUAAGACUAACUACCUUGUCCCUGCAAUCCAAGGUAGCACCAUAUGUAGAUAGCCAAUCCAUCCCUAGAAUGACGUCAAAAUCUAUCAAAUCUAGAACCACCAGGUCAGCUGGAAGGCAUCUACCUUCUAUAAACACUAGACUGUACCUGCAGACUGACUCUGCUACUGAUGGGUCACAUUUGGGUCCACUGACCCAGAGAGGACACUCUAACCCAGAAACUAUCAGACCCAACCUCUCUACGGCUCUAGAAGCAAUGAAAGAGUGAGUAGCACCGGGGUCCAUUAAAGCAUACACAUCAGAACACCCAAUGAUGAGUUUACCUGACACCACCGUGUUAGAUGUGUUAGCCUCUUCUUGCGUCAUCGUGAAGAUCCGCGCUGGGGCUGCAGGACCUCCACCUCGGGAACCUGCUGCUGCUGAAGAAGAGGCUGCUCCUCUUCCUCGACCUCUGCUACUAGCCUGAGUUUGUGCUGGUGCUGCUGGCUGAGCUACACUGCCAGAACCCGUCUGCUGAGACUGUGCCAUAGAAACUGUUCUAGGACAAUCCCGAGCCAUAUGCCCCUCUUGUCCACAUCUAAAACAUGCAUUUGUCCCAGCUCGACAAACUCCUCUGUGUAACUUUCCACACCUCAUGCACACCUGACUUCCCGAACCAGGGUUUGAACUACUUCCCAUUCCUAGUCCGGACUUCAGCUUGUUCCAAAACUUACUCUUUUUAGACUUGGACCUGUCCAUUUUUCCACUUCCUGAUGCCUUGGGUACUGAAGUUUGAGCCACUGACUGCCUAACCUUCCCUUCAAUGAUCGCACUAGCCUCCAUUCUCCGAGCCAUAUCUACUAUAGCAUGGAAGCUCUCCCUCUCAGCUGAUUGUAUCAAGGAGGAAUACCUGGAGUUUAACUUCAUAAUAAACCUCCUGGACUUCUUCUGAUCAGUAUCAAGAGAUUGCCCUGAAAAAGGCAAGAGCUCCAUAAAUUUGUCAGCGAGAUCAUCUACGGUCAUCUCAUCACUCUGCCUCAGUUGUUCAAAUUCUAACAUCUUCAUCUCCCUCGAGCUAUCGGGAAAAGUCCAUCCCGCAAACUCGUUAGCAAACACCUCCUAGGUGAGACUGUCUAUCCUCGGUUCUACAUAGCUUCGAUACCACUCUUUAGCUUUCUUACAUUUCAAUGAGAUCCCUGCCAUCUGAAUGGCUCUGGUAUCGUCAGCCCCUAGCUCAUCUGUAAGCGUCUUCACCGUUUUGAGAUACUCAAACGGAUCGUCACCUGUAUCAAAUUGGGGAGCACCCAACAUCAGAUAAGCAGUCAUUUUGACCUUUCCCCUUCUAGAUGAACUAGGCUGUGAUAUUGGAACUUCUGGGGCUAUAGGUUCUUCUGGUGGUGAUGGAGGUGCAACAUUUUCUGGUAUAGGGUGUACUGUUUCUGGAUGAUAAGAUGGGGGUGGAUACAUAGGAUACUGUGGGUAUGGUGGAUAGAAUGGUGGAUAUGUCAUAUAAGAUGGGUAAGGGUUAAAACUAGGAUGAUCCGACAUACCUCCCAUCGAAUAUCCCGGAUACUGUGGAUAAGGUGGGUAUUGAGGUGGUGAAACAAACUCCGAGGCCUGAGUGCCUCCCUGAGACUCACCCAUGCCUUCCUCAGACAUACCGACACCCAAAUUACUAUCCAUCUGCUGCUCCACAUCCCAAUCAUCCUCCACUUCCAUAGAUACUCCUCCUUGCACUGUUCCUCUUCUGCUUCCAUCAAAAGACCUUCUAGGGUCCCUUGACGUUCUUCCUCUGCUAGGCCUACUUGAUAUGGACCUAGGCAAAACAGGAGGAUGGGCAUCUGCACCCUCGUCCUGAGAUGGUACUCUAGUCAAUCGGGUAGAUCGACGAGUUCCUCGCAUCUUGUUUUCUGAGAAAACAACACAUAGCACAAAACAUCAGUAUCAUAUGGUCCAUGUGGAAACACACAUGAACCCUCAUCACAUAUAAAACAUGCAUAUCAUAACAUCAUCAAAGGACAAAACUCAACAUCCUACCCUAGUGGACAUGUUUUUCCUACUGUGCUUGCCCUUCUAGAACAUCUAUGAGCCCUAUACACUCUAGGUCCGACCUUACGAACCUAGGGCUCUGAUACCAAUCUGUAACGACCCAGAUUUCGGACCAUUACCUGCACUAGGAUCCAGAUCGGCAUAAGGCCGCCGGGACCCGUAGCAAGCCUCCUAUACUCUCUGCAUACCUGUAUAAAUCCCAUACAUGAUCAAACAUUUCCUGUCAAAAUUUUGUUUUGUUCCCUGGCUUAAUCUGUGCAUGCACUAACUCUGUAACCUGUGUAUGAACCCCCUAACCAGAGUACUCAUCAAUGCUCUAGUUGGGUCCAUACCAUAUGUGUUAAGCCUGGACACUCAUACUCAUCCAUGAAACAUAAACAUAAUCGACCAUGUACAUAAAGGGAAUUAACAUAAAACUGGGCCAAGCACAGUACUAUACAUCAUUCUUAACAAUACUACACAUCAUUCUUAACAGUUCUAAACAUCUAUUUAAAAGUUUACAUCAUAUACAUCAAUUACAUGUCCACCACUAGCUAUUACAUGAUCAGAACUCCUCUAACACUAUCAACUCCCUGAUCUGUCCCACACCUGCAAACUGGGGUAAAGGGAAAACGGGGUGAGCUAUAAAGCCCAGUGAGUAGAAACAUGGGGCAUUUUCAUAUAAACAUGCUCUCAUGGAAUGCAUCAUAACUCAAACAUUUCACGUAACGGAUGAAUCUUGUCACCAUUAGCCCUCUCAUCCUAUGCCCGACCCUCGACGGGGCUCCGCAGGCUAUCACUUUAUAUCAUGCAGUUGCCAAGACGCGUGGACAUGAGGCAGCCCUAGACUUUCAUCAGCAUGCAAACAUAGGGGGGUGCCAGGACGCGAGGACAUGGGCAGCCUUGGACUUUCAUCAUCAUACAUAGGAGAGCUAAUGGGUCACUCAAAAUUCAUCCACAUCAUCAACAUAGUAUGCAAUGCAUCAACUUCAUGAAACUAAUGCAAAACAACCUAAAAUAUUCAUAGCAAUCAUGAUGCAUGAGAUAUGCUUAAAUUUUAAAACAUGGUUUAGUUCUACUCACCUCAAACUGACUCUGCUGCAGCUGACCUACUGCUGUGGUCCUCGGUUCCUCUGGUCCGAACCUACAUAGGUGGACUCAAAUGAGGUACCAAACAUAGACUAUAAAGACUCUAAACAACUCUCCGGAAACCCCCUAGAACAUCAUAAAACCAUCAUGUAAAACAAGCAAAGAAAGGCUGGACAGGGCACUUUCGGCGGCAGGUUCGGUGGCCGAAACCCCCCUCCAGAGACGAAACUCAUGCAUGUUCGGCGGCACCUUCGGCGGCCGAAAGUCCCGUCCAGAGACGAAACUCAUGCACCUUCAGCAGCACUUUCGGCGGCCGAACCUUGCCUCUAGAGACGAAGGUCCCAACUUUCGGAAGCAAGCUUUGGCAGCCGAAACUGCCUCCACAAGGGGUUCGGCGGCCGAAACUCCCUUCGGCGGCCGAACCUGGUUGCUUCCGUAAGGCAGAAACUCUGCAUCUCACAUGCACAACUCCCCCAAACUCAUUCCAACUUGCAUCAAACAUAACACAACUAGCAUAUACUUAAGUGUAACGCCCCGGAAAUCCGGACCGCUACCGGCGCUAGGAUCCAGAUCGGCAUAAGGCCGCCGGGACCCGUAGCAAGCCUAACAUAACCUGUAAACAUGUUUAAUCCCAUACAUGAUCAACCAUAUACAUAAAAAAAAAAAAUCAAAACUUUUCUUUCAUACAUACUAUCAUCAACUAACUCAACCUGUGCAUACUCUGAACAUAUACAUAACAUAAUCCCUCUGUGGGAUCUCAUCAAGCCUCAAAGGCAAAACAACAGGUGUUGAGUUAAUUUACAUAAACAUCAUAUCAUAAGAUCAUGUACAUACAAAAGGGNNNNNNNNNNNNNNNNNNNNNNNNNNNNNNNNNNNNNNNNNNNNNNNNNNNNNNNNNNNNNNNNNNNNNNNNNNNNNNNNNNNNNNNNNNNNNNNNNNNNNNNNNNNNNNNNNNNNNNNNNNNNNNNNNNNNNNNNNNNNNNNNNNNNNNNNNNNNNNNNNNNNNNNNNNNNNNNNNNNNNNNNNNNNNNNNNNNNNNNNNNNNNNNNNNNNNNNNNNNNNNNNNNNNNNNNNNNNNNNNNNNNNNNNNNNNNNNNNNNNNNNNNNNNNNNNNNNNNNNNNNNNNNNNNNNNNNNNNNNNNNNNNNNNNNNNNNNNNNNNNNNNNNNNNNNNNNNNNNNNNNNNNNNNNNNNNNNNNNNNNNNNNNNNNNNNNNNNNNNNNNNNNNNNNNNNNNNNNNNNNNNNNNNNNNNNNNNNNNNNNNNNNNNNNNNNNNNNNNNNNNNNNNNNNNNNNNNNNNNNNNNNNNNNNNNNNNNNNNNNNNNNNNNNNNNNNNNNNNNNNNNNNNNNNNNNNNNNNNNNNNNNNNNNNNNNNNNNNNNNNNNNNNNNNNNNNNNNNNNNNNNNNNNNNNNNNNNNNNNNNNNNNNNNNNNNNNNNNNNNNNNNNNNNNNNNNNNNNNNNNNNNNNNNNNNNNNNNNNNNNNNNNNNNNNNNNNNNNNNNNNNNNNNNNNNNNNNNNNNNNNNNNNNNNNNNNNNNNNNNNNNNNNNNNNNNNNNNNNNNNNNNNNNNNNNNNNNNNNNNNNNNNNNNNNNNNNNNNNNNNNNNNNNNNNNNNNNNNNNNNNNNNNNNNNNNNNNNNNNNNNNNNNNNNNNNNNNNNNNNNNNNNNNNNNNNNNNNNNNNNNNNNNNNNNNNNNNNNNNNNNNNNNNNNNNNNNNNNNNNNNNNNNNNNNNNNNNNNNNNNNNNNNNNNNNNNNNNNNNNNNNNNNNNNNNNNNNNNNNNNNNNNNNNNNNNNNNNNNNNNNNNNNNNNNNNNNNNNNNNNNNNNNNNNNNNNNNNNNNNNNNNNNNNNNNNNNNNNNNNNNNNNNNNNNNNNNNNNNNNNNNNNNNNNNNNNNNNNNNNNNNNNNNNNNNNNNNNNNNNNNNNNNNNNNNNNNNNNNNNNNNNNNNNNNNNNNNNNNNNNNNNNNNNNNNNNNNNNNNNNNNNNNNNNNNNNNNNNNNNNNNNNNNNNNNNNNNNNNNNNNNNNNNNNNNNNNNNNNNNNNNNNNNNNNNNNNNNNNNNNNNNNNNNNNNNNNNNNNNNNNNNNNNNNNNNNNNNNNNNNNNNNNNNNNNNNNNNNNNNNNNNNNNNNNNNNNNNNNNNNNNNNNNNNNNNNNNNNNNNNNNNNNNNNNNNNNNNNNNNNNNNNNNNNNNNNNNNNNNNNNNNNNNNNNNNNNNNNNNNNNNNNNNNNNNNNNNNNNNNNNNNNNNNNNNNNNNNNNNNNNNNNNNNNNNNNNNNNNNNNNNNNNNNNNNNNNNNNNNNNNNNNNNNNNNNNNNNNNNNNNNNNNNNNNNNNNNNNNNNNNNNNNNNNNNNNNNNNNNNNNNNNNNNNNNNNNNNNNNNNNNNNNNNNNNNNNNNNNNNNNNNNNNNNNNNNNNNNNNNNNNNNNNNNNNNNNNNNNNNNNNNNNNNNNNNNNNNNNNNNNNNNNNNNNNNNNNNNNNNNNNNNNNNNNNNNNNNNNNNNNNNNNNNNNNNNNNNNNNNNNNNNNNNNNNNNNNNNNNNNNNNNNNNNNNNNNNNNNNNNNNNNNNNNNNNNNNNNNNNNNNNNNNNNNNNNNNNNNNNNNNNNNNNNNNNNNNNNNNNNNNNNNNNNNNNNNNNNNNNNNNNNNNNNNNNNNNNNNNNNNNNNNNNNNNNNNNNNNNNNNNNNNNNNNNNNNNNNNNNNNNNNNNNNNNNNNNNNNNNNNNNNNNNNNNNNNNNNNNNNNNNNNNNNNNNNNNNNNNNNNNNNNNNNNNNNNNNNNNNNNNNNNNNNNNNNNNNNNNNNNNNNNNNNNNNNNNNNNNNNNNNNNNNNNNNNNNNNNNNNNNNNNNNNNNNNNNNNNNNNNNNNNNNNNNNNNNNNNNNNNNNNNNNNNNNNNNNNNNNNNNNNNNNNNNNNNNNNNNNNNNNNNNNNNNNNNNNNNNNNNNNNNNNNNNNNNNNNNNNNNNNNNNNNNNNNNNNNNNNNNNNNNNNNNNNNNNNNNNNNNNNNNNNNNNNNNNNNNNNNNNNNNNNNNNNNNNNNNNNNNNNNNNNNNNNNNNNNNNNNNNNNNNNNNNNNNNNNNNNNNNNNNNNNNNNNNNNNNNNNNNNNNNNNNNNNNNNNNNNNNNNNNNNNNNNNNNNNNNNNNNNNNNNNNNNNNNNNNNNNNNNNNNNNNNNNNNNNNNNNNNNNNNNNNNNNNNNNNNNNNNNNNNNNNNNNNNNNNNNNNNNNNNNNNNNNNNNNNNNNNNNNNNNNNNNNNNNNNNNNNGCAGGUUGAGUUAGUAGAUGAUGAAAUGUAUGAAAGAAAAGUUUUAAUUGUUUAUGAUGAUGUUGAUCAUGUAUGGGAUUAAACAGGUUUACAGGUUACAUGUCAGGCUUGCUACGGGUCCCGGCGGCCUUAAGCCGAUCUGGAUCCUAGCGCCGGUAGCGGUCCGAUUUUCGGGGCGUUACAGAGUGGUAUCAGAGCCCUAGGUUCACAUGGUCGGACCUAGAGUGUCGGGCUCAUAGAUGUUAUAGAAGGUCAAGCACAAUAGGAAAAGAUCAUGUCCACUAGGAUAGGAUAAUGAGUCCUGUCUUGAAUGAUGAUGUGAAAUGCCAUGACAUGAUGCAUGUGCAUUAAUGAUAUGUUUUGAUUGCUAUGUAUGUGAUGAGGGUUCAUGUGUGCCCAUAUGAACCAUAUGAUGCUAAUGUUUGCUUGCUAUGUGCUGUUUUCAGAAAACAGGAUGAGAGGAACUCGUCGAUCUGCACGAUUGACUGGAGUACCACCUGAGGAUGAGGGCAUGAGCGCCCGUCCUCCAGCAUUGCCUAGGGCAAUGUCUAGCAGGUCAAGCAGGGAAAGAGUAGCAAGAGACCCUAGAAGGUCUUUAGAUAUGGGUAGAAGCAGAUCAGUAAGGGGGACUGUGCAAGGCGGUAUGUCAGAGGAUGUGGGAGAUGAGAUGGAUGUGGACCAGAGGAGGGAUGGUAGCCUUGGAGUGAGUAUGUCGGAAGAAGGGAUGGGAGAGUCCCAAGGAGGCACACAGGCCUCGGGAUUUGUUCAGCCACCUCAGUACCCACCUUUUCCACAUAAUCCCGGGUAUUCGAUGGGAGGUACAUCGGAUUACCCUAGCUUUAGCCCUUUCCCCACACAGAUGCCAUACCCACCAUACUACCCACCAUACCCACAGUACCCUAUGUAUCCACCCCCACCCUACUAUCCAAAUCCAGCAAACCCUACCCCAGGGGAUGCUGCACCUCCUCCACCACCCACAGAACCCACAGUUCCAACAACCCAAGACCCUAAACCUAGCUCAUCUGGAGGGAGCAAAGUGAGGAUGACCGACUACAUGAAGUUGGGUGCCCCCCAAUUUGAAACAGGUGACGACCCAUUUGUGUAUCUGGAGAGGGUCAAAACCAUAACAGAUGAGAUAGGAGCGGAGGACAGUAGAGCCAUUCAGAUGGCAGGGUUCACCCUGAAAUGCAAGAAGGCCCGUGAGUGGUUCAAGGCCUAUGUGAAACCGAGGGUGGACAGUCUUUCAUGGGAGGAGUUUGCUAAUGAGUUUGCAGGAUGGGCUUUCCCUGAUAGCUCAAGGGAACAGAAGAUGAUAGAGUUCGAACAGUUGAGACAAACUGAUGACAUGAGUGUAGAUGAAUACACUGACAGGUUUAUGGAGUUGCUGCCAUUUGCUGGCCAGAACCUUGAUACAGACCAUAAAAAGUCAAGGAGGUACAUCAUGAAGCUCAAUUCCAGGUAUUCCUCCUUGAUACAGUCAACAGAUAGAGAGAGUUUCCAUGCCAUAGUGGAUAUGGCCCGGAGAAUGGAGGCUAGUGCUAUCAUCGAGGGCAGAGUUAAACAGUCAGUGGCACAGCCUUCUGGUCUUAAGACCCCAGGUUCUUCAUCUCUGAGUGCAGCUGCUUCAGGCAGUAAGAAGUGGGACAGAAGCCCCAAGAAGUCAAAGAAGAACAAGUUCUGGAGCAAGAUCAAGUCAGGUCUGGGAUUAGGAGGUGGCUCAAGCUCUGGUGGAAAUAGUGCUGUGUGUGCUAAGUGUGGUAGGCCACACUGGGGAGUAUGCCGGUUUGGGACGACAGCCUGCUACAGAUGUGGGCAACAGGGACAUAUGUCACGGGAGUGUCCUAGAGCAGCUCCUACGGCACAGCCUCAGCAGACAGCUUCAGGCAGUGUAGCACAGCCAGCAGCUCCAGCCAUGACACAGGCCAGUGGCAGAGGCAGAGGGAGAGGGUCAGCCUCUUCUUCAGCAGGGUUCAGAGGUGAGGGUCCGUCAGCUCCAGCAAGGAUCUUCACCAUGACACAGCAGGAGGCUAACACAUCCAACACCGUGGUGUCAGGUAAUCUCAUCAUUGGGUGUUCUGAUGUGUAUGCAUUGAUGGACCCUGGUGCAUCUCAUUCUUUUAUUGCACCGAGAGCCGUUCAGAGGUUAGGGUUGAUGGUCUCUGGGUUAGAGUGUCCCCUAUGGGUCAGUGGACCCAAGUGUGACCCGACAGUUGCAGAGUCAGUCUGCCAGUGUAGUCCAGUUUUUAUAGAGGGAAGAUGCUUAUCCGCCGACCUUGUGGUUCUAGAUUUGACAGACUUCGACGUCAUUCUAGGGAUGGAUUGGCUAUCUACCCAUGGUGCUACCUUGGACUGCAGAGACAAGGUAGUUAAGUUCAGAUGUCAGGAUGGGUCAGAGGUCGUCUUCAGAGGAGACAAAAAGGGUACACCUAGAGGCCUGAUAUCAGCUCUUCAGGCUCAGAGGUUGCUUAGGAGGGGAUGUCAGGGGUUUUUGGCUCAUGUGAGAGAGCUAGACAGUCAGGUUAGAGAGCCCGCCUCAGUGCCAGUAGUCAGAGAGUUCUUAGAUGUCUUCCCAGACGAGCUUCCAGGAUUACCACCUGCUAGGGAGAUAGAGUUUGAAAUAGAGCUGAUGCCUGGAACUAGGCCUAUCUCUAUCCCUCCCUACAGGAUGGCACCAGCAGAGUUGAAGGAGCUUAAGGAACAAUUGCAAAAACUGGUGGAUAAGGGUUUCAUCCGACCGAGUACCUCACCUUGGGGUGCUCCAGUGCUCUUUGUGAAGAAAAAGGAUGGAUCCCUCAGGCUUUGUAUCGACUACAGGCAGUUGAACAAAGUCACCAUCAAGAAUAAGUACCCGUUGCCAAGGAUCGACGAUCUAUUCGACCAGCUAGCAGGAGCGGGUUGUUUCUCCAAAAUAGAUCUAAGAUCUGGGUACCAUCAGCUGAGGAUUAGAGAGGAAGAUGUACCAAAGACAGCCUUCAGGACCAGAUAUGGGCAUUUUGAGUUCCUUGUGAUGCCGUUCGGGUUAACCAACGCCCCUGCAGCAUUCAUGGAUCUCAUGAACAGAGUAUUUAGACAGUACCUGGAUCACUUCGUUAUUGUCUUCAUAGAUGAUAUCCUAGUGUAUUCCAGGAAUGCAGAGGAGCAUGCCCAUCAUCUGAGAUUAGUUCUGCAGACCUUGAGGGAACAUGGCUUGUAUGCCAAGUUCUCCAAGUGUGAGUUCUGGUUAAGGAGCAUCUCAUUCUUGGGGCAUAUUGUGUCAGAGAACGGAAUAGAAGUGGAUCCCAAGAAAGUUGAAGCUGUGACUAACUGGCCUAGACCCACUACAGUAACAGAGAUCAUAAGUUUCUUGGGUUUGGCUGGUUAUUACAGGAGGUUCGUUCAGGACUUCUCGAAAAUUGCAGCUCCUUUGACCAGGUUAACCAGAAAGAAUCAGAAGUUCAUAUGGACCGAACAGUGCCAAGAGAGUUUUGAAGAGCUGAAGGGAAGGUUGACUUCAGCACCGGUGUUAGCUCUGCCAAACAGCAAUGAGGAUUUCACAGUGUUCUGUGAUUCAUCCAGAGUAGGUGUGGGUUGUGUGCUAAUGCAGAAUGGAAGGGUGAUAGCUUAUGCUUCUAGACAGUUAAAGAGGCACGAGUUAAAUUACCCCACACACGACCUUGAGAUGGCAGCAGUUAUCUUUGCCCUCAAGAUGUGGAGGCACUACCUCUAUGGGGUAAAAUGUGAGAUCUUUACAGAUCAUAAGAGCCUGCAGCACAUCUUGAGCCAGAGAGAGCUGAAUUUGAGACAGAGAAGAUGGGUAGAACUGUUAAGUGACUAUGAUUGCAAGAUCCAGUACCAUCCGGGUAAGGCUAAUGUAGUGGCUGAUGCCUUAAGCCGGAAAUCACUUGGCAGUCUAUCCCACAUCACGGCAGAGAGGAGACCCGUGGUGAAGGAGUUUUACAAACUCAUGAAUGAAGGUCUACAAUUGGAGUUGUCUGGUACAGGCGCUUUGAUUGCACAGAUGAGAGUGGCACCCGUGUUUCUGGAGCAGGUGGCUCAGAAACAGCAUGAGGACCCAGAGUUAGUGAAGAUUGUCAGGACUGUUCAGUCAGGUAAAGACAGUGAGUUCAGAUUUGAUGAUAGGGGGAUCCUCCGCUAUGGGAGCAGACUAUGUGUACCAGAUGACAUAGGGCUAAAGGGAGACAUUAUGAGAGAGGCUCAUAAUGCAAGAUACAGUGUUCACCCUGGAGCCACCAAGAUGUAUCAAGAUCUGAAGAGAGUGUAUUGGUGGCCAGCUAUGAAGAGGGAAGUGGCACAGUUCGUGUCAGCCUGCGAAGUGUGUCAGAGGGUGAAACUGGAACAUCAGAAGCCGGCUGGAAUGCUUAACCCGCUACCUAUUCCAGAGUGGAAAUGGGAAAAUAUAGCUAUGGACUUCGUAGUGGGGUUACCGGCGACACCCAACAGGUUAGACUCCAUAUGGGUGAUUGUGGACAGACUCACCAAAUCUGCUCACUUUAUUCCUGUCAGGAGCAACUACUCUGUGGAUAAAUUGGCGCAGGUGUAUGUGGAUGAAGUAGUAAGGCUGCAUGGGGUUCCUGUUUCAAUAGUGUCAGAUAGAGGGCCCCAGUUCACCUCCAGGUUUUGGCGGAGUCUGCAGAGUGCUAUGGGUACCAGACUAGAUUUCAGUACUGCCUUCCAUCCCCAGACUGAUGGACAGUCAUAGAGGACCAUCCAGACUAUAGAAGAUAUGCUCAGGAUGUGUGUGCUAGAUUUUGGCGGUUCUUGGAGGCAACAUCUACCCUUGGUGGAGUUUGCCUACAAUAACAGCUAUCAUGCUAGCAUAGGGAUGGCUCCAUAUGAAGCUUUGUAUGGGAGGAAGUGCAGGUCACCCGUUUGCUGGGAAGAGGUUGGAGAGAGGUCCUUAGCAGGGCCUGAGCUUGUAGAGAUCACCAGCAGGGUGGUGCCCAUGAUCAGAGAAAGAAUCAGAACUGCCAUGAGUAGACAGAAAAGUUAUGCAGACAUCCGCAGGAAACAGGUAGAAUUUCAGGAGGGGGAUCUAGUAUUGCUCAAGGUGUCUCCGAUAAAAGGGGUGGUUCGGUUUGGUAAGAAGGGUAAGCUAGCUCCGCGGUACAUCGGACCCUUUGAAGUCCUGCAAAGGAUUGGGAGUGUAUCGUACAAGCUGGAUUUACCUGCAUCUAUGGAAAGAAUCCAUCCGGUUUUCCAUGUUUCCAUGUUAAGAAAGUUCGUGUCAGAUCCAGGCAAGGUUCUUAGCGAGCCUGAUGUGGAGAUCCAAGAGGAUCUCAUUUAUGUAGAGCAGCCAGUAUGGAUUCUAGACACUCAGAUCAGAAAGUUAAGGAACAAGGAAAUCCCGAUGGUGAAAGUCCUUUGGAACCACCACAAUUUGGAAGAAUGCACCUGGGAGACACGGGAGUCCAUGCUCCAGCAAUAUCCCCAUCUCUUUUAAAGGUUAGUAUCUAUGUGUGCUAUGUGUUUAGUAUGUAUGAUAUAUUUUAUGCUUUGUAUGUACUAAUUGAGGAACAUUCGGGGACGAAUGUUCUUAAGGGGGGGAGAAUGUAAUACCCGGCUAGACUCCGGUAUCGGAAUUCCUACCGUCCGGUGGAAUUUGGAUGUCGGAAACCUCUAGAAGGGUAAAAACAUGUUUUUAUAAAAUGUUUUCAUGUAUUUUAAUGUUUUAAGUAUGAAAUUAAAUGAGUUUUUGCAUGAAAAGUCUUUGGAGGAAAACCCAGGUUCGGCCGCCGAAAGUCAAGUUCGGCCGCCGAACAUGCAUGCGUUUGGGAGGCACGUUAGGCCCCCGAAAGCAUAAGAAAGGGGAGUCCAGGUUCGGCCGCCGAACCUUAUGUUCGGCCGCCGAACAUUGCAUGGAUGCGGAGGCACAUUCGGCCCCCGAACGUGGCCUGGCCAGCCACCUAUAAAAGGGGCACUUAGCCGAAAUGGGCGAGUUUUCUCCCAUUUUCGGCCACAGCAAGCUUUCGACCUCCCUCUCCCCAAAUCUUGUGUUCUUUCUACAAAUCUCCUCCAUUUUUCUUGAGUUUUAACUUCACAUUGCAAGUUUUGAGCAUUUGAGACAACUUUUGGAGCUUUGGAAACUCAGGAGCUCAUUUGCUUGGAUCUCCGAGUUUUGAUCGCCUCUCUCUCGAUCUUCAAGAGGUAAGAGCCGAUCUUAAGCUCAAUGUAUGUUUUAAACAAGUUUUAUGAAGUUUUAUGGGGUAGAAUGGCAUGUAUAGGGUUGUAUGAGUUAGUUGAGCUAUGUUAGGUUUUAUGUGAUUUUUUUGAGCAAUGUAUGUUGGAAAUGUGUUGUUGUGAGUGUUGUAGUUGGGGUAUAUGUUAGUUUGAGACCCCUAGGUGUAAUGUAUGUGAUGUAUGCAUGUUUUAGAACAAGUUUAUGCAUGAUUGGUGGUUUUGGGAGGCAAGAGGCUCAUGUGAGCAAAGUUUCUGCCUGUUUGGCAGAAACCAGGUUCGGCAGCCGAAGGGACUUUCGGCUGCCGAACCCCCUUGUGGAGGCAGCAUUCGGCUGCCGAAGCUUGCCCCCGAAAAGAGACUUUCGUCUCUGUCUGGGAGUUUCGGCCGCCGAAGGUGCCGCCGAACCUGCCUGACUUUCGUCUCUGUCCAGGACUUUCGGCCGCCGAAGGUGCCGCCGAAAGCGCCCUGUUCAGCCACUUCAUGCAUGUAUUCCUAUGUUUAUGUCAUGAUGUUUUAGGGGGUUUUUGGAGAGUAUAUUAGAGUUAUGUUUAUAUAUGUUUGGUCCCUCAUUGGAGUCCACCUGUGUAGGUUCAGACCCGAGGAACCGAGGAUCCCAGCAGUGAGUCAGCUGCUACAGAGUGUUGUUAGAGUCUUCAGAGCAACCAGAGGUGAGUAGAAUAAACUCUUAAGUUUUAAAAUUAAUGAAAUAUUAAUUUUGAGCAUGUUCAUGCAUCACGAUUGCCAUGAGAUAUUUUAGGAUGUUGCAUUAGAAUUCACGAAUAUGUUGCACUGCAUAUUAUGUUGAUGUUGUGGGUAAAUACUGAAUGAUCCACUAGUCCUUGAUAUGGAAGUCCAGGGAGCCUUUGACUACGCCCUUGGCACUAGAUAAUGGAAGACCAGGGAGCCUUUGACUACGCCCUUGGCACUAUGGAACGCCAAGACCAAGUGCCUGAUAAGGCCUUGGGGCAGUGUAAGUAAUGUUAUGCUUAAUGGAAGACCAGUGAGCCUCUGACUACGCCGCUGGCAUUAGAUAUGAUGAUGGGACUAGUUGGUGACAGGUUUACCCUUGAUGUGGCUUGUUUGUGAUGUGACACAUUUCAUGAAGCAUGAAUUAAAAAUAUAAUGUUUUUAUUAUUCUGCUCACUGGGCUCUUGUAGCUCACCCCUCUCCCCUAACCCCAGAUGUGCAGGUACAGGGUAGAUCAGGAGGUUAGCCAGAGAUUUGAAGUAUGUUUAUGUAAUAGCUAGAUUGUGGACAUGACAAAUGUAUUAUGAUGUAAUGUAAGAGAUCAUAGCAUGUUAUGUAAUGAGAUAUUUAUAUUGAGGUUAUAGUUGUGCUUGACCCUAUGAGUAUUGUUAUCCCAUUGAUACAUGAUCUAUAGAUGAUGCUUAUGUAAACUAACUCAACAUAUGUUGUAAUGCCUUUGAGGCUUGAUGAGAUCCCACAGAGGGACUAUGUUAUGUAUAUGUUCAGAGUAUGUGCAGGUUGAGUUAGUAGAUGAUGAAAUGUAUGAAAGAAAAGUUUUAAUUGUUUAUGAUGAUGUUGAUCAUGUAUGGGAUUAAACAGGUUUACAGGUUACAUGUCAGGCUUGCUACGGGUCCCGGCGGCCUUAAGCCGAUCUGGAUCCUAGCGCCGGUAGCGGUCCGAUUUUCGGGGCGUUACAGAUACCUUCCCAACCUUUUGCAAGACCUCAAAGGGCCCGAUGUACCGUGGAGCUAGCUUACCUUUCUUCCCGAACCGAACCACCCCUUUCAUUGGGGACACUUUGAGCAAUACCAUAUCCCCCUCCUGAAACUCCACUUGUUUCCUGCGGAUGUCCGCAUAACUCUUUUGCCUGCUUGUAGCAGUCUUGAUUCUCUCUCGGAUAAUGGGCACCACCCUGCUGGUGAUCUCUACAAGUUCAGGCCCUGCUAAGGACCUCUCUCCAACCUCUUCCCAGCACACAGGUGAUCUGCACUUCCUCCCAUACAAAGCUUCAUAUGGAGCCAUCCCGAUGCUAGCAUGAUAGCUGUUAUUGUAGGCGAACUCCACUAAGGGUAGAUGUUGCCUCCAAGAACCGCCAAAAUCUAGCACACACAUCCUGAGCAUAUCCUCUAUUGUCUGGAUGGUCCUCUCUGACUGUCCAUCAGUCUGGGGAUGGAAGGCAGUACUGAAAUCCAACCUGGUACCCAUAGCAUUCUGCAGACUCCGCCAGAACCUGGAGGUGAACUGGGGCCCUCUAUCAGACACUAUAGAAACGGGAACCCCAUGCAACCUUACAAUCUCGUCAACAUACACCUGCGCCAAUUUAUCCACAGAGUAGUUGCUCCUUACAGGGAUGAAGUGAGCAGAUUUAGUGAGUCUGUCCACAAUCACCCAUAUGGAGUCUAAUCUGUUGGAUGUUGCCGGUAGCCCCACUACAAAAUCCAUGGCGAUAUUUUCCCAUUUCCACUCUGGAAUCGACAGUGGGUUAAGCAUUCCAGCCGGCUUCUGAUGUUCCAGCUUCACCCUCUGACACACUUCGCAGGCUGACACAAACUGUGCCACUUCUCUCUUCAUAGCUGGCCACCAAUACACUCUCUUCAGAUCUUGAUACAUCUUGGUGGCUCCAGGGUGAACACUGUAUCUUGCAUUAUGAGCCUCUCUCAUAAUGUCUCCCUUUAGCCUAUGUCAUCUGGUACACAUAGUCUAUUCCCAUAGCGGAGGAUCCCCUUACUAUCGAAUCUGAACUCACUGCCCUUGCCUGACUGAACAGUCCUGGCAAUCUUCACUAACUCUGGGUCCUCGUGCUGUUUCUGAGCUACCUGCUCCAGAAACACGGGUGUUACUUUUAUCUGUGCAAUCAGAGCACCUGUACCAGACAACUCCAACUGUAGACCUUCAUCAAUGAGCUUGUAAAAUUCCUUCACCACCGGUCUCCUCUCUACCGUGAUGUGGGAUAGACUGCCAAGUGAUUUCCGGCUUAAGGCAUCAGCUACUACAUUAGCCUUACCCGGAUGGUACUGGAUCUUGCAAUCAUAGUCACUCAACAGUUCUACCCAUCUCCUCUGUCUCAAAUUCAGCUCUCUCUGACUCAAAAUGUGCUGCAGGCUCUUAUGAUCUGUGAAGAUCUCACAUUUUACCCCAUAGAGGUAAUGCCUCCACAUCUUGAGGGCAAAGAUAACUGCUGCCAUUUCCAGGUCGUGUGUGGGGUAAUUCAGCUCAUGCCUCUUCAGCUGUCUAGAAGCAUAAGCGAUCACCCUACCAUUCUGCAUCAACACACAACCCAGGCCUACUCUGGAUGCAUCACAGAACACUGUGAAAUCCUCAUUGCUGUUUGGCAGAGCUAACACUGGUGCUGAAGUCAACCUCUUCUUGAGCUCCUCAAAGCUUUCUUCACACUGAUCGGUCCACUCGAACCUCUGAUUCUUUCUGGUCAAUCUGGUUAAAGGAGUUGCAAUCUUAGAGAAGUCCUGGACGAACCUCCUGUAAUAACCAGCCAAACCCAAGAAACUUCUGAUCUCUGUCACUGAGGUGGGCCUUGGCCAGUUAGUCACAGCUUCAACCUUCUUGGGGUCCACCUCUAUCCCAUUCUCUGACACUAUAUGCCCCAAGAAUGAUAUGCUCCUUAACCAGAACUCACACUUGGAGAACUUGGCAUACAAGCCAUGUUCCCUCAAGGUCUGUAAAACUAUCCUCAGAUGAUGGGCAUGCUCCUCUGCAUUCCUGGAAUACACCAAGAUAUCGUCUAUGAAGACAAUAACAAAGUGAUCCAGGUACGGUCUAAACACUCUGUUCAUGAGAUCCAUGAAUGCUGCAGGGGCGUUAGUUAACCCAAACGGCAUUACAAGGAACUCAUAGUGCCCAUAUCUGGUCCUGAAAGCUGUCUUCGGUAUGUCUUCUUCUCUUAUCCUCAGCUGAUGGUACCCUGAUCUCAGAUCUAUCUUGGAGAAACAACCCGCUCCUGCUAGCUGGUCGAAUAGAUCGUCGAUCCUUGGCAAUGGGUACUUGUUCUUGGUAGUGACUUUGUUCAACUGCCUGUAGUCGAUACAAAGUCUGAGGGAUCCAUCCUUCUUUCUCACGAAUAGCACUGGAGCACCCCAAGGUGAGGUACUCGGUCGGAUGAAGCCCUUAUCUACCAGAUCUUGCAACUGCCCUUUCAACUCUUUCAAUUCUGCUGGUGCCAUCCUGUAGGGAGGGAUAGAGAUCGGUCUAGUUCCAGGCAUCAAUUCAAUCUCGAACUCUAUCUCCCUAGCAGGUGGUAGUCCUGGAAGCUCUUCUGGAAAGACAUCCAGAAAUUCUCUGACAACUGGCACUGAGGCUGGCUCCCUGACCUGACUAUCUAGCUCUCUCACGUGAGCUACAUACCCCUGACAUCCCUUCCUAAGCAGCCUACGAGCCUGUAGGGCCGAUAUUAGACCUCUAGGCGUACCCCUCUUGUCUCCUCUGAAGACGACCUUUGACCCGUUCUGAUCUCUGAACCUGACUACCUUGUCCCUGCAGUCCAAGGUAGCACCAUGGGUAGAUAGCCAAUCCAUCCCUAGAAUGACGUCAAAAUCUGUCAAGUCUAGAACCACAAGGUCGGCGGAGAGGCAUCUUCCCUCAACAAAUACUGGACUGUACCGGCAGACUGACUCUGCCACUGACGGGUCACACUUGGGUCCACUGACCCAUAGGGGACACUCUAACCCAGAGACCAUCAACCCUAAUCUCUCAACUGCCCUCGGAGCAAUAAAGGAAUGAGAUGCACCUGGGUCCAUUAAUGCAUACACAUCAGAACACCCAAUGAUGAGAUUACCUGACACCACGGUGUUGGAUGUGUUCGCCUCCUGCUGAGUCAUGGUGAAGAUCCUGGCUGGAGCUGAUGGACCUUCACCUCGGGAACCUGAAGAAGAGGCUACUCCUCUCCCUCUACCUCUGCCACUGCCCUGAGUUGUGGCUGGAGCUGCUGGCUGUGCCACACUGCCUGAAGCUGUCUGUUGGGGCUGGCCCGUGAAAGGUGCUCUAGGACAAUCCCGAGCUAUGUGUCCCUCCUGGCCACAUCUGAAACAUACAUUGGUCCCAAAUCGACACCCUCCUUUGUGUGGCCUCCCACACCUUUGGCAUUCUGCACCGUCUGAGCCUGAACUCGAGCCACCGCCUAAUCCCAGACCGGAUUUCAGCUUAUUCCAGAACUUGUUCUUCUUGGGCUUCUUGGUGUUACUCCAUCUCUUACUACCUGAACUCUGAGUAGAGGGUCCUGACCCUCCUCUGCCUGGGGUCUUAACCCCUGAAGACUGGGUCACCGACUGCUUCACUGACCCCUCAAUUAUAGCACUGGCCUCCAUUCUUCGAGCCAUAUCCACCACAGUGUGGAAACUUUCCCUCUCAGCUGAUUGAAUCAAUGAGGAGUACCUGGACUGUAAUUUCAUGACAUAUCUCCUGGCCUUCUUUGCAUCUGUAUCUAGAGCUUGCCCUGAGAAGGGUAAUAGCUCCAGAAAUUUAUCUGUGUACUCCUCUAUGCUCAUGUCUUAUGUCUGUCUCAGUUGCUCAAACUCAAUCAUCUUCAACUCUCUGGAACUAUCUGGAAAGGCCCAUCCAGCAAACUCAUUGGCAAAUUCCUCCCAUGUCAUACUUUCAAGUCUCGGGUCCACAUAACACUUGUACCACUCCCGUGCCUUCUUGCACUUUAAAGUGAACCCUGCCAUCUCAAUGGCUCUUCUGUCAUCUGCCCCUAGCUCAUCAGUGAUCAUCUUCACUGCUCUCAGGUAUUCAAAGGGAUCAUCCCCUGACUUGUAUUUAGGAGCAUCCAGCUUAAGGUAAGCUGUCAUCUUCACCUUGCUCCCACUGGCUGAGCUAGGUUUAGGAGGUUGAGUAACUGGGGCUACUGGUUCUGUAGGUGGUGGGGGUGGGGGGUGCAGCAUUCCCCGAGAUGGGGUUUGCUGGGUGAGGAUGGAAGGAUGAGGGUGGAUAGGCUGAGUACUGUGGGUAAGGUGGAUAGAAAGGUGGAUAAGGCAUGUGAGUAGGGUAGGGGUUAAAGCUGGAGUAAUCCGAUUUACUUCCCAUCGGAUACCCGGGACUCUGUGCAUAGGGUGGAUAAUAGGGUGGAAAACCAUACCCCGAGGCCUGAGUGCCUCCUUGUGACUCCCCUGUCCCUUCUUCUGACAUGCUAACAUCCAGAUUCCCAUCCCUUCUCUGAUCUUCUUCCAUAACCUCCCUCACAUCUGAAGAACUUCCUCCUCUGUCUGUCCCCCUUCUGCUAGUAUCAAAAGACCUUCUAGGGUCCCUUGACACUCUUUCUCUGUUUACUCUGCAUGACAUUGCCCUAGGCAAUGUGGGAGGACGGGCGCUCGUGCCCUCAUCCUCUGGUGGGGCUCCUGUCAACCGUGCAGAUCGACGAGUUCCUCUCAUCCUGUUUUCUCUGAAAAACCAGCACAUAACUCACAAGCAUUAACAUCAUAUGGUUCAUGUGGGCACACAUGAACCCUCAUCAUAUACAUAGCAAACAUAGCAUAUUAUUUAUGCACAUGCAUUUAAUCAUGGCAUAUCACAUCUUUAAUCAAGGCAGGACUCUACAUCCUAUCCUAGUGGACAUGACUUUUCCUAUUGUGCUUGACCUUCUAUAACCUCUAUGAGCCCGACACGCUAGGUCCGACCAUAUGAACCUAGGGCUUUGAUACCACUCUGUAACGCCCCGGAAAUCCGGACCGCUACCGGCGCUAGGAUCCAGAUCGGCAUAAGGCCGCCGGGACCCGUAGCAAGCCUAACAUAACCUGUAAACAUGUUUAAUCCCAUACAUGAUCAACCAUAUACAUAAAAAAAAAAAUCAAAACUUUUCUUUCAUACAUACUAUCAUCAACUAACUCAACCUGUGCAUACUCUGAACAUAUACAUAACAUAAUCCCUCUGUGGGAUCUCAUCAAGCCUCAAAGGCAAAACAACAGGUGUUGAGUUAAUUUACAUAAACAUCAUAUCAUAAGAUCAUGUACAUACAAAAGGGAUUAGCAAUACACUAUGGUCAAGCACAACUCUAACCUCAAUAACCUCAUUACAUAACAUACUGAAAGUUUUUACAUUUCAUCAUAAUACAAUUGUCAUGUCCACAAUCUAACUAUUACAUACAUAUGACUUUUCUCUUCUUGCCUUCUCUAUCUAUCCCGUACCUGCAAACCUGGGGGUUAAGGGAGAGGGGUGAGCUAGAUGCCCAGUGAGUAGAACUGUAAAAAGAAUAUUUAAAACAUGCUGUCAUGGAAUGCAUCACUACACAAACAUUUCACACCACGGGUGGACUGAUUCAAAAAUCCCUCAGCUCCAUGCCCGGCCCUAAAGAGGGCACCACAGGACUUCAUAUGCCCGGCCCUAUUAUGGGCACCACAGGACUUCGUAACUCGGAGCUAUUGCCCGGCCCUAUUAUGGGCACCACAGGACUUCGUAUUCAGAGGGCUAAUGAAUCAUCCUAAUGUCCAUCCACUAUCAUCUAUCACAACAAUGCAAUGCGGCAUAUUCGUGAAUUCUAAUGCAAACAUCCUAUAAUAUAAUCAUGAUGCAUGAAGCAUGAUAAAAACAUUUAAUUUCUUAAUUUAAAAGGUUAAGUUUAGUUCCACUCACCUCUGGCUGACUCUGACAAUCUCUGUAGCAGCUGGCUCACUGCUGGGGUCCUUGGUUCCUCGGGUCCGAACCUACAUGGGUGGACUCCAAUGAGGGACCAAACAUACAUAAACAUAACUCUAAUAUAACCCCCAAAAAUCCCCCUAAUGCAUCAUGAAAACAUCACAUAAAAUAUGCAUGAAAUGGCUGAACAGGGCACUUUCGGCGGCACCUUCGGCGGCCGAAAGUCCCAGACAGAGACGAAACUCAGGUAGGUUCGGCGGCACCUUCGGCGGCCGAAAGUGCCAGACAGAGACGAAAGUCUCUUUUCAGGGGCAACUUCGGCAACCGAAAGGCCUGCCUCCCCAGCCAUGUUCGGCGGCCGAAAGUGCCUUCGGCUGCCGAACCUGGUUUCUGCCAAAGGGCAGAAACUUGGCUCCCUUUGCACAUUUCGCCUCCAAACCUUCCAAACAUGCAUAUUUUUCAACCAAAGCAUGCAUACAAGUUCCUAGGGGCCUCAAGCAAGCAUAUACCCCAUCUACAACACUCCAAACACACACAAUCAAGCCACAUUGUUCAUCAAAGCAUCAAAAACCCAUAAGCUCAACAUAUACCCUAACAUGCAUUCUACCCCUUAAAACUUCAUAAAACUUGUUUAAAACACAUAAUAAGGGUGGAUCCGAGCUUACCUCUUGAAGAAACGAGAGGAAAGGCGAUCCUAGCUUGGAGAUGGAGAGAUUGAGCUCUUUGAACCUCUAAGUACCCAAAUCUUGCUCUAAACUCAAAAAUCUUCAAAAACAAAGUUAUAGGCUCAUUAAAACGUGUGAGAUUUGAAGGAAAAGAUGCAAGAUUGGUGAGGAAUGACGGAGAGCUCACCUUGGCCGAAAAUGGGGGAAAAAGCUCGCCCGUUUUCGGCUAAGGGACCCUUUUAUAGUGGCUGGCCAGGCCACGUUCGGGGGCCGAAAGUGCCUCCGCAUCCAUGCAAUGUUCGGCGGCCGAACCUGCACUUCCCUCACUCAUGCUUUCGGGGGCCUAACGUGCCUCCAAAAUGCAUGCAUGUUCGGCGGCCGAACUUGGCUUUCGGCGGCCGAACCUGGAUUUUCCUCCAAAGAUUUUUCAUGUAAAACUCAUUAAAUUUCAUACUUAAAAACAUUAAAAACAUGAAAACCUUUUAUAAAAACAUGCUUUUACCCUUCUAGAGGUUUCCGACACCCAAAUUCCACCGGACGGUAGGAAUUCCGAUACCGGAGUCUAGCCGGGUAUUACAUUAAGUAUAUGCAUAAAGGGGUCCAAAACUAACCUAAAACCCCAAACAACAAACACAAACAACCACAAAUCAUGAAUAUACACAAAACCCUCCAUAACACCCUCCUUAACCUAACAUGCAUUUCUACCCAUAAAAACUCCAUGAAACCUUCAAAAAUCAAAAAAGGAAGUUCAGGAUCUUCACUUACCUCUUCCAAAUGAGAGAAUAAACGAUCCCAACGUGGAGUGAUGGAGAAAUCUUCCCUCAAAACCUCCAAACUUCCUAACUUUGCUCUUUUACUCAAAAACUUCAAAACAAACAUAAAACUCAUCAAAACUUUGAAUGAUUUGAAGGAAACAUGAAAAUCACCCAAGGAGAACCUCAGCCUCACCUCUGGUUGGCAAAAAUGGAAAAAGUGAUCCAAAUCACCGACCUUUGACCAUUUAUAGGUGGCUGGCCAGACCACCUUCGGCGGCCAAACGUGAAGCCGAAUGCCAUGCAUGUUCGGCGGCCGAAAGUGACCUUCGGCGGCCGAACAUGGGCUUUUCUGCCUUGGUAUUUUUUCUUUCAAAAACUCAUUUCUUUUUAACACUUUAAAACAUUAAAACUGUUUUAAAACAUGUAAAAACAUAACCCGAACCCUUCUAGGGCAUUCCGACAUCGGAAAUUCACCGGACUACAGGAAUUCCAAUGCCGAACUCUAGCCGGGUAUUACAGCUACAUCCUAUAUCAACGUAUCAAAUUCCAGAGUUAAUUGUCUCAUUAGUUUGAACAAUCAUUAAGAGAGUUUCAGCUUCAUGAUUUUCCACAAAGUUUGACUUCUCCCUAUUUUCUCUGUCAUUUGACAUUUUGGUACGACAUUCUGAACGAAAUUGACCAAAUUUAUGGCAUCUGUAGCAUUCAAUUUUGGAUUUGUCAAAAUGCUGAAACUAUCCUUUUCCUUUGUGCGAUUGAUCACCGUCAGUUUUGAAAUUUGUGUUUCCAUUUCUGUUGCCACGAUCUCUCCUUCCUCUUCCUCUUCCACUUCCUCUACCUCUUCAUCGUUAGUUUUAUAGCUUCUCUCCAUAGUUCUCGCAAAAUAGCUUGUGAUAGAUUCACCAUCCUUCAUUUGUAGAGUCUCAAAAUCUCAUCUCAAGACUUGAAGCUGUGCAUGCUUUACUCUUGCGAAGUCUUGAUAUUUCUUUUUCAUGGAGUCCCAAAUUUGUUUGGAAGUAUCUUUACAUAAAAUAGUCUCUAAAAUUGAAUGAUUGAUUGCCUAAAAUAAAUAAUUUUUCGCCUUAAGAUCCUUCAACUUUAGCCCUUCAAUUUCUGCUUUUUGCCCCUCAGUCACUACUGCUUCACUUGUUGGUGCCAGUACUCCAUCUGAAACAACUUGUCAACACUCUUUCGAUAUGAGAAUAUUUUCCAUCAACAUACUCUAGUGAUCAUAGUGACCAUCGAAGCAAGAUAUCGUAGGUUGCACAAAACUAUCAAAUGCUAUUGAUAAUAUUUGAAAAAUGCAAAAAAAGCUACAGCUUAAACUUGGGUUUGAUAUCACUGUUAGUAGCAUUUUUUAAAAAUAUAGCAAAAAUAAAAUUACAGUAAGUGUAGUAUGAUAAAAGACCAAAUAAAAGUGAAAUCUCAUCCAUAAAAUUAAAAAUAAAUAGCCCAAAAUAGGCUUUACUAACCAACUAAGAAACAACUACUAACAUAAAAGCACUAAACCACUAAUAUAAAAACACUAAAAUAGGAAGCGUUAAACUGAUAACAUAAAAGCACUAAAUCACUAAUAUAAAAGCAAUAAAAUAGGAAGUUAAUUAGUUACUGCUACCAAAAAUUUGUAAAGAAAUUAAAUUGAGUGUAGAAUGUAAUUAAACACCACAUGCAUAAUUUACAGAUGAAUUUGUAUGAUUAAAGUACAUGAUUUAAUUUGAUAAUGUUAUAUUAUUUUGUAUUUUAUUUGACUGAAAAAUAUAAAAAUUUAUUAUAAAAUUAAUUUCCUAUUUCAAGUUUAAUUCUAUUAUUUUACUAACAAUAUUAUAUCACAAAUAAAAUUUUGAUAUUUUAAUAGUUUGAAAUAUUUAUGAAUAAUUAUCAUAAUAAUUGUUGUGAAAAGAAAAACAUUUUAUAAUAUGAUUUAAUUUAUAUAUUUUAAUAAUUUUUUGAAAAUUUUUAACAGGAAUUUUUGUAUAUUAUUAUUAUUUUUUUAAUUGAGAAUUGAAAAUUAGAUGAGUAGAAUAUGAGAACUCUCAAAUUUACUCAGAUGUACUUGCCAUUAAACCAGUAUUUUGUAUACUAAUUUUUAAAAGAAAUUUUUAUCCGAUAGUCAUAUAAUUAUAUUUUAAUUGUUCUUGAUUUCUCGCAUUAGCUUUAUAUUAAGGCAAUUUAAACUCGGUCAAUUGUAGUAAGUCUUCAUCUGAUCUGUCAAGUUGACUUCAUAUUUAUAUAUUUGGACAACAUAAUAUUUGGAGAAUACAAAAUUAUAUAUAAUGUUCUGAAUAUUUAAAAUUAUUUAUACACACCUUUCCGUUUUAUCAUUUUUAUUCAUUUUAUAUUUUUAUAUAUAUUAAAAAAUAUAGUUUUUUAAUUAUAUUCAUAUUAAAUAUAUUAAAUUUUAUUAAAUAUUAAAAAAAUUUUUAAAAAUAAAAUAAAAUUAAAUACGAUUUAUAUAUUAUUAUAAUUUUAAAAAAUAAAUAAUAAUUUUAAAACAAUAAAAAAAUAAAUAAAAAUUUAUGGAGUUUAUUUUAUUGUGAUAUUUUAAAAGCCUUGAAUCUAGGUCUUUUUUUUAUUUAGUUUUAUCGUAUGGGUCUUGGUCUAUAUAUUAUAAAACGUUAAUUCUAGAAGGCUUAGUAAUCAAUAAUUCAACAUGAUUUUAUCUCAUUGGAUAGAUAUUAUUAAUUAAUUAGAUGGUCACCACCUAAUUAGCUCAUCUCCACAACACGGCUUCAACCUCAAUAUCUUUCACACUUGUAAGCUCUCUAUAUAUAUAUAUUGUAGGAAACAUCUGUCCGAGGUAUUUUAGCUACCCGACUUUCAUUUACUAAAAAAUUAAAUUUAUUGAUCCAACCAGUCAAAUAAAUGCCGAAAAUCUAAUUUGACGGUGGUCAUUGCUUAUAAGUUAUGAUAUUAUAAAUGCUUUGUUCUUUCAAAUGUAUAAUAAAUUAUAAUUUAUUAAGAUUAAUUUAACUAAUAUCUAAUUAAUUCUAAAAAAAGACUAUUAAGAAUUAUAAUCCUUUAUUUAAUAAAUAUGAUAAUUAGUCAGUUCAUAUUCUGAAUUUUUACAAAUUACCAUAUAUAAUAAAUGAUCUUAGAUGGAUCAAAUGAGCUUAUAUAUAUGAUAAACGUAAUCACUCACAUUUACACUAUUAAUAUUAAUAUCUAUAAAAAUUGGUAAAAUUAUACGUAUACAAUUAAAAAUUAAAUUUUUUACGGAUGCUAAACUUGAAAUCUCUUACCUUUUGUUUGACAUAACUCAUUUUAGAAUAAAAGAAUUUAAAUAAAUUUUAGUAAAAUAUAUUUUAUUUUCUUUAAAAAUAAAAAUUGUAUGAAUUAAAAAAAAAUGUUAUAUUCCAAACAAUAAAAUUAAUGAAAAAAAAAAUUAAAUUGAAUCAUUAUAAAAUCUUUGAUUCCAAACAAGAUCCUAAAAGCUUGAACUAUGAAAAACCUUAUAAUUAAUUAAUAAUUUAUAGAUAAUUUGUCAUUUAUAAGUACAUCCAUAAUUUAAUUAUUUAUUCAUAAUUUAAUUAUUCUUAUUAUUUUUUAUGAAAUUUAACUUUUUAAUACAUUUCUGUGUAUAUCCUAUUUUUAUAGAUGUAGAUUCAUAUUUAACCAAAUCAUAUAGUGUAUAUUUUAUUUUUUUAUAAUAUUUACUUCUAAACCAAUCAGUUAUUUAUUUUCCCAACAGAUAAUAUGGCAGGGAAAUACCGUUUGGAUUGGCCAACCAGAAUGGUGAUCGCUUUACGCAUCGGAAGAGGAUUGGUAAAUCUGCAUGAUCGAUGUGAGUCUUCCCUUGUAUGCUUAGGCCUUGGCUAUAUCAAAGCAUGAUUUUUCUGUUUUAAUACAAAUGAAAAGUGCUUCUUGAUUUGAGUAUGUAAGGGUUUAUUUAUUUGUUCAGGCUGUUCCUGCAAUUCAAAAUGAUUGGCCCAAAGGCAACUAUAAGUUUGUUGAUGAAAAAUUAGAGAGAUACUUUGACAAGGAUGAAAUGGAUCGAAUGAUAGAAUGUGCUUUAGCAUGUUUAGAGCGUUAUCCACAAAAUCGACCAGAAAUGAGUAAGGUAAUUUCAUAAAGCUUUAUAUUCUAUUUUAUAUUAUGUAUACAUACGUGAGUUUUAAACAAUUUAGCAUUUUUUGUUAUAUUUUAAUAUUUAGACAACAUAUUUUUAUCACGGUUGUAAAAUUAUUAUUUUAAUACUGAUAAGAUAAUAAUUUAAAAUUAUUAUAGAGAAAAUUCAUUCUAUAUUCAAUAAAAUUAUAAUUUUAGUUGCAUUUUUAAUUCACUGUGAAAAAAUAAUUAAACCGUUAUUUUAUUCUAAUAAUGGAGAUAGAGGUAAUGAUUGUUAAACUGAUAUUAUUAAUUUAUAAUUACAAUUAAAAAUAUAAAACAAUAAUUUAUAGUUAUUGUCUUAAAUUUAUUUUUAUAGUAGUAAUUAUGAUAAACUAAUAACAUUCAUGUGUUAUAAUUAUAGUCUAAUUUGGGAAAGAAAAAAAAACUCAAUUGCUUUUUUUUGAACGGAAAAUUAGAAAUUAGGGAAAUAUAAUAUGGAAUCUCUCAAAUUUAUUUAGAUGUACUUAUCAGUGAGUGUAAAAAAGAAAAACUCAAUUACUAAAAAUUAAAUUUUGUAAGAAUUAUUAAUAAAGUUAAUUUAUUCCAUUUCUUGGCAGAUUCAGUACUUUUUUUUUCCCUUUUUCUAAUUACUUUUCUUGGCAAAGCAGGUUGUUGAAGUUCUAGCAGGAAACAUUUAUCGGAAAAAUCUCAAGAAUUGAGAUGAAAUGUUUGAAAAAGAUAAUUAUUUUUUUUCCUUUUCACUAGAAGUUGGAAACUUCCUUGAAAGGCCGAUUGGACACUGAAAUAAAAGAUAGACUUCCGUUGAAGUGGCAAAGGAGUGUAACUGGAAGACUAUUGCAAUUGAAAAAAAAAGUUCCGUUUGAAAUAAAUCGAAUGUAAAAAAGUGAUUUAGCUUAGAGUAAUUUUUUUAAUUAACUCUUUUUAGUUAAUAAAAUUAAAAUUUUAGUUAUUAUGUUUCUAAAUAUGCAAAUUAAAUUAAAUUCUUAUAAAUUUUUAGUUUUCAAACAGGAAAAUAAAAGGUUUUGGAAGGUUUGAAUCCAAAUAAGAACGUUGAGAGAAUUAUAUCACCGCCAAAUUGCUGGACUAUCUACAGUAGCAUUUCUUUUUCAAAAACAAUUGAAAAUGAGGUUAAUUCUUAUUCUAUUAACUAAAAUUAAAAAAAAAAAUUUAAAUGGAGAUUGAAAAAAUAAAAUUUAAUAUCUCACAUAUUUAUUUAAAUACACUUAUCACCAUAUUAAGAUUGUGAGUAUAAUAUUUAUUAUAUUUUAAUUAUAAUUUAAGAAUUUAAUACGCUAAUAAAUCAUAUAGAGAUGUAAUUGCAUAUUUAAUAUUAUUUUAAUCUGCAUUCCCAGGUUUAGCCUGAUAGUAAGUGCAUUCGGUUAAACCUGAUAGAUCUCAGGUUCGAAUCCCAUCCCCAUUUCAAAAAAAAAAAAAAAAUAUUAUUUUAAUCUUUUAAGUCAAAAUCAAUAAUUUCAACUCCAACCAUAGGUUAUGGCACUAAUCAAGUAAGAGAGAAAAAUAUUUUUAAAGGGAAAUACUUAUUUUUAAUAAAACAAAUUAACUCAGAGUUAGCUUCUCUUAUUAGUUUAUAUGAAUUUUAUUAUAUUAAUAAUAAAAAUAUAUUUGUUAAAUAUGACCAAAAUUUUAAAAAUGACCCUCUUUUAAAUUCCAAUAUUAAUUUAAUUCCAAUAACUUAUCAUAUUUCUCCUUAUUAUCCAUAAUAAACAAUGACCAAGAUUUUAAAAUGACCCUCUCUAAUUUAAUUCUAAUAUUAAAAAUGACCAAAUUUAUUAUCUAUAUUAAACAAUGACCAUGCUUUUUAAAAAUGAUCCUAAUUAAGAUCAAACUAACAACUUUGUAGUUUCUUCAUUUAUUAAUAUGCAAGUGGGAGAUAAAAAAUCAUUAGUUAAUUAAUUUGGUACGUCCUAUUUUAUAAUACACUGAGCAAUCUGAAAGCUGAUUGGCCCCCACAAAUGGAUUAAUUAAUAAUUCAACCUUCUUAAUUAAUGCCGCCUUCAUUGACAGCCUGGGUACUGUUCAGAAACUAACAAUAUAGUAAUCUUACUAUUGCACCGACUCUGCAUAAUUUGUAUUUUUUUGAUACUCCCUACUUUCAAACUUUAAUUUUCGCUAUCGCUGUUUAUUUGAUGGAUUCAAUUUUUGAAUAAAUUAAAUAUUUAAAUUUAAAUAUUUAUAAAAAUAAAAAUAAUCAAUUUUAAUUAAAAAUUAAAUUAAAUUGAAUCGAUCUGAUUUAAUUCGAUUUGAUUGAUUUGAAUUUUUAAUAAAUUUUUUAUUUUUUAUAUUUUAUUUUUAAUAUUUUAAAAUUUAAUUAAAAUAUUUUAAUUUUAAUAUAAUUUAAUAUUUUUAUAUUAUUGAACAUAAUAUAUUAUUAUCAUUAAUCAAUUCAGCUUGAUUUUUUUAUUUUUUUUAUCAAAAUUAAAUAAAAUUGAAAUAAUUAAAAAUUUUAAAAUUAAAAAUCAAAACAAACUCAAAUGAAUAAAAAAUUAAAUUAAAUUUUUAAAUUAAUUUAAUUUGAUUAAUUUUUUUGAUUUAAAUCGAAUAUUACUGGCUCUAAUUUUUCCAUAUAAAUAUUAUGCACAUGUAAAACAUAUAGGUUAAAUAUAUAUUAAAUAAGAUAUUUUCUUAUUAAAAAAAUAUUAUGCACAUGUAAAACAUAUAGGUUAAAUAUAUAUUUACAUAUUUAUAUUUUAAUAUUAUAUACAAAAAGAUACAAGAGAAAGAUACAAGAGUGUAUAUAUAUAUAUAUAUAUAUAGAUGACUGACUCUCUCUCGCUCCUUGGCUUUUCAUUUCCUAGCUUGACUGACUCUCUCUCUCUCUGUCAUCCUAACCUUGUGGGCAGCCAUGGCAGAACCAAGCAGAGGAGGUAUGUUACAACUAAACACCCUAUUUGAAAUUUCGAUUGUGUGAAAUUUAUAUUUAUCAUACUAUAUCUUUUAGUUCGUAACCUAUUAUUAACUUAAAAGUAAACUUAGUUAGAUUUAUUCGAGUUGUGAAUUGAAUUGAAAUAAUCGGUUAAAUUCUAUGAUAGAUUAGUCAAUGGAUUUAAAUUUUUAAUUCAGAUUAAAAUUUAAAAUCAGAAGGACUAAUUAAAAACUUCUCUUCUUAAUUGAAAUUAAAAUUGAACUAAAAUCGAUAAUUUAAAUUAAUCGUACAGUUUAGUUUCGAUUUGAUUUUAAAUUUUUAAAAUAAAUUAUCUUAUAAAAUUCUGUAAAUUUUUAAAAUUAAUAUAUAGAUAAAUCAAAUUAUUAAAUAAUUAAGUUAAAUUUUUUACUCGUAAAAAAUAUAUUUCCAUUUAAUUUUUUUUAUAUUAUAUGAAUGGGUAUAUUUUGUAAAAAAAUUAUUUAUUGAAUUAUUAAUUAAAUAAUUUUUAGUACUCAUAUUUAUUUCUUUACGUUUUAUUUAAUUUUAACUAAAUUUUUUAAAAAUUUUUUCACGUAUGUGUGGAAUUUAUGUUUGAUAUCAAUGCCAACCCACAAAAUUGCAGAAUAACAAAAUUAGCAUUUGAUCCAGGUGUUCACAAGUACAGCUUUGAAGAGCUAGCAAAAGCAACAGGUGAUUUCUCCAACAACAACCGCGUUGGACAGGACGGUUCUGGUGAAGUUUAUGAAGGAACACUUCCCAAUGGUAAACAAGUUGCGAUUAAGAGGCUUCAAUAUAAUUCAGAUCCUGAGAAACAGCAAGUGGAACUUCUAUUUGAGAAUGAGGUUAAAACCAAUAGCCGCACUCGUCACCCGAAUAUUGUGGAGGUCGUCGGAUACUGCAGCGAAGAAGCUGAUCGAUUGAUUGUUUACGAGUUCGUGUCCAACAAGAGCUUGAAAUCUCAUCUCUAUGGUGAGUACUUCUUAAAUUUUCUCAUUGGAUUUAUAAUUUAUUUAUCAUGAGAAUUAAAUGAUUAAGCCAUUUUGUUUGGUUACACAAGUGGGAAGAAGACAGCUGGCGACCGCCCCGAUCGAUUGGCCAACCAGAAUGAAGAUUGCUUUGGGUAUAGCAGAAGGAUUGGCAUAUUUGCAUGAAGAAUGUGAGGUUUUAACUUUAUUUAGUUUUUUUUUUUCCCAAGUUUUCUAUAUUGCACAUUAUACUUUUUAAUUUUAUGCAUUUUUAGGUAAAUCAGGAAUCAUCCACCGAGAUAUUAAAAGUGAUAAUAUUCUUCUCGAUGAUAAAUUUAAUCCUAAGGUAUGAUGAUAUACUCACAGAAGACAGCUAAACAUUUUAUAAUUAAUAUUAAAAAUGUAAAUAAAGUUUACAUUUAUAACUAUUAACUGUUUUAAUUAAUUACAAGUAAUUUUAAUUAUAAAUAAGUGGCCUUUCAAAAUCUUGAUUUAAAAUACCUUCUGUUUAGAAUUAAAAAAAACUUGUAAGAUUCAUAUCAACUUUGAAUUUAAAUUUAACUUAUUAGUUAUAAAUUAAUUUGAAUGACACAAUAAAUUACUUCUAUCAACUUUUUUCUUUUCAGAUUAGAAAUUUUGGAAUUUCCAAAGAAUUUGCGGAUUCAAAAACUCACGUUUCCACUAUCCCAAUGGGAACUCCAGAGUAAGAUUCGUUCUUAUUUGUUUGCUAAAUUUUCUUUCUCAAAGAAAAUUGGUUGAAUUAGUAGUUCUCAUUUGAUAAACACUUUCUUUAAGUGCAGUUAUCUCGCUCCUGAGCAUUACACCCAAGAUGAUCAAAAUAAGAAGCUCACCGAUAAGUCUGAUGUAUUUUCCUUUGGUGUCGUACUUCUAGAGCUGAUUACGGGAAAAUUAGCUGCUUUUGAGAAGGAACGCAGGGAAUAUAUUUUCUUAACUAUUUGGGUACUUAAAAAUAAAGAAUUUGAUAUUUUGUAUAUUCAAUAUUCAAGGGUUUUUUAUUUUUUAUUAUUUUUUCCCUGAUGGAAUGCUUAACUGACCUUUGUACAUCUAUUUUGAUUAUUCACAGGCCGUGCCUCUACUGAAACAAAUUUUGGAUGCAGACUAUCAAGAUUUGGAUGCUGAAAAUUGUAAAGAACUUUUUGAUUCCAAAUUACCGAACAAUUUUGAGAAAAAUGAUAUGGAAAAGCUUAUUUAUUCUGCUGCUGCUUGUAUAUAUAAACCUGCAAAGUUACGCCCACAUAUGUGCGAGGUAAAUUGACAAAACCAAACCAGUUAUUUUUGGAUUAUGCUUUGCAUGUGAUUAUCAGUAAAAAUAUAUGAAAUAUAAUUUAAAAAGUACGUAAAAAUUAUUUGAUAAUUUUGCAUAUGUUAUUAAAAAUUGGGAGGGUGACUGCAUGUGAUUUUUUGAUGCAGAUAGUUAAAGUACUAAAUGGAGAUAUGGAACCCAAAACUAUAUGGGUGAGAAGUGAUUGCAAGUACCUAUACAAUGGGUCACCUUACGCUCCAUUUCCUCAAGCUCAGGGAACCUCCAGCUCUUGAUCUCUAUCCAAUACAUGAAUUAACCUCCGCCUUGUAAUAAAAGAGUAUGUGUUCUUGCUAAAUGCACGUGCUUUUCUAAGGGAUCAAUUAGUUAAUAAGAAUGUGUUCCUUGCUGAAUUUUUUUUUUUUCAAUAUUAAUAAUGAUUGAUAUUGAAUAAUUUUUCAUGUAUAUAUAUAUAUAUAUAUAUAUAUAUAUAUAUGCAGAAUAUAUAAUAUCCAUUAAGUAUUAUUUUAAAACAAAGAGAUAAUAAUUUUUUUUAGUGAGGGUUCCUUCGAAGUGCAACAUAUAUAUGUAUAUAUAUACACAUAGGUAUGAUUGGUAAACGUAUGGAAAAUUUUUUUGGAUAAAUCAUAAGUCGAAUCCAACAAAAUAAUUAAAGAUUUAAUAGCUUUUGAUAAUUUCAAAUUCAACAUUUAUAUUUAAUAGCAUCGAUCUUGAUAUUAAUAUAUAUAUAUAUAUAUAUAUUAAAAUAAUGAAUACGUACAUAUUAAUAUAAAAUUAUUCAAUUAAUAUCAAGAUCAGAGCCACCAAAAAUAAUCUAUUAACGGGUGUCGAAUCUAUCAAUUUAAUUUUACUUCCCUUUUCUUGAUUUAGAUGACUAGUUGAGAUAGAAGAAUAGUUUGAAACAAAAAGUAAGAAGAAAAGUUUUUUUUUUUCUAUAAAAGUGAUUUUGCGUAAGUUAAGAAAAAAAAUUUAAAAGAAAAAAUAAUAAAUAGUGCAAUUGAAAAUUGAGAAACAAGUUAUUGAUUAAAAAUUCCAGUUGAAAGUAAUCAAAUUGAGGUUUUUUGCAGUUGAUAAUUGAUUAAAAAAAAAUAUUUCAUGUUAUUAUUUAUUGUUUGGUUACAGUGGUCAAACAAGCGAAUCUCACCGAUUCUUCUUUAUGAAUAAAUUAAUCCGCUUAGCGCUUAAAUUAAUUCCUAGUUAACUAACUGUAACGGUCAUCUGCCUGCUUGCGGCAAUUCCGUCCCACAUCGACGGAAUAUGAUAAAUUGGAAUUGUAUAUAAUAGCUAGCACGAAACUACUAAUUAACUUGAUUAACUAUUUUGGGCUGAGUGGAAAGUGGGUCCAAAAGUUAUUUAGGUCAGUUCCGGCCGGGCUGCUUCAAUUAGUAUCAGAGCCACCUUGGGUCAGACAAAUUGUGCAUAGCUAGUGGGCCUGCGAGUAAAGGGCUACCCGUGAGAGACAAGAUGGAGCUGCCCGAGGUACUAGCGAACCACAAUACCCGAGGGUCCAGUCCUGAUUAGCAAUUGUAUUGGAUUCAGUUGUCCUGGUUAGCAAUUGUACUGGAUUCCGUUGCGAUGAGGACGUAGCAAAAAUUUAGCGGAAUCGAUCUGCUUGUGGCAAUUCCGUCCCACAUCGGCGGAAUAUGAUAAAUUGAAAUUGUAUAUAAUAACUAGUACGAAACUACUAAUUAGUCAACUGCAUUAAGAGAGAAGAACCCAAACUUGACCAAUAAAAACAAGCGAUUUAUUUAAAUCAAAUCUACUAAUUUCUUAAUAUAAACUAACAUGUUAACAUGUUAAUUGCUACUUGUUAUUAAUUCAAUUAAACAAUUACGGAUUUAAUUAGCAAUAUGUUGUCUUCCCAAGAUAUUCAAGUGAUGAAAAGAAUUGAAGUACAUAACCUCCCAACUUGAAUAAAACCUCAAUUUAAUUUACCCUUCAACUGAAAAUAAUUAUAUAGGCACACAAGAAUAAAAUUCUAAGAUUGGGAGAGUCUUUAUAUAGGCACACAAGGAUAAAAUUUAAUAGUUUAAAAUAAACUCUACACCCCCUAUCUUAUCUCUAUCCUAAUCCGAUUGACAACUAAUUAUAUAGGCACACAAGAAAACAAUAAUGGGAAAUUAACAAAAAAUAGAAAUAAGAUGAAAAGAAUUGAAGUACAUAACCUCCCAUCUUGCAUAAAAACCUCAAUUUAAUUUACCCUUCAACUGAAAGUAAUUGUUUAGCCUGUAAAGGUCAUAAUAAAAUUGCAACAACUAAGAACAAGAAGAAGGAAAGAAGAAAAAAAAGACAAAAAGAAGAUGGAGAAGAAGAGGGGGUCGGCGGCACCCAGAGGAGAGGAGGGGGGAAGGAGAGAAUAUGAUGUGUAGGUUUAAUUCUAAGAACCUUUAUAGGGUGAAUCUUUGCUAAGGUGGCAAAAUCUGCUGAGGUAGCGCCUUCUGAAGCUCUCCAUUGCCUUGAGUUACAAGUUGAGUCAAGGUUGUAACCUUUCUGUCCAAAAAUCUUUUAAUUCAGUCUCUUUUCGUUCUUUUUCUUAAUUUUCGAUAAAAAACCUAUCCAAAUUUAAAUUCUAAAUAAAAAUUAAAUAUUUAUAUCAAAAUUAUAGUAAAAUCAUGGAAUUAAAUGAGAAAAAAGUUGUGAGUUUUGCAACAUCAUCUAUCUAAUUCAACAAAUAUAAAUUGCGUAUAGGGUGAAUAAGAUCAAAUUCACAAGAAAUUGACACUAAAAAUCUCCAAUUAAUAAGUAGAAAAAAUGAAUAAUAGAAGUAGAAAGAGAAUUUUAAUGAAAAUUCAAUUAAAGUAAUAAAUCAAGAUAAUUUAAUAAAGAUAAUUUAAUAAGGUCGUGAAAAUAUAUAGGGAAGCUAAUAUGGUAGCGGAUUAUCUUGCGAAUAGUGCGCAUGGUGGAGUUUUUGGUAUGAGUUUUAUUGAUUUGCCUUCAUCUAGUAUUAAGCUCCUCUUGAAUGCUGACUGUAUGAAUGUUUUUCAUGAUCGUAUAAUAAACUAAAGGGCUCUAUCCCUCCUUUUCAAAAAAAAUAAUAAUAACAAUAAUUAAGAGAAAAUUAAAUUAAUACAAAUAAAUUAUAGUUGAAGAUUAUAGUCCAUUUCAGUUUUGAAAAUUGAUCAUAAAAACAAAAAAAAAUCUUUAUUUAUUCUAAUAAGUUAGUUUAGUUAUAGAAUACACUCUGUAUAAUUAUGGCACACGAGAUCGUGGACAUGCCGGUCGACGAGCAACAAAAGCAACAAGUUAUGGUUCCUCCAACAUCAUUCCAGAAACUUCAUUUGAUGAGAUGGAUCGUUUUCCCAAACCCAUUGUCUUUAGGAGAAGAUGAACAUGUUACAUUUAAUAAAAACCUUAAACCUUUCUCUUCUUAUUUUUCAUAGACCAGAGUUCUCCUUAUCAUUUUAAGCUUUUCUCUUUUUAUUAUUUUCUUUAACCGAUAACUUAUUGUUUUAUUCUCUAUAUUGAAUAUGACCAAUCUUAAAAAUAACUCUCUUUUAUUUAAUUUCAAUAUCAAAUAUUACAUGAGAUUUCUGAAAUAUUGAUAUAUUUUUUUUUAUUGGUAAUUCAAUAAAAAUUCAUUGGUGAAUAGUAUGAUCUAUUUUUAAAAGUCUCACUGAUAAAUUUGUACCCUGGAAUCUAUUCUGGAAUUCACUAGUAAUUUUUUACCCUGGAACUUUUUUUCAAGCUCACGAGAUCAGUUGGAAAAUUGUUGUCUUUCUUUGCCCCCUAUGAAUAUACAAUGGUUCCACAAAUUAGAUAUAUACACUAACUGCAUGUCAUGGUUUGCUUAGAUGAUGAAUCUAGCUCAUACUUUGAAAAAGGUUGAUUAAAUUGAAGAAUCUGGCUCAUUGCAUGAGAAGAAUUAUAAGGGUUUUGGGCUGAAGCAACUAGCAGUGGCAAGAAGUGCAUCUGACAUUUAUAUAGGCGUAUAAUAAACUAGCAAAUGCAACAGGUCAUUUCUCGCUCAAUAACCAAUUUCGUCAAAUUUCAAGGGAUUCUUAGAGGGCAAGAUUUGUGCUAUUAAUUAAAUAAAAUUUUAGGGAUUAUGUUAUAAUUUAUUGUUAAUAUGUGACAUGACAUAUAGACUAAAAAUUUUUUUUAUCAAAAUUGAUUGAGAUUAAUAGAUAAAAUUAAAAUAAAUGUGAAAAGAUUAAUUUUAUUGUAUAAAAUUUUAAAAUUAGAAUAUAAAUGUGAAAAAUCAUACAUUUUUACAUCUUUUUAUCCAAUAGAUUUUGUUAUUAGAUAAACUAGUUGACACCCACAUGUUGAGUAAAUUUUAAUUAUACAGUUAUUAAUUUUAUUGAUAAAGAAUAAAAAAUAAAGUUUUUAUGGUUAAGUGGUAUCGAAGUUGCAAUACGGAUAAAAAGAUCUCAAUUUUUCUUAUAAAAUUCCAAAUCAAAAUUUUUAGUCAAAGUAUCCCACCAAUUUAUUAAAUUGUUUAAUUACUCUUUUGCAUUUAUUUUGAAUAACAAUACAAAUAAAUUUCAUUAUUAAUUAAAUCAUCAAAAUCCAUAUUAUAUUUUUAAUUUUUAACAUUAUACUAAUUUGUAAAAAUAGGAUCUAUUCAUUAAAGAUAUGUGUAAUAUAAUUAUUUUCAUAACUAUAUAUAGAUAUUACACUAGAACAAGCAAUUUAUUGAGACACCCAUGUAUCCAAAACGUAUAAACUAAUACACUGGGCAAUCAGAGAUAUCUUUAUUGAUUACAGAAUAGGUAUUUAUACAUACAAGUGUGACUUAGUUAACAAGUAUUUAAAAUCUAUACAAACUAGGAAACCGAAAUCUAUACAAAUUAGGAAAAUAGAAUCCUAAUCCUUAUCAGUAUAGUCUCAAUCCUAAUCCUUAUCACUUAUCAGUAUAGUCUCAAUCCUAAUCCUUAUCAUAAACCAUCAAAUACAUGCCAUUUAUCAAUAAUCUUUUUUAUUAUAAGAUUUUAAAAAAAACAGUGAUAAGAGAAAAAAGAAACACAACGGUUUAAAUAUUUAAUAAAUUUAGUCAUAAAAAUUAAAUUAAAUGUAAUAUUAAAUAAAUUUAACAUGGACGAUAAAAUGAUCAAAUGAGUAAACUUAAUCGUUUUAGAACAAUCAAACAUUAUAUUGCGACUUAUAUAGUCUGUCAACCAAGUUGGUUUCCUAGUAGAAGGAGGCUGACCUCUUUCAAUAGGUUGGAUUUCCUGUGAACUUUCACUAGCAAUUUGAUAUUGCAAGUCAGAUUAUGAAAGUUGUACAUGUUUGUUAUUUUGGUUCUCUAUUUCUUCAAAGGAGACUGAUAUAGGUUGCUGUUGUGACUCAUUUUUAGCCUAAUUCCAUAUGUUUUCUUCAUAAAAAAUCACAUCACUACUGAUCACAAUCUUUUUAGUGUUUGAAUUUAACAACUUAUAAGCUUUAGAAACUUCACUUAAGCCAAGAAAGACAUGUUUUUCACCCUUAUCAUCUAACUUUUUCAUUUUCUCAUAAGAUAUAUAUGCAUAUUUGAUGCAACUGAAAAUUGAACAAUGAUCAACAACUGGUUUUCUUCCACUCCAUAUUUCCUCAGGAGUCAUAUUUUGUAUUAAAAGUAUUAGACUUCUAUUUAGUACAUGGAUAUUCCAAUUAACUGUCUCAGGCCAAAAGUUCUUCAGAACAUUGCCUUUAGCCAGCAAUCUUCUCACCAUAUUAAGGAUUGUUCUAUUUUUCCUUUCCAAUAUGUCAUUUUAUUAUGGCAAAUAGGCAGCGAGUUCUCUUCCAAUGCUUUAUUCAUCACAAAAUUGUUCAAAUUCCUUUGAAUAAUAUUUUCCACCAUGAUUGGUAAGGAAAGUUUUAACUACCUUCCUUGACUCAUUUUCAACAUGCGCUUUGAAGCUUUUAAAUGCACAAAAAGCUUCUGAUUUAGCUUGUAAAAAGUAAACCCAAGUCUUCCGAGAAAAAUCAUCAAUGGAAGUGAUUAAAUAUUUCUUACCCCAUUGAAAGUUGGAUUAAUUGGACCAUAUAUAUCGAAUGGACCAGAUCUAAAAAAUCAUUCGCUCUCCAUGAUUUUCCUUGUGGAAAUUGAGAGCAAUGUUGUUUACAAACACACACUCUUCACAAACUUGAGAUGGAAUAGUAAUUUGAGGAAGACCAUUCGCCAUAUUCUUAUGUUGGAGAGUUCUUAAUCCACCGAAAUUCAAGUGACCAUAAUAGAAAUGCCAAAAUUGAGAUGGAUUCUUCAUUUCAGCCAUCAAAUGGGUUUAGGCAAUUUGAAUUUGCAAUGGAAACAACUUGUUUGAGCUCAUUUAAAUAAUUACAAUGGCUUCUCUUGAAGGAUUAUAAAUUUCACAAGCUCCCUUUUGAAUGGUUAUCAUAUAGCCCUUCUCUUGCAAUUGACCCGCACUAAGUAAAUUAUUUUUUAAAUCAGGAACAUAAAGCACACUAGAAAUAGUCUCCAUAAAACCAUUCUUAGUUUUAAUAUCAAUAUCACUUUUUCCCAUCACAUUCACUUUAGAACUAUUACUAAAACUCACAGUUGAAUGAAAAGUUUUAUCUAAGUGGGAAAAGAGAGACUUUACUACCACACAUAUGAUUGCUACAUUCUGUAUCAAUGUAUCAAACUGCAGAGUUAAUUGUCUCAUUGGUUUAAACAGUCAUUAAGAGAGUUUCAGCUUCAUGAUUUUUCUAUAAAGUUUGACUUCUCCCUAUUUUGACAUUUUGGUACGACAUUCCAAAUGAAAUUGACCAAAUUUAUAGCAUAUGUAGCAUUCAAUUUUAGAUUUGUCAAAGUGCUAAAACUAUCAUUUCCUUUUGUGUGAUUGAUCAUCGUCAGAUUUGAAAUUUGGUGCCAAAGAUCGUAGGAUUUUCUUCACAAUGGUGACAUUUUCCAUCUCCUCACCAUGAAAUCACAUUUUAUUGCUCAAUAAAAUAGGAAGUUAAUUAAUUACUGGUACCAAAAAUUUGUAAAGAAAUUAAAAUUGAGUGUAGAAUAAUUUGGGUAAGUAAACACCACAAGCAUAAUUUACAGAUGAGUUGGUAUGAUUAAUAAUGAUUACCAAAUUUUGAUACAACGGAUGACUAUUGUCUUGAUCUAAUAGUAAAAACAAAGGUGUUUAAAAAAUUAUGGUUCAAUCUCACCGUCACUUUUUUUUUUUUUUUUUUUUGCAUUUUUUGGUCAAAGUGCUAACUAACAUUUUUUUUUUGCCAAAGUGAUUACUAUUCUUGUAAUUCAACCUCAUGCUAAACCUACCCUAAAGAAAAUCCAAGUCUGAACGCUAAAGUUACCCACAUCUUUCUUCCAUCCUAUAAUAUAAUUUUAUUAUAAUUGAAAGCAAAAUUCUAUAAAGAAAAAUAAUUAGAAAAGUUUUCAUAAAUUAAAACCGAUUUUUACAAACAAAUUUUUAAAAACAAAAUCUCAUCUCUUUAAAAAGUUGACCAAUUUCCAUAAAAAUUAAUUAAAAAUAAAAUUUUAACUAUUUAAGUUCUCUAUUCUAUAUAUAUAUAUAUAUAGAAAGUAAAAUAUAAUUAAAUUUAUUAUUAUAAAAUUAAUAAUUUUUAGUAACAGAAAUUAAUAAUUUUAUUGUUAAUAAUGUUAUACAUUUAAUUAAUUUAUUAUAUGAUAUUAUAGUUUACUAUUUCAAGUUUAAUUCUAUUAUUUUACUAACAAUAUUAUAUGACAAAUAAAAUUUUGAUGUUUUAAUAGUCUGAAUAUUUAAAAUUAUUUAUGUACCUUUUUUUUCACAUAUAUUAAAAAAUAUAAUUUUUUUAGUUAAUUUUUUAAUUAUAUUCCUCUUAAAUAUAUUAAAUUUUAUUAAAUAUUAAAAAAUAUUUAAAAAUAUUUUAAAAAUAAAAUAAAAUUAAAUACGAUUAUAAUAAUUAAUUUAUAUAUUAUUAUAAUUUAGAAAAAUAAAUAAUAAUUUUAAAACAAUAAAAAAAUAGAUAAAAAUUUAUGGAGCAGAAAAUAGUAUUUUAUUGUAAUAUUUUAAAAGCCUUGGGUCUAGGUCUUAUUUUAUUUUAUUUUAUGGGUCUUGGUCUAUAUAUUAUAAAACGUUAAUUCUAGAAGGCUUAAUAAUCAAUAAUUCAACAUGCUUUUAUCUUAUUGGAUAGAUGUUAUUAAUUAAUUAGAUGGUCAUCACCUAAUUAUCUCAGCUCCACAAUACGGCUUCAACCUCAAUAUCUUUCACACUUGUAAGCUCUACAAAUAUAUUAAUAUUAAUAUUUUUUUAUAAUGUUUAUAUAUUAAUAUUUAAUAGAUUUUAUUAUUAAUAUUUCAAUAAAAAAUUAUUGGUAUUACAUAAUUUCUGAUCAUAAAAUUAAUAUUAUGUUGCAAUUAAAUUUAUAAAAAUAAUUUAAUUAUAUUAUAUAUAUUUAUCUAAUAAUAAAUAUUUUUUAUUAUUUUAAUAGAUUAAUAUAGUAUAAUAAUUUUAUACACUUUUAAUCACAUUAUAAAAUUAUGAAAUAAAGUAUAAGAAAUAAUUAUUAUUAUAUUUUAUAAAAAUAUUUUUAAUAUAUAAAAGUACUAUAAAAAUUAAUAACAAAGAAACUACAUACCAAAAUAUUUAAAAUUAUAAUAUUAUUCUUUUAUUAAACAUAUAUAAGAUUAUUUUAUUAAAUUAAUUACUUAAUUUAUUUGUUUUUUUAUAAAUUAUUAAUAAUUCAAUAAUCGAUAUAAUAUUUAGAAUUAUUAUAUUAUUUUACUAUUAAAUAUUAUAUGAGAAUAUUUAAUUAUUUAUAAUUUAUUAAAUACAAAUUAAUUAAUUAAUUAAUCUAAUAGCAUAAUAAAUUAAUUAAAUCUAUUAUUUUUGAUAAAUUAUAAAUAAUUAGUGAUUGUAACGGUCAGCGCUUGUGGAUUUGCGGCUUUCAUCCCACGUCGGGGAGAUGAUAGAAAAUUGGAAUUGUAUAUAAUAGCUAGCACGAAACAACUAAAUAACUUGAGUUAACCAUUUUGGGUCAAAUGAAAAGUGGAUCUAAAAGUUAUUUGGGCCAGUUUGGACCAGACUGUUUCAAUUGGUAUCAGAACCACCUUGGGUUAGACAAAUUAUGCGAAACUAGUGGGCCUGCGAGGAAAGGGCUAUCCGUGAGAGACGAGGUGGAGCCGCCCGAGAUACUAGCGAACCACAAUACCCAAAGAUUCGGUCCUGGUUAGCAAUUGUAAUCGAUUCAGUUGCGGCGAGAACAUCGUAAAUUUAGCUGGACCGAGGUAACAGUCAGCUGCAUGCUUGUGGAUUUGCGGCUUCCGUCCCACAUCGGGAGAUGAUAGAAAAUUGAAAUUGUAUAUAAUAGCUAGCACGAAACUACUAAAUAACUUGGGUUAACCGUUUUGAAUCAAGUGGAAAGUGGGUCCAAAAGUUAUUUGGGCCAGUUUGGACCGGGCUGUUUCAAUUAGUAUCAGAGCCACCCUGGGUCAGACAAAUUGUGCGGAGCUAGUGGGUCUGCGAGGAAAGGGCUACCCGUGAGAGAUGAGGUGGAGCCGCCCGAGGUACUAGUGAACCACAAUACUCAAGAGUUCGGUCCUGAUUAGCAAUUGCAAUCGAUUCAGUUGCGACGAGGACAUCACAAAUUUAACUAUUUUGAGUAAGUGAAAAGUGGAUCUAAAAGUAAUUUAGAUCAGUUUGGAUCGGGCUGUUUCAGAUUCCGUAUAGUAUCUAAUCAUAAUUUUAUUUUAUAAUUCUAAAUAUUAAUAUAUUUUAUAUAUUAAUAUUUAAUAUAUUUUAUUAUUAAUAUUUAAAUUAAAAAUAUUAUUAAUCUUAUAUAAUUUCACUAUCAUAAAAUUAAUAUUAUACCACAAUCCAAUAAAAAAAUAAAUUUAAUUUUUAUAAUUUUAAAUAUUUAUAUUAAUUUAUUUAUUUAUUUUAUAUUUUUCUUUAAUUAAUUAUUUAAUUUAGUGUUUUAUACAUACAUUUAAUACAAUAAUAUUAUAAUUUUAAAUAUUUUUUGUGUGCAGUUUUUUUUAUUAAUUUUUAUAAUAUUUUUAUAUAUUAAAAUAAUAAAAUAUAAAAAAUAUAAUAAUUAUAUAUUAAUAAAUUUAUAAUUAAAUAAAUUUAUAAUUAAUUAGUAUUAUUUAAUUAUAAUAAUAUAUUAAAAUUAAUAAAAUAUAUUAUAAAAAAAUUAUUGUAAUAAAAAAUAUAAUAUAAAUAAAAUUAUUAAAUUAAUAUAAUAUAAAAAUAAUAUAUUAAUUAAUUAAUAUAAUUAUAAUACUUUAAUAAUUAAAAAAAUAUAAAAAAAUUAAAUCAUGGGAGCUAGGCCAUGAUUACUAAUAGUUAGUACCAAAUUAUUAAUAACUUAAAUUAAUUUUAUAAAUAAUAUAUUAUUCUAUUUCAAAUUAAUAUGGAAUUGAAUAAAAUUGUAUUUAGUUAAAAUGUUAAUUAUAAUUAGAAAUUUAAUUUGUUUGAAAAUAACUUUUGCAUUAAAAUAUGAAUUCAUUGGAUUAAUCCUAACCGAUAAUCAUUUUUAUCAUAUAAAUUGUUGGGUUGACAAUUAAUAUCACCAGCCAGUUUCAAUUAAAACAUAUUACUAAUCCCAUUUAGGAAGUACAAAGAUCGUUCCAGAAUUAAAAUUAUAUUAAUUAUUAACUAAAAUCAAUCUUUAAAAAUUGAAUUUCAAGUUCACUCUCAAAUUUAGUUUAAUGGUAAGUGUAUCUGAAUACAUCUGAGAGAUUUCAGAUUUUAUUCUCUCAAUUUCCAAUCCCAUUUAAAAAAAAAAUUAAAUUUCAAAUAAAAUGAAACUUUUUUUACGUAAAAUAAAGAAAAAUUACUAAAUUUUAGGGCUGUAAUCGAACCGAGCUGAGCCGAAUUUUGAUACGUUCAGUCUCGAUUAGAAAAUAAAUUUAAAAGCUCGAGUUUGACCUUGAGCUCGACUCGAACUCUAUUUAUAAACUCGAGCUCAAUUCAUAAAAUAAAUAUUAAACUCGAGCUCGGUUCGAACUCGAUUCGUAAUAAACUCGUUUGUCACAUUAACGAGCCAACUCAAACUCUAUUCAAAAAACUCGAAUUUGAACUCAUUUAGACUCGAAUUUGAGAUCGAUUAUAUUAUAAAUAAGCUUAAUAUAAUUUAAAUUUAUUUAAAUUAUAAAUAAAUUUAAAUUAUAAGGUUAUUAAGAGACUUCUAAAUUAAAUUUUUUUAGCUAAUUGAAAUCUCUCUAAUUGAAAACUAAUGAAAAAGAAUGUCGAAUGGUUGUCUUUUUAUAGAGAAGUCACGAUUCUCCAUAUCCUUUCAACUUUCGAUGUGGGAAUAGUGUUAGCAAACAAGUUUGUUCGCGAGGCUGCUCACGAGCUUGUUCACGAGGCUGCUCACGAGCUUGUUCACGAGCCUAUUCACGAAUCAGCUCGCGAGUCUAAAUAAGCCGAAUACUGUUAAGUUCAAGUUCGACUCGUUUAUUAAACGAGUCUAAAAAGUGAGUUCGAGCUCGGUUCGUUUAGAAAACAAGUCGAGCCCGAUCGAGUUUUUAUCGAGACGAGUCUCGAAUAGUUCACGAACAGUUUGGUUCGUUUACAUCUCUACUAAAUUUAGAAAAAAAUUAAAAUUAACUAAAAUUUGAUACUAAAGGGAUUUUAUAAUGUAAUUUUGACUAUUAUAAUCGUUACAUAUAUAUUUAUAUUCCUGCAUUAUAUAUUUAAAAUAAAUUCAUUGAACACUUAAGUUAAGACUGUAACUCAUUGCAUAUCUAAUUUAUAAAAAUUCUACCAAUUAAAUAUUAAAUAAUUAUAUUCAAAUUUUUUUAUAUAAAAAAUUCCAUCGAAUUAUACUGUAGAUCUUGUUGGCCAUAUUUUAAAUUUUUUAAAUGAAAAGAUUGCCCUCUAUAAAGGAGAGUAAUUUUAUUAUUUUAUAAAAAUUUAAAGUAAUAUCGAUAAAUCUAGAAUAUAAUUAAACAAUAAUAAAUGAAAUUAAUUUUUACUUUUUAUUUAUAAGCUAUAGAUAAAAUGAGUAAUUUACAUUUAAUUGCCAUGAUUCAUGUACGAUUAAAUAUUCAAAUAUGUUUUGAUUAUAGUUUCAGUAUUAAGCCUUUAUUUAUUUAUAAAAUAUAAUAUAUAUUUGAAAAAUAUUUUUCUAUGUUUUGAUUAUAGUUUCAUGUAUUAAGCCUUUAUUUAUUUAUAAAAUAUAAUAUAUAUUUGAAAAAUAUUUUUCAUGUGAAAUAAUAUUAUAUUAUGUAAAAUGAGAGUAAUUUUUUAUUUUAUGAAAAUUUAAAGUAAUAUUAAUAAAUCUAGACAUAAACAAUAAUAAAUGAAAUUAAUUUUAUUUUUUUUACACUCUAAUGUAGAAGUGAGUAGUUUUCGGUUCAAAUUGAAAAAAUUGAUCGAAUUAAAUUAAUUCAAAAAUUUAGUGUAGUUUUUUUAUUUUUUUCGAUUUUGUACGAUUUUUAUUUUUAAAAUUUUUUAUUAUUUCAAUUCAAUUUGAUUUUGAUAAAAAAAAAUUAAUAAAAUUAAACUAAACCGAUUAGUGAUAAUAGUAUAUUAAUUUUUUCUAAUAUAGAAAUAUUUUAAUUAAAUUUUAAAAUAUUAAAAAUAAAGUAUUAAAAAUAAAAAAUCUCAUUAAAAGGUCUAAUCAAUUAAGCUAAAUCAAAUCAAAUCGAAUUAUAUCAGUUUAUAUUUAAAUGGUUUCUAUUUAAAAUCGAUUCGAUUUAAUUUUUAUAAAUUCUAAAUUUUUAAUUUUUAACUUUUUCAAUUCGAUUUGAUUUUAAACCGAACUGACGAAAUGUUACCUUACAUGCUAUUGAUAAUAUGAGUAAUUUAAAUUUAAUUUUCAUGAUUCAUAUACAGUUUAAGUAUUAAGUCUAGGGAGCUUUUUGGCCAAGUUUCCCUCUGUGGUACCUCUGUGGAUCGAUGCUCUCGCCUUUUCCUCUUCUUAAAUCUAACUUCUUCUUUUUCUUUCCCCAUUGAAGAUGAUCUGCGUCAAUUGACUAUCGAAGCGGCUCAUCCCGUCAAAGGUCAGGAUAGCCCAAAGCAAUGAUCGUCCUGUGUUGGAACUGCCGAGGACUCGACAAUCCUCGGACAGUAAAUACAUUAAAGGAUUUGGUUACUAGUUACAAGCUGGACAUUUUAUUUUUGAUGGAAACAAAAGUUCUUAGUUCUCGUAUGGAAUUUUUUUGUAGUUUUUUACAUUUUGAUAGUUGCUUCUCAGUUAAUAGACAAGGAUUAGGAGGAGGCCUUUCGUUAAUGUGGAAGAGUCAUGUGUCUGUUUCUGUGAUUGGCUUUUCUUCCAAUUUUAUUGAUUCGAUUGUUUCGCAAGGUAAUAUCCAAUGGAGGUUUACUGGUUAUUAUGGAUUUUCGAAAUCACAACGAUGACGUCAUUCUUGGAACCUUAUUCGAGCUUUAUCUCGUAGAAACUCUCUUCCGUGGCUUUGUUCGGAAGACUUUAAUAAUUUAUGCUCGAGAGAUGAGAAAGAAGGAGCAACUUUACCAAAUUAUCUUAUGCAGGGGUUUAGACAGAUACUUGAGGACAGUAAUCUUAUUCAAAUACCUACUGUUGGCUCUUUCUUCACAUGGGAGAAGCUUGAUAGAGCCCUUGCUACUGAGGACUGGACUCGUAAAUUCACUAAUGUUGUCUGCUCGGUUGUUCAUGUUCCUAGAUCGGAUCACAAACCGUUGGUGAUUAAUACAGCUCAUAAGGAUAAUAGGGGAGAUAGAAGGAGAUUUCGAUUUGAUAAUGCAUGGUUAUGUGAUGAGAGUCUGGCUAAGGUUGUUAAAGGAGUUUGGGUUAAUUCUAUACCACACAACCUUUUGAUGAAACGUGAUGAUUUAGUUUUAGCUCUUUCGUUGUAGAGUAGGAGUAGAAAUAGAGAGUUUUGGCAAAAGAAGAAGACUAUACAGAGAUUAUUGGAUAAUGGGCCCAGUACUGUUUCUCACGCCUCUUUAAAGAAAGAUUGGAAUUGUCUCCUUGAGCAGGAAGAAACUAGACUUAAAUAGCAGACAAAGUGCUUUUGGCUUAAAAAUGGGAACCGAAAUACAAAAUUUUUUCAUGCACAAAUUAAUGAUAGACAGAAUGAACCUUAUUACUAAAUUAAAGGAGUCGUCGGGUACCUGGAUUGAGGAUGAGCAGGAAAUUAAAAAUCAUAUUCUGCAUUAUUUAAAGUCUAUUUUUUAUGGCAGUUCUGUGGAUUGUGAACGGGUUUUUGAGUUGGUGCCGCCAUUGAUUAGUGAUACCGAUAAUACUGAUCUUUGUGCUCCCUUUUCGAAUGAGAAAUUUAGAGCUGCUCUUUUUCAGAUGCAUUCAGAUAAGGCAUCUGGGCCGGAUGGGUUAAAUCCUACAUUUUACUAGAGAUUUUGGCACUUGAUUGGCAAUGAUGUUUUCGAUGGUUGUCGCCUUGGCUUCAACAAGGUACUUUUCCUUCUUCUCUUACUGAAACAUUGAUUGUUUUGAUCCCUAAAGUAGAUAGCCCUGAAACUAUUAAAGACUUUUGUCCAAUUGCGUUAUGGAAUGUGUUAUAUAAGAUUGUGGCUAAAGCUUUGGCGAACAAAUUUAAAAGGGUCCUUCCUAUGAUUAUCUCUGAGAAUCAGUCUGCCUUUAUCCCUCAUCGAUUGAUUACCGAUAAUGUUAUGGUUGCGUUUGAAAUGAUGCACAAUAUGAAAACUAAUAAGGGCAGAAAUGAUGGUAAUUGUGCACUUAAAAUUGAUAUUUCUAAGACUUAUGAUAUGAUAGAGUGGGAGUUUCUAAAAAGCAUGGUGGAACGAUUUGGUUUUUCUACUCAAUGGAUUAGGUGGUUGAUUAUGUGCUUUUCGGAAGUCUCUUACAAUAUCAAUUUUAAUGGUGAUUGGAUUGGUCCUAUUGUGCCUGGUAGAGGUAUUCGACAGGGGGAUCCUAUAUCUCCGUAUCUCUAUUUGGUGUGUGCGGAAGGCUUAUUGUUACUACUUAAAGAUGCUGAAUCUAGGAGCUAGUUGCAGGGCUGUAGGGCAGGUACUAGGGGUGAGCAGUAUUCGGUUCAAAUCGAAAAAAUCGAUCGAACCGAAUUAAUUUAAAAAUUCAGUUCGGUUUUUUAUUCAAUUUGGUUCAGUUCGAUUUUUAAUUUCAGAAAUUUCAGUUAUUUCGGUUCGGUUCGAUUUUGAUCAGAAAAAAAUCGAAAAAACCGAACCGAACAGAUUAGUGAUAAUAAUAUGUUGUUUUCAAUAAUAUAGUGAAAUUAAAUCAUAUUAAAAUUAAAAUAUUUUAAUUAAAUUUUAAAAUACUAAAAAUAAAGUGUAAAAAAUAAAAAAUUUAUUAAAAAUCGAAACCGAUCAAACCGAACUGAAUUGAACUGAAUCAGACCGGUUCGGUUCGAUUCAGUUUCUAACCAAAAUCGAUUCGGUUCAAUUUUCAUAAAUACUAAAAUUUUGGUUUUCGGUUUAUUCGGUUCGGUUUUGAACCGAACCGACCGAAUGCUCACCCUUAGCAGGUACUAGAUGCCCAAAGAUCUCACAUUUAUUUUUUACAGAUGAUUCUCUGCUAUUUUUUAAUGCUAGACUGGAGGAAGUAGAUAGUAUUAAAUCUAUUCUCAAUACCUAUGUGGCUGCUUCUGGACAAGUGAACUUCAACAAAUCUGACAUUUUCUUUAGUCCCAAUGUGGUCUCCUCUGUAAGGUCUAAUAUUAGUAAUAUCCUGGAUGUUCAUUCACCAUUGAGUCAUAGUGCCUAUCUGGGAUUACCUUCUCUUAUUAGGAGGAACAAAAAAGCAAUUUUUAGUUUUCUAAAAGAAAGAAUGUAGAAGAGGAUUAAUUCAUGGAGCAGCAGAUUUCUAUCUAGAGCAUGCAAGGAGAUUCUCAUAAAAUCUGUGUUGCAGGCUAUACCUGCAUAUUGCAUGAAUAUUUUUUGGAUUUCCAUUACUAUUUUGAAGGAAUUGCAUAGAAUGGUCAAUGACUUUUGGUGGGGGGUAAAAGAGAAGGGCGGAGGGGUAUUAAUUGGCUAGCGUGGGAGAAGAUGUGUAGUAGAAAGAAGGAGGGGAGUAUGGGGUUUCGGGACUUUAGAAGUUUUAAUUUGUCUUUACUUGGCAAACAAGUGUGGAAGUUCUUAACAAAUCCUAAUACUCUUUGUUGUAGAGUGUUUAAAGCAAAGUAUUUCCCAAAUGGUAAUUUAUUUUCCGCCAAUGUAAGUAAUGGUGCUAGCUUUGUUUGGAAAAGUGUGAUGACAUCAAGGAAGUUGAUUCGAAGGGGUACAAGGUGGAGUGUGGGUAAUUGAGAGAAGAUUUUAGUGGCUUCAGCUCCCUGGGUUCCUAAGAAGGAUAUCUUUUUUGCUGAUGAUGGCUCCGAUUUUAUUGAACCACAUUUGCGUGUUUGUGAUCUUUUUUAAGGUAAUGAGAGGGUUUGGAACAUUGCUCUUUUAAUAGAGCUUUUUUGUUCAAGAGAUAUCAGGGCUAUUAUUAGUAUUCCUAUUAGUAUUACCAAUAAGGAAGAUUCCUUCUUGUGACAUUUUGAUAAAAGAGGUAUGUAUACGGUAAAGUCUGCAUACUUUGUAUGUAUGGACUUGCUAGGAAGAUCAUCUUUUAAUGUGGGGGGUGAGUUGUAGACUAGUUUGUGGAAUGUUUCUGUCUCUCGAAAAGUGAAAGAUUUCUGUUGGAGAGCUUGUAGAAAUAUAUUGCCUACAAAGGAUAACUUAAGGCAAAAGGGUGUGGAUGUAGAUGCUAGAUGUCCUUCGUGUCAUGAAAAUGAAAGUGUCAAUCAUAUUUUGUUGCAUUGUCCUUUGUCCAAGAAAGUUUGGAGGUUAAGGGGAGUGGAAAAUUUGCAGUCUAAUGAUAAUUUUUUUAAUUUUUUACUGCAGAUCUUGAAAUCUCAAGAUAAGGUUCAAAAAACCUUUGUAAUGGUCUGUGCAUGGAGAUUAUGGUCAGCAAGGAACUCAUUAUUAUGGAACCAGGUGCAAAAUUCAGCAGCUCACCUUGUGGAAGACGUCAUGCAUCAUAUCUCGGAUUAGGAAGUUGCUCAACGUGCUGGUGCUUUACAUGGAAAUACCAUUGCUGCUUUAUAUCGGGGCAGAAACUUGUUUUAUUCUUCCAACCCUGCUCGUGAUCCUAAAGCCAUUCCUCUCUAAAUUCGUGCGUCAUCUCCAAGUUUGGACAAUUUCAGUUGGUUUUGUCAAGUUGAUGGGGUUUUGUUUCAAGUUUAAGAUUUUAUUAGCUACGGUUUUGUUGUGGAAAACUCUGAGGGUAUAUUUCAACGUGGUGUUUCUGGUUUUUCGAAAGGUAAUGGUAUGCCGGUAAUUGUUGAAGUUUUAGCUCUCCAUCAUUGUUUGCUCUUUGCGAUGAAAUUUUUGUCUUUUAAUGGCUGCAUUCUUAUAGACUGUUUGUAGGUGAUUUAAACUCUUCAGUCUCUACAUUUAGACAUUUCUGAAUUGAGUUUGAUUUUGAAUGAUUAUAAAUCUUUGUUAGACUUUAGAACUGAUAUUACUGUUAGAUGGGUUCGUCGUUAUGCCACUCUAACUGCUCAUACUUUGACUAGAGAAUCUAUUAGGUAUGAUCGUCUUUCUUUUGGAAUGAUAUCCCUCUUUGUUUGAUAAAAUUUUAUUAAUAUAAUCGGUAGUUUUUUUUAACAAAAAAAUAUUAAGCCUAGGGCUUUAUUUGUUAGUAAGAAAUAAUACAUAUUUAAAAAAUAUUUUAAUUUAACAUAUUUUAAAAAAAAUAUUUUUCAUAAAAAUAUAUUUAAUAAAAUAAUUUAUUUUUUAUUAUUUAAUUUGUAAUUUUAAAAAUAAAAGAUAAUAAUACAUUUAUGUACAGUAGUAUUAAUAUAAUUCUGAAAAAAAAAUUUUAUUUUUUUAAAAGAAAAUAUCAUUUUCUUUAAAAAUUAUAAAAUUUUUCAUUUGAAAAAAUAAAUUUCCCUUGAUUAAUUUUUCUAAAUAUUUCAAGUUUUAUAAAAUAUAGAAAAUAUUUUUUUAAAAAAAUAUUUUGCAUGAAAUAAAGUUUUAAUCCACUAAUUUUAAAUAAUAUAAAAAUAUAAAUAUAUAUUUAAAGUUAUUUUAGAUCUUAGAUAAAAUCAGUUAUUCCAACUCCAACCUUUGGUGGUGGCACUAAUCAAGUAUAUAAGAAAAAUAGUUUUAAAGGGCUGCUUUUAUUAUAAUCGAGUAAAAUUAUAUAGUUAAAUAUUUAACAGGUGAUAUUGGUCAAUUUUAUAUGAAUUUAUUAUAUUAAUAAUGAAAUUAUAUUUAUUAUGUAUGUAAAAGAGUUGUAUUAAAUAAUUAUUUUAAUAUGUAUGAUUAAAAAUAAAAUGAUCAUAAAAUUAAAAAUUUAUUUUGUAUUCUCACUUUUCAAUUUUUAAAGAAUUUUAAUAAAUUUAAAGUCCAUAUUGUUCAUUGAUAGAGUCUUAGCAUAAGUGUAUCCAUUCAUACGUCUAGGUGGAAAUCACGUUAACCUUAUGCUCUAAUUAGGGGUGUAAACGAAUCGAGCUGAGCCGAGUUUUGAAGAGCUCAAGCUUGGUUCGUUAAAAUUUUUUCGAGCUCGAGCCGAAUUCAAGCUUUACUCAUUUCGAACUCGAGCCGAGUAUUAAGAAGUUCAAGCUUGGCUCGUUUAGCAAACGAGCUUAGACGAGUCGAGUUUUUAUCGAGCUGAGUCGAGCUUUUAUCGAGUUUAGUCUCGAAUAGUUCACGAGUAGUUUAAUUUAUUUACAUGUAUAAUGAGUUUUAGUUUAAAACUAAUAAUUUUAAAACUAAAAUAAUUUUAAUUAAAUAAGUAUAUCUACAAAUUAGCACGUAAGCUUAUAAAGAUGAGUUUUUAAAUCUUAAUGAUCCAAAUAUAUGCAAGUUUAAAAGUGUAAUUAAAGUAUAUAGAGUUUAAUUUUAGAAAAUUUAGAUUUAGCUCAUGAAAGUAUAUGCAGGGUUUGAGUUUAUUUCUCUUAUGAUAGCAAUUUCAGUUUGCUUAAUGAGACUGUUCACGAGUCUAUUCGCGAGCUUGCUCAUGAACUCAGGAACGAGCCGAGUUCACGAGUUUUAACGAGCCGAAUACUAUGGAGCUCAAGUUUUGCUCGUUUACCAAACGAGCCUGAAAAUUAAGCUCGAGCUUGGCUCGUUUAGAAAUCAAGUCGAGCUCGGUCGAACUUUUAUCGAAUCGAACCUCGAAUAGCUCACGAACGAUUUGGUUCAUUUACAACCCUAGUCCUAAUAAACAAUAAACAACUUGUUAUCUUUAUAAGACUUUUAUAUUUUUAUUUUUAUAUAUUUCAUAAUUUUAUAUUGCCCACUACACGAAAUUGAUUGGUAGUUAAAAUCUCUCUCUCAAACAUUUGGAUUGGACCUCAGAUAUAAAUUAUUAAUGGCACCCAUGUGCCCAUUAAAAAAUAAAUUAGGUACAGAUAAACCUGAUUAGCUUUACUGUAAGUUUCAUUAAUUUAAUACUUCAAUAUCUAUUUCUUUAUUUAUUAUUAUUUUUAAAAACCUCAUUGAUGAGAUGAAUAGGACCUUCAAAAUUUAAAAAGCAUUGUUGAUAUUUGUCAGCCGGCUUAGAUUAUUAUUUUUAUAAACAAAUUUUAACAAAUAAAAAAAAACUCUUACUNNNNNNNNNNNNNNNNNNNNNNNNNNNNNNNNNNNNNNNNNNNNNNNNNNNNNNNNNNNNNNNNNNNNNNNNNNNNNNNNNNNNNNNNNNNNNNNNNNNNNNNNNNNNNNNNNNNNNNNNNNNNNNNNNNNNNNNNNNNNNNNNNNNNNNNNNNNNNNNNNNNNNNNNNNNNNNNNNNNNNNNNNNNNNNNNNNNNNNNNNNNNNNNNNNNNNNNNNNNNNNNNNNNNNNNNNNNNNNNNNNNNNNNNNNNNNNNNNNNNNNNNNNNNNNNNNNNNNNNNNNNNNNNNNNNNNNNNNNNNNNNNNNNNNNNNNNNNNNNNNNNNNNNNNNNNNNNNNNNNNNNNNNNNNNNNNNNNNNNNNNNNNNNNNNNNNNNNNNNNCAUGUGAUUUUUUUUUUCUGAACUAAUAAAAGACCACACUGAAAAGAUUUUUUUUUUUUUUUAAAAAAAACAACUCCUCGUUGAAACUUAGAAUAAAGAGAAACUCAUUAAUAAAUUUAUAAUAUGCAUUACACAAAAUGACAUUAACUGGAGGCCAAAAUGACAUUAACUGGAGGCCACAUGCUGCGAAUUCUACGCUCAACGUUAUUUUUUUUAUAAGAAAAAAAACAAAAAAAGGAAAACGACGGUCCUAACGCUAAAGUUACCUACUGUCUUCCUUCAUCCUUCCUAUAUCUAACUCUCUAUCUCUGACCAUUCACAUUCACACCCUAUAGAAACUCUAUUAUAUAUAUACUCGCAACAAACUUAUGGUCGUGGUUGCAUAAGUCUGCAACUUCAUCGCCUCUCGCUUGGGGAUGAAUGGGGCAGAUCGCCGGAUGGAAACUAGAGGUAUUAAUUGUUUUCAGCUGAAACUGUUGUACCAAAUAGUAAUAGUUUCAUGGAGAUUUCAUUUCAUCUAACUAAUUGAGGCAUGUUGUUAUUGAUUGUCACUAAGCACAGAUCAGAAUGAAUCUGGCUCAUCUCCUGAGAAGACUAUUGGGCCAAAGUCAUAUUCAUACGGUGAACUAGCAAGUGUAACUGGUCAUUUCUCGCUCAAUAAUCUAAUUGGUCGAGGUGGUUUUGGUCAUGUUUUCAAGGCAUUAUUAGAUGGUGAGAUUCGUGCUAUCAAGAGACUUGAUUUUCCAGAUGUACAGUCUGAAGGAGGUUUGGAGAGGGAGAUUAUGGUUGUCAAAAGCGUCAGUCACAAAAACCUUGUUGAACUAGUUGGUUACUGCAUUGAUGGAGCCAAUAGAUUGCUUAUUUUAAAGUAUUUUCCAAAUGGGUCCUUGAGAUCUAAAUUACACGGUGAGUCCCAUAUCCUUUCUUUUACUUUUAUGUUCAUAUAUCCAAUCAAUAUGACAUGAAUAAUCUUGCAAAUUAUAAAUGGUAUUGUAGGAAGUGGGGAUGUUUUGGACUGGAAAACAAGAAUGAAGAUCGCCACAGGUUCUGCAAAAGGAUUGGAAUAUUUACAUGAACACUGUGAGUAUAUACUACUACAUAUUUUUACUUGGCAGGAUUUUAACCUUUGAGUGUGAAUUUAUUUAUUUAUUUUUGUUUAUAUUGAUAAUUUCUUUUCUCUCAAACAUUUAUAUUUUAUAUUCUUUUCAGGUAAACCUAAAAUUAUUCAUUUAGAUAUCAAGCCGGAUAAUAUUCUUCUUGACGAAGAUUUUGAACCCAAAGUAAGAUAAUUUUAUAAUAAAUAAUCAUUUUAUUUAUAUCAUGGCAUAUGUAUAGUAGAACUUUCAUCUGAAAUUUUAUUUUUGAAUAAUAUUAAAAUAUUAUGUUAACUCUUUAAUGACAUAAUUUAAUUUUUGUAAUUAAUUAAUAAAUUUGGGUUCUAAUUCUUUUUUGGUUUGGCCAUAUAUUUUUGGUUUUUUUAAUAAAAUUUAUUGCUUAUAAAAAAAAAUUAAUAAAUCAACCUUAGUAGGUUUCUUGUCUUUUUUUUUUUUCAUGAUUUAAUAUUUUCUUAAUAAACUUGAUUGAAGUACGGAAAAUUGUGUAAUUUACCAAAUAACUUUAAUUUUAAAUUAAGAUAUAUAUAUAUAUAUAUAUAUAUAUAUAUAUAUAUGGCAUAAUAAAUUUAUUAAUCAACUUAAAUAAUUUGUUUAGAUAACAGAUUUUGGACUUGCUCAAUUUUUUACCGACGGUGCUACUCACAUAUCCAAAUCAUCAGUUAUGGGAACCCAUGUGUAAGAUAUAAUUUUCUUUCUAUCAUUUAAUUGCAUUGCUAUUAUUUUCUAUUUUUUCAAUGCCAUUAUUAUCUCCUCUUAAAAUAGUUUAAAAUAAAAUAAAUAUUAAAAUAGAUAAAAUAACACAUAAAAAAAUAUAAGUACUCCUUAAUUUGAUAGUAUUAGUAAUCUUAACAAAUUUUAUUACAGUUAUUAAUAAUCUUAACAAAUUUUAUUGCAGUUACGAAGAUCCAUUUACAACAAAAUUGGGAAAGUAUUCUGAUAAAUCUGAUAUUUAUUCUUUUGGAGUUACACUUUUAGAAUUGAUUACUGGAAGAAAACCUAUAGACAAUGGCACUGAUAUUGUUACUUGGGUAUGACUCUGUUUGCUUUAAUAAAACUAUGAUAUAAAAAUUCUAUUUACCAUUUAUAAAGUUUUGAAUUUAGAUCUCAAUUGGAGUUAUUUAGAUUUAAAUUCAAUGCAUUCAUGAUUCAUUAAUAAAUAAUUUUUUAAUCAAUAUCUUGUAGGCAAAUCCUCUAAUUAAAAAGGCUUUGAAGAGAAGGUAUACAAAUUUUAUAGAUUCCAAUUUACAAUCCUUUGACUAUGAACAAAUGUAUCAAAUGGUUUCUUGUGUUGAUUCUUGUCUAAAUCAACCUCCAAGCUCUCGUCCAACAAUGGAAAAGGUAAAAUUUUUCACAUAACUAAUCUCAAAACUAUAUAUAUAUUAUCUCAAAACUUGUAAUCAUUUUAUUAUUAUGUUAUGCAGAUACGUCUAGUUCUUGAAGGAAAAUCACUCUCGAAAGAAUUAUACGAUCAUAAAUUGCGAAGGAGUAUUAUACAUACAGGUUUAUAUUCUUUUAUGCUAAUUUAUUAAAAAUUAUAUGCAUAUUUGAUCUAAUUGAUGCCUAAAUUUUCAUUUAAUGUGUCAUAUCUUAAUAUUUGAACAAUGUUGAUUUUCAACUACAAAAAUAUUAGUUUUUUAAUUUGAAAUUUAGAAUAAAAUAGUUUUUAACCAAAAUUGAUAACUUAUUAAUUAAAUAUAAUUUUUUAUUUUAUAAUUAUUCAAAAAACUGUGAAAAGAAUGAAAAAUUACUUUGAAGUUUUUUUUUUUUUUGGAAAUAGGAAUUAGGGGAAUAAAAUAUGAGAACUCUCAUAUGCACUUUCCACCAGAAUAAGUCUAUGAGUGUAAUUACCUUAAAGUUUUAAAACAUAAAUCUAAAAGUUCAUACAUGUAUAUAUGUAGAGGUACUAACAGUUUUACAGAUCCGAAAGGAUCUAGGUCAUCGCCUGAGUUGAAUAGAAGUAUAAUUACUGGGCCGAGGCAAUAUUCAUUUGAACAACUAGUAAAGGCGACCAAUUAUUUUUCUAAUAACGAUCUCAUUGGCGAGGGUGGCUUUGGACAAGUUUAUAGGGGAUUACUAGAUGGUGAAACCCUUGCUAUUAAGAAACUCAAAAAUCAUCGAGAUUUACAGUCGCAAGAAUACCUGAAGAAUGAGAUUAUUGUUGUUAGCAGCAUCCGCCACAAAAAUCUUGUUGAACUGCUUGGUUACUGUAUUGAAGGGGCCAAUAAAUUCCUUGUUUUUAAGUAUUUUCCCAAUAAGUCCUUGAGCUCUCAAUUACACGGUGAGUUUCAUCCUUUCCCUUUAUAUAUAUAUAUAUAUAAUUUUUUGUUUCAUAAUCGUUAUGAAAAUUAAUAUAAAUAAAAAUUGAUUUUUGUAGAAAGCGAUCAGGAUUUGAACUGGGAGACAAGAAUAAAUAUCGCUAAAGGCUCUGCAAAAGGCCUAGAAUAUUUGCAUGAACACUGUGAGUAUAUAAUUAAAUAUAUUCAUAGCUAAUAAUUGCCAAGCUUUUUAGCUCUUGAGGUUCUAAUAUCUAUUGUUCUUUCUUUGAGUUAAUAUAUAAUUUAUUUUAUCUUAAAACUUUUUAUUUUUUUUGUAUGUUAGGUGAACCUCCUAUCAUACAUUUAAAUAUCAAGUCAGACAAUAUUCUUCUUGAUGAAGAUUUUAAACCAAAGGUAAAAUAUUUUGAUAAUUAUUGGAUCCAUAAUACAGUGGAACAUCAAAUAUUGUUGGAUGUCAAAAUUUUAUUUUUAAGAGAGCCACUGAGUUUGCCUCUCUUAAACUGUGAGUGAAAGAUAUAUCCACCAUCUUAUAAAUAGAGGGUUUUUAAACUCAUAGGAACUAAUAAUAUUGAUUUUACUAUACCACAAAAACUAAAAUGUAUUUUAUCUUUUUGAUGAAUAUUCUUAAAGUACACAUAACAGUGUAAUUUGUUAGAAUAAGAGUAUAAGAAGUAUAUUUAUGAAAUUUGGUGUAGAAAUAACUACACCUUUUUUUUGUAUAUAUAUAUAUAUAUAACAUAAUAAAUUUAUUUAUCUACUCUUUUUUGAAAAUAAAUUUAUUAAUCUAUUUAAAUAAUUUUGUUUAAUUAGGUGGCUGAUUUUGGACUUGCACGCUUUUUUUCGGAGACUAUUAUUCACAUAUUCAAAUCAGCGACUAUGGAAACCAAAGCGUAAGAUAAUUUAUACAUGUUUAAAUUUUUUAGUGUCAUUAUUAUGUUCUACUUCUAGAAUAAUUAAAAUAAAAUAAAAUACAUAUGAAAACAGAAGGAAACUAGUGUUUCUUUAGAUUUUAAUUUCUUGAAUCUUGACAUGAAUUUUGAUUGAGCUUACUAAAUUGCAGCUAUAUAGAUCCAUAUGCAAUAAAAACUGGAGAGUACACUGUAAAAUCAGAUGUUUACUCAUUUGGUAUUAUGCUUCUAGAAUUAAUUACCGGAAGAAGACUCAUAGAAGAAGACGGCUCUGAUGUUGUUGAAUGGGUAAGGCGUAUGCAACUAGUAUACUUUAAAAAUUUAUGAUAUGUAAUUGUAUAAUUAAAAUAUAAUAAAAGAUAUUUAAGAUCCAAAACUCACCAUUCACAUGCAAUCACUGAUAUUAAUGCAUUUGAAAUUCCCAAUUGAUGUAAGUCUGAGUUAAUAAAUAGACAUAAUUAUAUUUUUAUUGAUAUUCUACAGGCAAAAUCUGAAAUUAAGAAGGCUUUGCGGGAUAAAAAAUUUGAAAGAUUUGUAGAUUCUAGAUUGCAAAUGUUUGACGAUGAAGAAGCGUAUCGAAUGUUGUUCUGCAUUGAUAUUUGUAUAAAUAACAUUCCAAAAUUUCGCCCAUCAAUGAAGAAGGUAAAUUUUUUUUUCUUUUCCAUAUAUUAUGUUAUAAUUGAUAAUAUAUACAAUAAUUUCAUUAUUAUUGUGCCAUAUAGAUACUUCUAACUCUCGACGGAAUUUUGCCUCAACAAAUUAUGCAAUGAGAAGGGUGAUAACAAAUUGACACUGUACCCCACUUUAUAUAUAAUUUCAUCUCCGAUUAAUAGAAGUACAAGUAUUGGGCUGAGGCAAUAUUCAUAUUAACAACUAGCAAAGGCCACCAAUCAUUUCUCCGGUAACAAUCUUCUUGGCGAGGGUGGCUUCGAACAAGUUUACAUGGGAUCAGUAGAUGGUCAAUUCUUGUAACACCCCUAUCCAAUUAUUUAAUUAACCAAGUUAGAGACAUUAUAUUUUGUAACUGUUCUCUUUUUUUUUUAUUUUUUUUAUAUCAUAUAAUUCAUUACCUUUUUUUUAUCGAAAAUCCGACAGAGUUUCCCCUGAAAUAUGAACUUAAUUCCACCUGUGAAUAGAAAUAUCACACUUCUAUAAACUUCAAUCUUAACCCUCAAACUUCUUUUAACAUCAACACAAUUUCAAUUCAGAUCAAACACUUCAUAAUCAUCUCAUUAAUCUCAACACAAAAACUUAUACUAAUAACCCAUAUUUACACCAAAAUUAAAAUCUUUAAAUAUAUCUAAUUCCAACCAUAUAUAACUUCAUCUCUAAAACUUUGCCAUAUUUCCAAAAUUAACUUUAUAUAAAGUUUAUAAAAUAUACUCCAAGAUAGUUAAUGAUGUAACUCUGGUCGGGUUGAUCAGAUCUUGAUCUACUGCUCCUUGGACCUACAACCUGCGCGAGGAAAAAUACAUUCCUACGCGCUAAGCAAAUUGCUUAGUGGUGCUCAACUUCUUUUUAUAUUUAAAAAUAAAUCAUUUAAAUCAAAAUUCAUUUAUCAACAAUAAAUCAAACAAAUAACAAUAAACUAUAUAGCAAAUAAUUUGAAACAAUUCUAAAUCAUAUUAUUAUUUCACAUAUAUACAAAUUUUAAUUUCAGUAUUUUCUUUUUCUUUUUCUUCAUGUAAAAAAAGGUUCUAUUUUCUCUUAAUACUUUUAUUUAUUUAUUAUUUUUCUUUUGGCCCCUAUAAAUUUAAAUGGGACUGUUAAGUCAGAUAAGGAACUGUAUCUAUAGGGCACAAAGUGCCAAAUAGGGAGUGAGGUUUUAAAAAUUUUAAUAAUUAAAAAAAAGGAAUAAUUAAGAUAGAUAAAUGAAGGGAAAAGAAAAAUUGAUAAACUACUUUUACCUCUAACUUUUCAUCUAUUUAUAUUAUUUUUCCUCUUUUACUAUUUUUUAAAUUGAAUUUUCUAUUUUAUUUUCCAGUGAAAUAAAAAUAAUUAUAAAGUAUAUACCAAAACCCCAAUCACAAUAAAGUAAAUAAAUUUUAUUAAAAUUAUUUAUUUAUAAGAGAUAAAAGGGCGGAAAGGAUAAGAAUAACAUUAUUUAUAAAGUCGAUUAAUAAAAUGUCACUAUUAAUUAUUUUUUGGUUUAAAUAAUGGAUACUUUCUGAUUGUUGCAUUAAGUCAUUGAUGGGACCCAUGAGCCCACGUCUAUUUAUCACUAAAAAAAUAUUUACCACAUGCUGCGCAUUAAUAAAAAGAAACUCAUUAAUAAAUUUAUAUGCAUUGCACAAAAUGACAUUGACUCGCCGCUGGAGGCCACAUGCUGCCCAUUCUACGCCAACUUCAACAUUAUAUAUAUAUAUAUUUUUUUUAAAGGAAAACGAAGGUCUGAAUGCUAAAGUUACCUACCGUCUUCCAUCACCCUUUCCACAUCUUCCUCUCUAUCUCUGACCAUUCAUUCACACUGAAUAUACUUGCAAGAAAGCUGUGGUCGUGGUUGCAUAAGUCUGCAACUUCUGACGACCUCUAGCUUGGGGCUGAACCGGGCAGAUUCGCCUUAUGGAUACUAGAGGUAUUACUUGUUGUAGCUGAAUGUGUGGAACCAAAUAGUAGUAGUUUCAUAGAGCUUUCAUUUCAUUUCAUCAACUAAUUGAGGCAUGUUGUUUAUUCUAUGGUCACUAAGCACAGAUCCGAAUGAAUCUGGUUCAUCUUCAUCUGCAUCUGAGAAUUAUGACGGUAUUGGGCCAAAGUCAUAUUCAUACGAUGAACUAGCAAAGGUAACUGGUCAUUUCUCGCACAAUAACCUAAUUGGUCGAGGUGGUUUUGGUCAUGUUUUUAGAGCAUCCUUAGAUGGCGAGACUCGUGCUAUCAAAAGACUUGAUUAUCCGGGUGUAGAGUCUGAAGGAGAUUUGGAAAGGGAGAUUAUGGUCGUAAAAAGCAUCAGUCACAAAAACCUCGUUGAACUGAUUGGUUACUGCAUUGAUGGAGCCAAUAGAUUGCUUAUUUUAAAGUAUUUUCCAAAUGGAUCUUUGAGAUCUAAAUUAGAUGGUGAGUCCCAUAUCCUUUAUUUUACGUUUCAUGUAACUAAUGCGACAUAAUUAAUCUUGCAAAUUACAAAUGGUUUUAAUUUUGUAGGGAAGGAGAAUGUUUUAGACUGGAAAAAAAGAAUGAAUAUUGCUAUAGGUUCUGCAAGAGGACUGGAAUAUUUACAUGAACACUGUAAGUAUGUAGUACAACAUAUUCCUAAUUGGCAGGAUUUUAGCUUUAGAGAGUGAAUUUAUUUUUUUAUUUUUUGUGAUAAUUUAUUUUCUCUUAAAAUUUUAUACUUUUCCCAUAUUUUUUCAGGUAAACCUAAAAUUAUACAUUUAGAUAUCAAGCCGGACAAUAUUCUUCUUGAUGAACAUUUUGAACCUAAGGUAAAAUAAUUUUAUAGUAAAUAAAUAUUUUAUUUAUAUCUAUCACAUAACCUUAUCACUACCUUAUCACUCAAUACUGAAAUUUUAUAUUUUGAAUUGAAGUCAUCGUUUGUUUAAUAUGAUUGUUGUAAUUAAUUAAUAAAUCUGGGUUCUUCUUUUUUGGUUUGGCCAUAUAUUUUUGGCUUUUUUAAUAAAAAUUAUUGCUUAUUGGCGAAGGCAAAAAUUAUAGGAAAGUUUGAUUUUCUUGUAUAUCUUGGAUCGGUAGCAGUACAUGUAUAUAUAUACAGUGGAUACAAUAGACUUAAAAUAGGUUUACAAAAAAUGUAAUACACAUGAAAUAACUGAAAACAGUUUUUCUAACCAACUUUGGCGCCAUUAUUUUCCACGUGGCUUAACAUCCCCUGCAAGUUGGGGAGUAUAUAUCAAUCAUCCUCAGCUUGGAUAAUAUUUCUCGAAAAGGAGCAAUAGGUAAGGGCUUUGUGCAAAUAUCAGCGAGUUGGGCAGCAGAUGGUAUUGGAAGGAGUUUAAUCAACUCAGAGAGCAGUUUUUCACGAACAAUAUGGCGGUCUAUCUUGAUAUGUUCAUGAAAGAUUGGAAUUUGCAGCAAUUUGUAUAGCAGAUUUGUUAUCACAAUAAAUAAUGGCAGGUUGAGGGUGACAGACAAAUAGGUCAUGAAGAAGAUACAAUAGCUACUGUACUUCUCACAGGUGAUAGUUGCAAGAGCUCAAUAUUCAGCUUCAGAGGAGCACCGAGAAAUGGUAAGACUGCUCCUUUGCCUACCAAGAAAUUAGAGCGGAUCCUAGAAGGAGACAAAAUCCUGUAACAAAUUUUUGGAUGUCAGCACAACCUGUCCAGUCUGAAUCACGGAAACCUUUCAGUUGUAAGUCUGAACCAGUAGAGAAGAAAAGACAUGCAUCCGGAGAGCUCUUGAUAUAACGAAAUAUACAAUGGGCUGCUUGUAAAUGAAUAGAGGUAGGUGGGGCGAUCCAGGAGCGGACUAAGUUGUUGAAGGAACGGACUAAGUUGUUGAACUGCCAGGUCUUGUGGAUGUUAAAUAGAGUAAUCCCGCUAUCAGUCUUCUAUAGAAAAGGAUAUCAUCCAAGGGUGUGCCAGAAUUGAUACUACGCUUAGUUUUGGAGUCCAUACACUACAAAAAAUUUCCAGAUUACGGAAGGAUUUACUAACGAUUUGAAUCUGUUAGUAAUUUUAAUCGAUUUAUUAACGAUUUUAAAAAUUUAUUAGUAAAUUUUAAUAUAAAAUAUUUUAUAUAAAAAUUUAUUAACGAAUUUAAAAUACGUUGGUAAUAUAUUGGUAUUACUAACGGAUUUUAAAAUUUAUUGAUAAUUUAUAAAUAUAUAAAAUAAUUUAUGUUGAAAUUUAUUAACAGAUUUAAAGUCCGUUAAUAAAUCUGUCGAUAAUUUAUUAACGAAUUUUAAUAUGUUAGUAAAUUUUAAAACGUGUUUAAAGUACUAGCGGACUUUUAACGUGUUUAAAAAAUUAUUAAUGAAUUUGAAAAUUUAUUACUAAAUUUUAUCAUUAAAUUAGUAAGUAAAAAAAGUGUUGAAUUUAUCACCUUAUGCUAUCUAUUAUUUUUUUUUUUGAAAUAGGGGUUGGGGGAGUCGAACCUUAGACCUUUUAAGGCUACAGGAUGCACUUUUCACCAGGCUAAGCCUUGGAGUGCUUAUGCUAUCUAUUAUUAAAUUUAAUAUGACAUUUCGCAUAAAAUUUUUGCCUUUUUUUUUUUAAAUCCACAUUUUUCAAUUAUCAACGAAUUUAUUAAUGGAUUUAAAAUCCGUUGGUAAUUUUUAAAGGAAAAAAAUCUAUUUUUUAUUUUUUUAAAAAUUUAGUAAUGGAUUUCAUUAAUAAACUGUUAAUAAUCCACAUUUAUAAAUAUAACACUAUCUCUUCUUCUUUUAUCAUUCAUUCGUUUUAUCAUUUUCUUUUCCUUUCCAUUAUUUUCUUUCUUUUUCUAUUACUUUCUUUUAUUUCACUUUCUCAUUUCAUAUUUUUUUCUUCUCAUUUUUUUGUAUUAUUUUCCUUUCAUUUCUUAUCCUUUUUUAUCACAUUCUCUUCCAUCUUAUAUUAUUUUCUUUAUUUUUCUCCAUAAUUUUUCUUUUCCAUUAUUUUUUUUCUUUUUUUUCUUAUUCUUUAUUUUUUCUAUAAUUAUUAUUCAUAUUAUUUUCUUCUAUCAUUUUCUUUCUAUCUAUAUCUUUUCUUCAUUUAUUUUAUUCUCUAAUUAUUUUCUCUUUUUUUUCUCAUUUUUCUAAUCAUCUUUUUACCAUACUCUCAUUCUUCCUUCUUUUUCAUAAUUUUUAUUUUUCUAUCAUUUUUUUCUUUUUCUCUUUUUUUUUUUUCUUUUCUUAUCAUUUUCUCUCAUUUGCUUUUCUCUUAUCCCCCCUUCUAUGUAUUUCUAAUAAAUAUUAGACAUAAAUUAAAAAUUUAGUAACAAUAAUAAUAUAAUUUUAAAUCUUAUUGAAUUAAUAAAAAAUAAUAUUAAUAACAAAAUUUAUUAUUUAAUCAAAAUAAUAAUUAUUUUAAACUUAUUUAAAUUUCCAAUGGAUCUAUUAACGAAUUUCAAUCAGUUGAUAAUUUACUAAUAGAUUUAUCAACGAAUUUCAAAUCUGUUAGUAAAUUAUUUUUCUCUCAAUUUACUAAUGGAUUUAAAAUCCGUUAGAAAUAAUAACGGAAACUCCGUUAGUAAAUCUGUCAGUAUUACUAACGGUUUACCAACGAGCUUUUUAACAACGGAUUAUAAUCCGUUGAUAAUUCAUUUACCAAUGUAUUUUUAUAGGAUUACCAACAGAAAAAUUCAUUAGUAAUCCGAAAGUUUUUUGUAGCGAUAAGAGUGGGAGCUGGUUUACAAUCUGAAAAGCCAAAGUCAUUAAGGAUCUCAAGGGCUAUUUCCGCUAACAAAGAGAGAUGCCAGCUUUAGUUCUUGCUACUUUCAACCUCAGAAAAAAACUCAAAUCACCAAAGUCUUUUAUUUUGAACUUAUUAUUAAGAAAAGAUUUAACAGUGUUAAUUUUUUGUAAAUUUGUGCCAACCAAGAUAACAUCAUCGACAUAAACCAAUAUCACAAUAAUAUGAACAUCAUAUUUCUUAACAAAGAGAGAAUAGUCCGAGAUAGACUGUUUAUAACCUAGGGAGAUAAGAGUAUUACACAAUUUUGAAUACCAUUGACAAGUGGCUUACUUUAAACCAUAAAGUGACUUGUUUAAGUGACAAACUUUGUUAGACUGAGAGGUAAAGCCUGGAGGAAGUGUCAUGUAUACUUUUUCAUGAAGAUCUCUACGAAGGAAUGCAUUAUUGAUGUCCAACUAUUAUAAAAACCAUCCAUUAGCAGCUGCAAGAGCUAAGAGAAAUCGAACAGUGGUUAUCUUAGCAACAGGUGAAAACAUAUCAAAAUAAUCAACACCUUCAAUGAAACGGUCCGACUCAAACUGACCCAAAUAACUUUUGGAUCCACUUUCCACUUAACCCAAAAUAGUUAACCCAAAUUAUUUAGUAGUUUCGUGCUAGCUAUUAUAGACAAUUUGGAUUUUCUGUAAUUCUACCGAUGUGAGGCGCCUUCCCACAUUAAGCAAGCAAUUGUCUAUCACACUGCCUUUCCAAAUUAAGCAAGCAAUUGUGUAUCAUACUCUCCCCCGCUAAAUUUGCAACGUCCUUGUCUCACACGGGUAGCUCUUUUCAUGCAGGCUCUACAUACUUUUUCCGACUCAGGGUGGCUCUGAUACUACGGGUGGCCCUUUCCUCGCAGGCUCACUAACUCUGCAUAAUUUUUCUGACCCAGGGUAGCUCUAAUACCAAUUGAAACAGUCCGAUCCAAAUAACUUUUGGAUCCACUUUCCACUUGGAUCUCCUGCUAAAUUUGCGACGUUCUCGUCGCAACUAAAUCGAAUACAAUUGCUAAAUCAGGACCGGACCCUCGAAUAUUGUGGUUCGCUAGUACCUCGGGCGGCUGCACCUCAUCUCGCACGGUAUUUGGAAUUCAAUGCGGGAUUCUCAAAAUAGGAUAUUUAGUGAAUGACUCCUUUAGAAGCAUAAAAGGCUGGUAUUUGGAAUUCAACUCCAUUGUCACUUCUGAUUUUUUGGAUCUUAGUAGAAAAUUGAGUUUCUACAAGAUUAAAAAAGGAUUGAAGGCAAGACCUGGCAUCACAUUUAGAGUGCAAUAAGAAAAUCCAAGUGAACUUAGUGAAAUCAUCCCCAACAGUUAAAGAAGAAUUUGUGACCAGUUAUUGAACAUACUGAAAAUGGCCCCAAAUAUCUACAUGUAUUAGUUCAAAAGCUCUAUUUGUAGUAGAUAUGCUAUCAGAAAACAAAAGCCUUUUUUGUUUUGCAAAGUGGCAAAUAUCACAGACAACUUUAUUAUGAGAGGCAAAGAUAUCUGGAAUAUGAGCUUGAAGUGUUUGAAGUCUGGAAGGUGAAGGAUGACCCAACCUGAAGUGUCAUUUACCAAAAUUACUAUCAACAAUACAUACUCUAGAAAGAUUGAAAGGCACUAGCAUGUAGAGACCAUUGUUCACUUUAGUUGUACCAACUAUCUUCCAGUGAGUCAAUUCCUGUAUGAAACAAGCAUAUUGCUGAAAAACCAGGCAACAAUUACCAGAAAGAGUAAGCUUAGACACAGAUAAGAGAUUGAAGGCAAAUUCUGGAAUGAAAAGAGCACCAUUCAGUAUCAAUUUGUCUGUCAAUUGAACUGUGCCUGCAACUUUUGCAAGAAGCUUGGAUCCAUUUGGAAGAGUAACAACAAUGGGUGGAAUGUUGUGAUAAGUACUGAAAAGAUGCAGUGAAUGUGCAAUAUGGUCUGUUUCACCAUGUCCACUAUCCAAACAUCAGAACUGGCAGAAACAGAUAAUGCCAAAUGUGUACCUGGUUAAGGAUCAAAGGCAGAUACCAAGUUUGUAACAGGAGUAGAGAUUGCCUGAGAGUUGUUAGAUGUUAACUGUGGAUAGGAUUUAGCUUCAAGAUGAGAAUCAUUGAGGAGUGCUAGUAAGCCAUGAUAUUAUUCUUGCGUUAAUGAGAAUCUUGAUUUCUCAAUAUUUGUCUGAGGUCCAAUUGAACUGAUGGCUUGAACGUUAUCAACAGCGGUAACAUUGUUGACAGUCACAUUUGAUCCUCUUGGUUUAUAACCAGGGGGAUAUCCAUGUUUCUUAUAGUAAGUUUCUAUUGUGUGCCUGUACCUUCCUCAAAAUGUGUAGUAUCUAUUGUCUCCAGAGGAGUUAACAACAGAUUUUCCAGCUGAAUGAGACUUGUAAUUGUAUGAAGGGACAUAUCUAAAUCUGGAUAGAUUAGAUUUUGCAAUCUAACUAAUUAAAUUAUAAAAGAUUAAUUAAAUUCUGUCAAGAGUUUUAACCAAUAUUAUUUGGCUAAAACGAUAUAAGAGAAAAGAUAGGCCGAAAGACGAUAGCCUUAUUAAAAUUUUUCAAAAAUUGAAAAGUAAGUUUAUAAUAGUCAAGUGAGUUCAUCUAAUAGCCAAGUGAGUUUAUCUAAUCAACCUUAAUAGAUUUUUUAUUUUUUUUUCAUGAUUUAAAAAAAGGAAUAUAUUCAUGAAAUUAAGUGCCAAAAUAACUUAUUCACCUUUAAAUUAAUAUAUACAUUAUAUAUAAAUGGCAUAAUAAAUUUAUUAACCAACUUAAAUCAUUUGUCUAGAUAACAGAUUUUGGACUUGCUCAUUUUUUUACGGAUGCUGCUACUCACAUAUCCAAAUCAUCAGUUAUGGGAACCCAAGUGUACGUAGGAUAUAACUUUCUUUCUAUAUUUAAUUGUUUUUUUAUAUAUAAAAGAAUUGCAUUACUAUUAUUGUCUUUUUCAUUUUCACUGUCAUUAUUAUCUACACUAAAAUAAAAAUUAAAACAAAAAAAGCACAUAAAAAUAAAUUAAAACUCCUUAAUUUGAAGAUAUUAUUUUCUUAAAGAAAAUCUAUAUGAAUUUUAAUUGUGAUAAUUCUAUUGCAGUUACGAAGAUCCACUGACGACAAAAUUAGGAAAGUAUUCUGAUAAAUCUGAUAUUUAUUCUUUUGGUGUUACACUUUUAGAGCUGAUUACCGGAAGAAAACCUUUAGAUAAUGGCAUUGAUAUUGUUACUUGGGUACGACUAUUUGCAUUAAUAAAAACUAUGAUAUAAAGAAAAUUUUUUUUCUCAUUGAUAUAUAGUCGUUUAAAAAAGUAAAAUUUUGAAUUUAGAUUUCAAUAGGAUCUAUUUAGAUUUUAAUCCAGUGCAUUUAAGAUCCAUUAAUAAAUAUAUAUAUAUUUUUUUAUCUUGUAGGCAAAUCUUCACAUUAGAGAGGCUUUAGAUGGAAAAUAUGCAAAUUUUGUAGAUUCCAAAAUACAAUCUUUUGAUGAUGAAGAAAUGCAUAGAAUGGUUUCUUGUAUUAAUUCUUGCUUAAAUCGACUUCCAAAAUUUCGUCCAACAAUGGAAAAGGUAAAAAUUGUUUCCAUAAUUAAUUUAAUUGUAGUAUCUUUCAAUAUAAUUAUGUGAAAGCCUAUUACAUAAUUGAUUUAUAAUUAUUUUAUUGCUAUAUAUGUCAUAUAGAUACGUCUAGUUCUUGAAGGAAAAUCGCUUCCAGAAGUAUUAUACGAUCACAAUUUGCAAUGCGGUAUGAUAUAUAAAGGUCCAUAUUAUUUUAUGUUAAUUUAUUAUAAAUUAUAUGCAUAUUUAUAGAUCUAAUUGAUGCCUAAAUUAUCAUUUAAUUUUCAACUGUAAAAAAUAAGUUUUUUAAUUUGAAAUUUAGAAUAAAUUAGGUUUUAACCAAAAUUGAUACAUAUUAAUUAAAUAUAUUUUUUAAUCUUAUAAUUAUUCAAACAAACUGUAAAAACAAUGAUGAAAACUUUAUCUUAAAGUUUUAAAACAUAAAUCUAAAAGUUCAUACAUGAUUUCUUAAUCGUUAAAUUUGUUAAUCAUUGAAUUAAAACGUAUAGUUAAUAUAUAUAAUAGUGAAUAGUUUCAGGAUUAAAAAUAUAAUUUUAUUUGAAUAUAAUUAUUUAUAGAGUUAUGAUUUAUCUUAUUAGUUAUUUUUAAUAAUUAUAGGAGACAAGAACAAAAAAAUCAUUUAUCAACCGAAAACCUCCUUUGUUCCCUUAUAUAUAUGAAAAGUGCAAAAUUAAGAAUUACCAUAUUUUAUUUAUUAUUUCUUAAAAAUGAAUAUGUAAUUACAUUUACAUUUAAAUCGGUUAGAGUUUUUUAGAAUUAAAAAAAUAAAUUAUAAAUAUUUAAUUUAUUAAUUAGGAAUCAAUAUAUAAAUUGGAAUUUUGUAUUAAAUAGUUAACAUUUUAGUCAAUUUACAAGUUCAUUGACUUAUUUAUUAAUUUUACAUAUUAUUCUUUUAUUAUUUAAGGAAAAGUAAAUAAAUAGGAAUAAUUCUUCAUAAGAAAAAAAUAUAUAUUAUCAAUGGCCAUGAAACCAUUUGCUAUUUUGAAGUUGUUAAAUUUUAUUUUAAAAGAUUGUUAAACAUAAUGAUUGUUUAUUGAUUGUCACUAAACACAGAUGAGAAUACUAUUGGGCCAAAGUCAUAUUCAUACGGUGAACUAGCAAGGGUAACUGAUCAUUUCUCGCUCAAUAACCAAAUUGGUCGAGGUAGUUUUGGUCAUGUUUUUAAGGCAUCCUUAGAUGGUGAGAUCCGUGCUAUUAAGAGACUUGAUUUUCCGGAUGUACAAUUCGAAGAAGGUUUGGAGAGGGAGAUUAUGGUCUUCAAAAGCGUCAGACACAAAAACCUCGUUGAACUGGUUGGUUACUGUAUUCAUGGAUCCAAUAGAUUGCUUAUUUCAAAGUAUUUUCCAAAUGGGUCCUUGAGAUCUAAAUUACAUGGUGAGUCCCAUAUAUCCCUUCUUUUACUUUUAUGUUCGUAUAACUAAUCAAUAUGACAUGAUAAAUCCUAAAAAUUACAAAUCGUAUUGUAGGAAGUGGGGAUGUUUUGGACUGGAAAAAAAGAAUGAAGAUCGCCAUAGGUUCUGCAAAAGGAUUGGAAUAUUUACAUGAACACUGUGAGUAUAUACUACUACACAUUCUUACUUGCAGGAUUUUAACUUUUGAGUGUGAAUUUAUUUAUUUAUUUAUUUUUAUUUAUAUUACCUCAAAUAUUUAUAUUUUAUAUUUUUUGUAGGUAAUCCUAAAAUUAUUCAUUUAAUUAUGAAACCGGAUAAUAUUUUUCUUGACGAAGAUUUUGAACCUAAGGUAAGGUAAUGUUAUAAUAAAUAAACAUUCACUAUACACCAAAUUUUAAUCAUUGAAUACCGAAAUUUUAUUUUUAACAAUAUUGAAAAAUUAUGUAAACUCCUUAAUUACAUAAUUUGAUUUUUGUAAUUAAUUAAUAAAUCUGAAUUCUAAUUCUUUUUUAGUUUGGCCAUAUAUUUUUGGCUUUUUUUAAUAAAAUUGAUUGCUUAUAAAAAACAUUAGUAAAUCAACCUUAGUAGGUUUUUUGUCUUUUUUUCAUGAUUUAAUAUUUUCUUAAUAAACUUGAUUGAAGUACGGAAAAUUGUGUAAUUUACCAAAUAAAAAAAGUAAAAGUAUAUUUAUAGAACUAAGUGUGAAAAAUAACUUUAAUUUUAAAUUAAGAUAUAUAUAUACAAAUGGAAUAACAAAUUUAUUAAUUAACUUAAAUAGUUUGUUUAGAUAACAGAUUUUGGACUUGCUCAAUUUUUUACCGACGGUGCUACUCACAUAUCCAAAUCAUCAGUUAUGGGAACCCAUGUGUAAGAUAUAAUUUUCUUUCUAUCAUUUAAUUGUAUUGCUAUUAUUUUUUAUUUUUUUAAUGUCAUUAUUAUCUUCUCUUAGAAUAGUUUAAAAUAAAAUAAAUAUUAAAAUAGAUAAAAUAAUACAUAAAAAAUAUAAGUAAUCCAUUAAGAUAGUAUUAAUAAUUUUAACAAAUUCUUUUGCAGUUAUGAAGAUCCACUAACAACAAAACUGGGGAAGUAUUCUGAUAAAUCUGAUAUUUAUUCUUUUGGAGUUACACUUUUAGAAUUGAUUACGGGAAGAAAACCUAUAGACAACGGCAUUGACAUUGUUACUUGGGUAUGGCUCUAUUUAUUUUAAUAAAACUAUGAUAUAAAAAUUUUGAAUUUAGAUUUCAAUUGGAAUUAUUUAGAUUUUAAUCCAAUGCAUUUAUGAUUUAUUAAUAAAUAAUUUUUUUAAUUAAUAUUUUGUAGGCAAAUCGUCUAAUUAAAAAUGAUUUGGUGGGAAGAUAUACCAAGUUUGUAGAUUUCAAUUUACAAUCUUUUGACCGUGAACAAAUGUAUCGAAUGAUUUCUUGUGUUAAUUCUUGUCUAAAUCAACCUCCAAAUUCUCGUCCAACAAUGGAAAAGGUAAAAUUUUUCACAUAACUAAUCUCAAAAUUAUAUAUACUAUCUUCAAGUUUGUAAUUAUUUUAUUGGCAUGCCAUGUAGAUACGUCUAGUUCUCGAAGAAAAAUUGCCUUCAGAGGAAUUAUACGAUCAUGAAUUGCAAUGGAGUAUUAUUCUAUACUCUUUUAUGUUAAUUUAUUAGAAAUUAUAUGCAUAUUUAUACUAAAGCUUGAUCUAAUUGAUGCCUAAAUUAAUUUUCAUUUAAUUUCUGUUAUAUCUUAACAUUAGAAACAAAUGUUGAUUUUUAACUGCAUAAAUAUUAAUUGUUUUAAUUUGAAAUGUAGAAUAAAUUAGUUUUUUUAGUCAAAAUUGAUAACAUAUUAAUGAAAUAUAAUUUUUAUCUUAUAAUUAUUCAAACAAAUGUAAAAACAAUGAUGAAUAUUUUACCUUAAAGCUUUAAAGCAUAAAUCUAAAAGUUCAUACAUAAUUUCUUAAUCGUUAAUUUUGUCAAAUAUUGAAUUAAAUCAUAUAGUUAAUAUUUAUAGGAUUGAAUAGUUUCAAGAUUAAACAUAUAAUUUUAUUUGAAUUAGAAGAAUAUAAUUACUUAUAGGGUUACGAUUUAUCUUAUUAAUUAUGAGGAAGGGGUGAUGUGAAGUAUCCAUCUAAGUUCAUCUACUCGGUGAUUUUGCUUUNNNNNNNNNNNNNNNNNNNNNNNNNNNNNNNNNNNNNNNNNNNNNNNNNNNNNNNNNNNNNNNNNNNNNNNNNNNNNNNNNNNNNNNNNNNNNNNNNNNNNNNNNNNNNNNNNNNNNNNNNNNNNNNNNNNNNNNNNNNNNNNNNNNNNNNNNNNNNNNNNNNNNNNNNNNNNNNNNNNNNNNNNNNNNNNNNNNNNNNNNNNNNNNNNNNNNNNNNNNNNNNNNNNNNNNNNNNNNNNNNNNNNNNNNNNNNNNNNNNNNNNNNNNNNNNNNNNNNNNNNNNNNNNNNNNNNNNNNNNNNNNNNNNNNNNNNNNNNNNNNNNNNNNNNNNNNNNNNNNNNNNNNNNNNNNNNNNNNNNNNNNNNNNNNNNNNNNNNNNNNNNNNNNNNNNNNNNNNNNNNNNNNNNNNNNNNNNNNNNNNNNNNNNNNNNNNNNNNNNNNNNNNNNNNNNNNNNNNNNNNNNNNNNNNNNNNNNNNNNNNNNNNNNNNNNNNNNNNNNNNNNNNNNNNNNNNNNNNNNNNNNNNNNNNNNNNNNNNNNNNNNNNNNNNNNNNNNNNNNNNNNNNNNNNNNNNNNNNNNNNNNNNNNNNNNNNNNNNNNNNNNNNNNNNNNNNNNNNNNNNNNNNNNNNNNNNNNNNNNNNNNNNNNNNNNNNNNNNNNNNNNNNNNNNNNNNNNNNNNNNNNNNNNNNNNNNNNNNNNNNNNNNNNNNNNNNNNNNNNNNNNNNNNNNNNNNNNNNNNNNNNNNNNNNNNNNNNNNNNNNNNNNNNNNNNNNNNNNNNNNNNNNNNNNNNNNNNNNNNNNNNNNNNNNNNNNNNNNNNNNNNNNNNNNNNNNNNNNNNNNNNNNNNNNNNNNNNNNNNNNNNNNNNNNNNNNNNNNNNNNNNNNNNNNNNNNNNNNNNNNNNNNNNNNNNNNNNNNNNNNNNNNNNNNNNNNNNNNNNNNNNNNNNNNNNNNNNNNNNNNNNNNNNNNNNNNNNNNNNNNNNNNNNNNNNNNNNNNNNNNNNNNNNNNNNNNNNNNNNNNNNNNNNNNNNNNNNNNNNNNNNNNNNNNNNNNNNNNNNNNNNNNNNNNNNNNNNNNNNNNNNNNNNNNNNNNNNNNNNNNNNNNNNNNNNNNNNNNNNNNNNNNNNNNNNNNNNNNNNNNNNNNNNNNNNNNNNNNNNNNNNNNNNNNNNNNNNNNNNNNNNNNNNNNNNNNNNNNNNNNNNNNNNNNNNNNNNNNNNNNNNNNNNNNNNNNNNNNNNNNNNNNNNNNNNNNNNNNNNNNNNNNNNNNNNNNNNNNNNNNNNNNNNNNNNNNNNNNNNNNNNNNNNNNNNNNNNNNNNNNNNNNNNNNNNNNNNNNNNNNNNNNNNNNNNNNNNNNNNNNNNNNNNNNNNNNNNNNNNNNNNNNNNNNNNNNNNNNNNNNNNNNNNNNNNNNNNNNNNNNNNNNNNNNNNNNNNNNNNNNNNNNNNNNNNNNNNNNNNNNNNNNNNNNNNNNNNNNNNNNNNNNNNNNNNNNNNNNNNNNNNNNNNNUUAUGGUUAAGUGGUAUCGAAGUUGCAAUACGGAUAAAAAGAUCUCAAUUUUUCUUAUAAAAUUCCAAAUCAAAAUUUUUAGUCAAAGUAUCCCACCAAGUUAUUAAAUUGUUUAAUUACUCUUUUGCAUUUAUUUUGAAUAACAAUACAAAUAAAUUUCAUUAUUAAUUAAAUCAUCAAAAUCCAUAUUAUGUUUUUAAUUUUUAACAUUAUGCUAAUUUAUAAAGAUGGGAUCUAUUCAUUAAAGAUAUGUGUAAUAUAAUUAUUUUCAUAACUAUAGGUGGAGAUUACACUAGAACAAGCAAUUUAUUGAGACACCCAUAUAUCCAAAACGUAUAGACCAUCAGAUACAUGGCAUUUACCAAUAAUCUUUUUUAUCAUAAAACUUUGAAAAAAACGAUGAUCAAAGAAAAAAGAGACACAAUAGUUUAAGUAUUUAAUAAGUUUACUCACAAAAUUUAAAUUUAAAGUAAGAUUAGAUAAAUUUAACACGGAUGAUAAAAUGAUAAAAGGAGUAAACUUAACCGUCUUAGAACACUCAACAUUAUAUUGCGAUUUACAUAGUCUGUUAACCAAGUUGAUUUCCUAGUAGAAUGAGGCUGACCUCUUUCAAUAGGUUGGAUUUCCGGUGACCAGCAAUUUGAUGUUGCAAGUCAGAUUCUGAUUUGUACAAGUUGGUCAUUUUGGUUCUCUAUUUCUUUAAAGAAGACUGAUAUAGGUUGCUGUUAUGACUCAUUUUUAGCCUAAUUCCAUGUGUUUUCUUCAUAAAAACUCACAUCUCUACUGAUCACAAUUUUUUUAGUGUCUGAAUUUAAUAACUUAUAAGUUUUAGAGACUUCACUUAAGCUAAGAAAGACAUAUUUUUCACCCUUAUCAUCUAACUUUUUCCUUUUCUCAUUAGAUAUAUAUGCAUAUUUGAUGCAACUGAAAAUUCAACAAUGAUCAACAGCUGGUUUUCUUCCACUCCAUAUUUCCUCCGGAGUCAUUUUCUGUAUUGAAAAUAUUAGACUUCUAUUCAGUACAUGGAUACUCCAAUUAAUUGCCUUAGGGCAAAAGUUCUUCGGAACAUUGCCUUUAGCCAGCAAUCUUCUCACCAUAUUAAGGAUUGUUCUAUUUUUCCUUUCCAAUACGCCAUUUUAUUAUGGUAAAUAGGCCUGUGAGUUCCCUUUGAAUGCUUUAUUCAUCACAAAACUGUUUAAAUUCCUUUAAAUAAUAUUUUCCACCAUGAUUGGUACGAAAAGUUUUAACUGCCUUCCCUUACUCAUUUUCAACAUGCACUUUGAAGCUUUUAAAUGCACGCAUUUAAAAAGCUUCUGAUUUAGCCUGCAAAAAGUCAAUCCAAGUCUUCCAAGAAAAAUCAUCAAUGAAAGUGAUUAAAUAUUUGUUACCCCCAUUGAAAGUUGAAUUGAUUGGACUGCAUAUAUUGGAAUGGACCAGCUCUAAAAAAUCUUUCGCUCUCUAUUAUUUUCCUUGUGGAAAUUGAGAGCAAUAUUGUUUACAAACACACACUCUUCAUAAACUCGAGAUAGAAUAGUAAUUUGAGGAAGAUCAUUCGCCAUAUGCUUCUAUUGGAGAGUUCUUAAUCCACCGAAAUUCAAGUGGCCGUAACAGAAAUGCCAAAGCCGAGAUGGAUUCUUCAUUUCAGCCAUCAAACGGGUUUGGGCAACUUGAAUUUGCAAUGGAAACAACCUGUUUGAGCUCAUUUAAAUAAUUACAAUAGCUUCUCUUGAAGGAUCAUAAAUUUCACAAGCUCUCUUUUGAAUGAUUAUCAGAUAGCCCUUCUCUUACAAUUGACCAGCACUAAGUAAAUUACUUUUCAAAUCAGGAACAUAAAACACACUAGAAAUGGUCUCCAUAAAACCAUUCUUAGUUUUAAUAUCAAUAUCACCUUUUCCCAUCACAUUUACUUUAGAACUAUCAUCAAAGCUCACAGUUGAAUGAAAAGUUUUAUCUAAAUGGGAAAAGAGAGACUUACUACCACACAUAUGAUUGCUACAUCCUGUAUCAACAUAUCAAACUCCAGAGUUAAUUGUCUCAUUGGUUUGAACAGUCAUUAAGAGAGUUUCAGCUUCAUGAUUUUGUAUAAAGUUUGACUUCUCCCUAUUUUCUCUGUCAUUUGACAUUUUGGUACGACAUUUUGAACAAUAUUGAUCAAAUUUAUGGCAUCUGUAGCAUUCAAUUUUGGAUUUGUCAAAGUGCUAAAACUAUCCUUUCCCUUUGUGUGAUUGAUCAUCGUCAAUUUUGAAAUUUGUGUUUCCAUUUCUGUUGCCACGAUCUCUCCUUUCUCUUCCUCUUCCUCUUUCUCUUCCUCUACCUCUUCAUCGUCAGUUUUAUAGCUUAUCUCCAUAGUUCUCGCAAAAUAGCUUGUGAUAGAUUUACCAUCCUUCAUCUGUAGAGUCUCAAAAUCUCAUCUCAAGAUGUGCAUGCUUUACACUUGCGGAGCCUUGAUAUUUCUUUUUCAUGGAGUCCCAAAGUUGUUUGGAAGUAUCUUUACAUAAAAUGGUCUCUAAAAUUGAAUGAUUGGUUGCCUAAAAUAAAUGAUUUUUCGCCUUAAGAUCCUUCAACUUUAGUCCUUCAAUUUCUGCUUUUUGCCCUUCAGUCACUGCUGCUCCACUUGCUGGUGCCAAUACUCCAUCCGAAACAACUUGCCAGUACUCUUUCGAUCUAAGAAUAUUUUCCAUCAACAUGCUCUAGUGAUCAUAGUGACCAUCGAAGCGAAAUAUUGUAGGUUGCACAAGACUAUCAAAUACUAUUGACAAUAUUUGAAAAAUGCACAAGAAAGCUACAGCUUAAACUUGGCUUUGAUACCACUGUCAGUAGCGUUUUUCAAAAAUACAGCAAAAAUAAAAUUACAGUAUAAUAAAAGACCAAAUAAAAGUGAAAUCUCAUCCAUAAAAUUAAAAAUAAAUAGCCCAUAAAUAGGCUUUACUAAUCAACUAAGAAACAACUACUAACAUAAAAGCACUAAACCACUAAUAUAAAAACACUAAAACAGGAAGCGUUAAACUGAUAACAUAAAAGCACUAAAUCACUAAUAUAAAAGCAAUAAAAUAGGAAGUUAAUUAGUUACUGCUACCAAAAAUUUAUAUAUUUGGUAGUAAGUCUUCAUCAAGUUGACUUCAUAUUUAUAUAUUUGGACAACAUAAUAUUUGGAGAAUACAAAAUUAUAUAUAAUGUUCUGAAUAUUUAAAAUUAUUUAUACACACCUCUCCGUUUUAUCAUUUUUAUUCAUUUUAUAUUUUUAUAUAUAUUAAAAAAUAUAAUUUUUUAAUUAUAUCCAUAUUAAAUAUAUUAAAUUUUAUUAAAUAUUAAAAAAUAUUUUAAAAAUAUUUUAAAAAUAAAAUAAAAUUAAAUACGAUUUAUAUAUUAUUAUAAUUUUAAAAAAUAAAUAAUAAUUUUAAAACAAUAAAAAUAAAUAAAUAAAAAUUUAUGGAGCUUAUUUUAUUGUGAUAUUUUAAAAGCAAAUCUAGGUCUUUUUUAAUUUAGUUUUAUCGUAUGGGUCUUGGUCUAUAUAUAUAUAUUAUAAAACGUUAAUUUUAGAAGGUUUAAUAAUCAAUAAUUCAACAUGCAUUUAUCUCAUUGGAUAGAUAUUAUUAAUUAAUUAGAUGGUCAUCACCGAAUUAGCUCAUCUCCACAACACGGCUUCAACCUCAAUAUCUUUCACACUUGUAAGCUUUCUCUAUAUAUAUUGUAGGAAACAUCUGUCCGAGGUAUUUUAGCUACCCGACUUUCAUUGUAGUGAUCGUGAUUGCAUAAGUCUAGCUCUAGCGACUGUGCAACUUGUGAUGCUUCUCGCUGGAAAUCUAGGUCAUCGCCUGAACUGAAUCGUAGAAAAAGUAUUAGGCCGAGACAAUAUUCAUAUCAACAACUAGCAAGGGCAACUAAUCAUUUCUCUAAUAAUCAUCUUCUCGGCGAGGGUGGUUUUGGACAAGUUUAUAAAGGAUCGCUAAAUGGUAAAUCCUUUGCUAUUAAAAAACUCAAAAAUUUUUCAGAUUUACAGUCGGAAGGAGAUCUAGAGAAUGAGAUUAGGAUUGUUAGCAGCGUCCGCCAUAAAAAUCUUAUUGAACUGCUUGGUUACUGCAUUGAAGGGAGGGGCGAAUAGAUUAUUUAUUUUCAAAUAUUUUCGCAACAAGUCCUUGAGCUCUCAAUUACAUGGUGAGUCUCAUCCUUCCUAUAUAUUUUCAUAACUGGUAUGAAAAUUAAUAUUAAAAAAUGGUUUUGUAGAAAGUGAUAAAGAUUUGGACUGGCAAAAGAGAAUGGAUAUCGCCAAAGGGGCUGCAAGUGCACUGGAAUAUUUACAUGAACUCUGUGAGUAUAUUAUAUCUAAUUUGCUAACCUUUAAGUUUAAUUAUGAUCUCUCAAUAUGUCUGUUUAUUUUACAUCUUUCUUUAAAUUAAUAUUUUAUUUUCUUUCAAAUCUUUUUAUUUUUUUUAUAUCAAUUAAUCAUUCAAUUAUAUAUUUAAAUAUUAAAUUAGAUAAUAUUUUUCUCGAUAAUAAAUUCGAAUUAAAAAUAUAAUAAUUUAAUCAUAAAUAUAUUUUUUAUAUUUAUUUAUGAUUAGACCUAUUUAAUAAUAAUACUUUUUAUAAUUUAAGAUUGAAUUGUUAUAAUUAUAAUUUAGUAAACUUUACUUAUUAAUUACUUUUGUCUUUUUUAAAAAUAAUCUAUUUAAUUUUUAUAAUUUUAAAAAAUUAAUAAUGUAGUCCAGUUAAAUCUUCAUUUAUGUGUUAGUAUUAUUUAUUUAAAAAUUAACUUAUGGUCUGUAUUUAAACCAUAAAAAUUAAACUAUUUUACAUAUAUGAUAUUAUAAAUGCUUUACUUUGUUCUUUCAAAUGUAUAAUAAAUUAUAAUUUAUUACGAUUAAUUUAACCAAUAUCUAAUUAAUUCUAAAAAAAGACUAUAAAGAAUUAUAAUCCUUUAUUUAAUAAAUAUCAUAAUUAGUCAGUUCAUAUUCUGAAUUUUUACAAAUUACCAUAUAUAAUAAAUGAUCUUACAUGGAUCAAAUGAGCUUAUAUAUAUGAUAAACCUAAUCAGUCACAUUUACACUAUUAAUAUUAAUAUCUAUAAAAAUUGGUACAAUUAUAUGUAUACAAUUAAAAAUUAAAUUUUUUAUGGAUGCUAAACUUGAAAUCGAUCUUACCUUUUGUUUGACAUAACUCAUUUUAGAAUAAAAGAAUUUAAAUAAAUUUUAGUAAAAUAUGAUUUUAUUUUCUUUAAAAAUAAAAAUUAAAUUGAAUCAUUAUAAAAUCUUUGAUUCCAAACAAGAUCUUAAAAGCUUGAACUAUGAAAAACCUUAUAAUUAAUUAAUAAUUUAUAGAUAAUUUGUAAUUUAUAAGUACAUCCAUAAUUUAAUUAUUUAUUCAUAAUUUAAUUAUUCUUAUUAUUUUUUUAUGAAAUUUAACUUUUUAAUACAUUUCUGUGUAUAUCCAAUUUUUAUGAUAAUUAAAUAUAUUUUCUAAUAUAUUAAAAGGAUAUAAAAUUCAAUUUGUAAAAUAAUAAAUAUAUUAUAUUAUGUAACAAAUUUUAAAUUAUUUUGUAUCUUUUUAUUAAUUAUAUUUUCUAUUUCAUAAUAGUAUGAAAAUUUCAUUAAAAAAAAUGGAUAAAAAGUUAGAUAUACUCUUUAUAUCUUUGAUAAAAAUAGAAUAUAAUAAAUUUAAUCACAAAAGUUAAUCAGAUAUAAAUACAUAAUUUAAAAGAUAAUAACUAAGCAAAUAAAAUUAUUUAUGAAGAAUAUAAAAAGGGUUUUUACUCUCCCUUUGAAAUCAAGAAUUUUAUAAAAAUUUAAUUCAAUUAAUUUUUUUAAAAAGAAAACUCUUAUUGAAAAUUAAAAAAUUUAAAAUUUUUUAGCAUAUGAAUGAUUUUACAAGAAUUUAUUUAAAUUUUUUUUCUUAUAACUACAUUGCAACACACUACGGAAAAUCAUGCUUUGGCAUAAUAAAUUUAUUAGGGAGAUUUAUAAUUUAAUCCCUGAGUAUUGCCAUUAUUAACAAGUCAGUCUCUAUAUUUUUAGAAACCUAUUAAAACGUCCUUAUUUUUUCUCUCCGUCAACAAAAUAGUCCUUCUGUCUAUUUUUGCCGUUAAAAAUAUAGUAAAAAACUAAAUUACCCUCAUUUUUUUUUCUUCCUCUUCCUCCUCCUCCUCCUCCUUCCUUUUCUUCUUCUUGCUUCUUCUGCUUCUGCUUUUUCUUCUUCUUCUUUUUCUUCUGCUUUUUCUGCUUCUUCUUCUCCUUCUUCUCCUUCUUCUUNNNNNNNNNNNNNNNNNNNNNNNNNNNNNNNNNNNNNNNNNNNNNNNNNNNNNNNNNNNNNNNNNNNNNNNNNNNNNNNNNNNNNNNNNNNNNNNNNNNNNNNNNNNNNNNNNNNNNNNNNNNNNNNNNNNNNNNNNNNNNNNNNNNNNNNNNNNNNNNNNNNNNNNNNNNNNNNNNNNNNNNNNNNNNNNNNNNNNNNNNNNNNNNNNNNNNNNNNNNNNNNNNNNNNNNNNNNNNNNNNNNNNNNNNNNNNNNNNNNNNNNNNNNNNNNNNNNNNNNNNNNNNNNNNNNNNNNNNNNNNNNNNNNNNNNNNNNNNNNNNNNNNNNNNNNNNNNNNNNNNNNNNNNNNNNNNNNNNNNNNNNNNNNNNNNNNNNNNNNNNNNNNNNNNNNNNNNNNNNNNNNNNNNNNNNNNNNNNNNNNNNNNNNNNNNNNNNNNNNNNNNNNNNNNNNNNNNNNNNNNNNNNNNNNNNNNNNNNNNNNNNNNNNNNNNNNNNNNNNNNNNNNNNNNNNNNNNNNNNNNNNNNNNNNNNNNNNNNNNNNNNNNNNNNNNNNNNNNNNNNNNNNNNNNNNNNNNNNNNNNNNNNNNNNNNNNNNNNNNNNNNNNNNNNNNNNNNNNNNNNNNNNNNNNNNNNNNNNNNNNNNNNNNNNNNNNNNNNNNNNNNNNNNNNNNNNNNNNNNNNNNNNNNNNNNNNNNNNNNNNNNNNNNNNNNNNNNNNNNNNNNNNNNNNNNNNNNNNNNNNNNNNNNNNNNNNNNNNNNNNNNNNNNNNNNNNNNNNNNNNNNNNNNNNNNNNNNNNNNNNNNNNNNNNNNNNNNNNNNNNNNNNNNNNNNNNNNNNNNNNNNNNNNNNNNNNNNNNNNNNNNNNNNNNNNNNNNNNNNNNNNNNNNNNNNNNNNNNNNNNNNNNNNNNNNNNNNNNNNNNNNNNNNNNNNNNNNNNNNNNNNNNNNNNNNNNNNNNNNNNNNNNNNNNNNNNNNNNNNNNNNNNNNNNNNNNNNNNNNNNNNNNNNNNNNNNNNNNNNNNNNNNNNNNNNNNNNNNNNNNNNNNNNNNNNNNNNNNNNNNNNNNNNNNNNNNNNNNNNNNNNNNNNNNNNNNNNNNNNNNNNNNNNNNNNNNNNNNNNNNNNNNNNNNNNNNNNNNNNNNNNNNNNNNNNNNNNNNNNNNNNNNNNNNNNNNNNNNNNNNNNNNNNNNNNNNNNNNNNNNNNNNNNNNNNNNNNNNNNNNNNNNNNNNNNNNNNNNNNNNNNNNNNNNNNNNNNNNNNNNNNNNNNNNNNNNNNNNNNNNNNNNNNNNNNNNNNNNNNNNNNNNNNNNNNNNNNNNNNNNNNNNNNNNNNNNNNNNNNNNNNNNNNNNNNNNNNNNNNNNNNNNNNNNNNNNNNNNNNNNNNNNNNNNNNNNNNNNNNNNNNNNNNNNNNNNNNNNNNNNNNNNNNNNNNNNNNNNNNNNNNNNNNNNNNNNNNNNNNNNNNNNNNNNNNNNNNNNNNNNNNNNNNNNNNNNNNNNNNNNNNNNNNNNNNNNNNNNNNNNNNNNNNNNNNNNNNNNNNNNNNNNNNNNNNNNNNNNNNNNNNNNNNNNNNNNNNNNNNNNNNNNNNNNNNNNNNNNNNNNNNNNNNNNNNNNNNNNNNNNNNNNNNNNNNNNNNNNNNNNNNNNNNNNNNNNNNNNNNNNNNNNNNNNNNNNNNNNNNNNNNNNNNNNNNNNNNNNNNNNNNNNNNNNNNNNNNNNNNNNNNNNNNNNNNNNNNNNNNNNNNNNNNNNNNNNNNNNNNNNNNNNNNNNNNNNNNNNNNNNNNNNNNNNNNNNNNNNNNNNNNNNNNNNNNNNNNNNNNNNNNNNNNNNNNNNNNNNNNNNNNNNNNNNNNNNNNNNNNNNNNNNNNNNNNNNNNNNNNNNNNNNNNNNNNNNNNNNNNNNNNNNNNNNNNNNNNNNNNNNNNNNNNNNNNNNNNNNNNNNNNNNNNNNNNNNNNNNNNNNNNNNNNNNNNNNNNNNNNNNNNNNNNNNNNNNNNNNNNNNNNNNNNNNNNNNNNNNNNNNNNNNNNNNNNNNNNNNNNNNNNNNNNNNNNNNNNNNNNNNNNNNNNNNNNNNNNNNNNNNNNNNNNNNNNNNNNNNNNNNNNNNNNNNNNNNNNNNNNNNNNNNNNNNNNNNNNNNNNNNNNNNNNNNNNNNNNNNNNNNNNNNNNNNNNNNNNNNNNNNNNNNNNNNNNNNNNNNNNNNNNNNNNNNNNNNNNNNNNNNNNNNNNNNNNNNNNNNNNNNNNNNNNNNNNNNNNNNNNNNNNNNNNNNGAAUGAGUUUAAAACCAUUAGCCGCACUCGUCACCCGAAUAUUGUGGAGGUCGUCGGAUACUGCAGCGAAGAAGCUGAUCGAUUGAUUGUUUACGAGUUCGUUUCCAACAAGAGCUUGAAAUCUCAUCUCUAUGGUGAGUAUUCUUAAAUUUUCUCAUUGGAUUUAUAAUUUAUUUAUCAUGAGAGCUAAAUGAUUAAGCCAUCUUGUUCGGUUACACAAGUGGGAAGAAGACAGCAGACAAUGGUGACCGCCCCGAUCGAUUGGCCAACCAGAAUGAAGAUUGCUUUGGGUAUAGCAGAAGGAUUGGCAUAUUUGCAUGAAGACUGUGAGAUUUUAACUUUAUUUAGUUUUUUUUUUUUUUCAAGUUUUUCUAUAUUGCAAUUUAUACUUUUUAAUUUUAUGCAUUUUUAGGUAAACCAGGAAUUAUCCACGGAGAUAUUAAAAGUGACAAUAUUCUUCUCGAUGAUGAAUUUAAUCCUAAGGUAUGAUGAUAGAAUCACAUAAGAGAUUUAUAAAAAAUAAUUCAACAGCUAAACAUUUUAUAGUUAAUAUUAAAAAUGUAAAUAAAAUUUACAUUUAUAACUAUUUAACUGUUUUAAUUAAUUACAAGUAAUUUUAAUUAUAAAUAAGAGUCGUUUCAAAAUCUUGAUUUAAAAUAUUAACUUGGAAUUUAAAUUUAACUUAUUAGUUAUAAAUUAAUUUGAAUGACACAAUAAAUUACUUCUAUCAACUUUUUUCCCUUUAGAUUAGAGAUUUUGGAAUUUCCAAAGAAUUUGCGGAUUCAGAAACUCACGUUUCCACUAUCUCAAUGGGAACUCCAGAGUAUGAUUCGUUCUCAUUUGCUUGCGAAAUUUUCUUCUUUCUCAAAGAAAAUUGGUUGAAUUGGUAGUUCUCAUCUGAUGAACGCUUUCUUUAAGUGCAGUUAUCUCGCCCCCGAGCAUUGCACCGAAGAUGGCUAAAAUAAGAGGCUCACUGAUAAGUCUGAUGUAUUUUCUUUCGGUGUUGUGCUUUUAGAGCUGAUUACGGGAAAAUUAGCCGUUUUUGAGAGGGAACGCAGGGAAUAUAUUUUCUUAACUAUUUGGGUACUUGAAAAUAAAGAAUUUGAUAUUUUGUAUUUUCGAUAUUCAAAGGUUUUUUGUUUUUUAUUUUUUUUUCCCUGAUGGAAUGCUUAACUGACCUCUGUACAUCUAUUUUGAUCAUUCCCAGGCCGUGCCUCUACUGAAACAAAUUUUGGAUGCUGAGUAUCAAGAUUUGCAUGCUGAAAAUUGUAAAGAAUUUUUUGAUUCCAAAUUACCGAAUAAUUUUGAGGAAAAUGAUAUGAAACGACUCAUUUAUUGUGCUGCUGCUUGUGUAUAUAAACCUGCCAAGUUACGCCCACAUAUGUGCAAGGUAAAUUCACAAAACCAAACCAGUUAUUUUUGGAUUAUGCUUUGCAUGUGAUUAUCAGUAAAAAUAUAUGAAAUAUAAUUUAAAAAGUACGUAAAAAUUAUUUGAUAAUUUUGCAUAUGUUGAUUAAAAAUUGGGAGAGUGACUGCAUGUGAUUUUGUGAUGCAGAUAGUUAAAGUACUAAAUGGAGAUAUGGAACCCAAAACUAUAUGGGUGAGAAGUGAUUGCAAGUACCUAUACAAUGGGUCACCUUACGCUCCAUUUCCUCAAGCUCAGGGAACCUCCAGCUCUUGAGCUCUAUCCAAUACAUGAAUUAUCCUCGCCUUGUAACAAAAAAGUGUGUUCUUGCUAAAUGCACGUGCUUUUCUAAGGGAUCAAUUAAAUAAUAAGAAUGUGUUCCUUGCUGAAUUUUUUUAAAAUAUUAAUAAUGAUUGAUAUUGAAUAAUUUUUCAUAUAUAUAUAUAUAUUGGCAGAAUACAUAAUAUCCAUUACGUAUUAUUUUAAAACAAAGAGAUAAUAUGCAACAUAUAUAUAUACACAUAGGUAUGGUUGGUAAUAAUUUAAUAAAUAAUUUUAGUUAAAAAUUUAUAUGAAUUAAAUUUAAUAAUAAAUAAUAAUUUUAUUAGAUAGAUAAUUCAAAAUUUUUUAAAAAUUUCAAAUUAAUGAAAUUUAAAUUUUAUUAAUUAAAUUAAUUGUAGAAUUCAUAUAAAUUUAAAAUUCUUAAUUUUUCUGUUUAAAUUCUUAGAAUUAUUUUUAUUAUAAUUCUUUUUUUUUAAAAAAAAUGUGAUUCUACGGAUUAAAAUUAUAACGGUUUCAUAAAAAAAUAUUUUUUCUUUUUAAUUAAGCAAAAUUUAUAAAAAAAAGUAUUAAAAUAUUUAUAAUAAUAUGAAUAAAAAGUAAUGUACUAAAAAAAAGUAAAAUUUUAUAAUAUAUUACAUUUAGAAAUAAAAUAAAAAUUAUUCAAUCAAAUAUUAAUUUUAUUGAAUUAUUAUCUAUAAUAAAUUUAUAUUGAAUUUUAUUAUUUUUUAGUUUAUACUACAUAUGAGUGAAAGGGGUGACAAGUAAUUAAUAAAAUUAUUUAAAAUACUCAUAUUAUAUUUAUUAUAAAUUUAUUAUUAGUUAAAAUUUUAAUUUAUAAAUAAUUAUAAAAUAUGAUAAAAUUUAUUACUAUUCGUAAUAUUUAUAAUAUGUAGAUUAGAUCAUAUAUAUCAAUGCCAUUUUAAUAUUAAAUAACUUUGUUAUUAUUUUUAUAUUAAUUUUUUUUUAUAUAUAAAACCAGUGAUAAAUAGUUAUUCAAAAUAAGUGGAUACUUUCAUUGGAUAAUUUCAAAAAAAAAAAAAAAAAAUUCAUUGGAACUUAGAAUAAAGAGAAACUCAUUAAUAAACUUAUAAUAUGCAUUACACAAAAUGAUGUUAACCGAAGGCCACAUGCUGCGAAUUCUACGCUCAACGUCAACGUUAAUUUUUUUUUUUAUUUUUUUAUUAAAAAAAAAAAAUGAAAACGAAGGUCCUAACUGUCUUCCUUCAUCCUUCUUACAUCUCCCUCUUUAUCUCUGACCAUUCGCAUUCACACUCCAUAAGAACUCUAUUAUAUAUACUUGCAAAAAACCUCUGGCCGUGGUUGCACAAGUCUGCAACUUCUGAUGGCCAAUCGCUUGGGGAUGAACGGGGAAGAUCACCGGAUUGAAACUAGAGGUAUUAAUUGUUUUUAGCUGAAACUGUUGUGCCAAAUAGUAAUAGUUUCAUGGAGAUUUCAUUUCAUCUAACUAAUUGAGGCAUGUUGUUUAUUGAUUGCUCACUAAGCACAGAUCAGAAUGAAUCUGGCUCAUCUCCAGAGAAGACUAUUGGGCCAAAGUCAUAUUCAUACGGUGAACUAGCAAGGGUAACCGGUCAUUUCUCGCUCAAUAAUCUAAUUGGUCGAGGUGGUUUUGGUCAUGUUUUCAAGGCAUUCUUAGAUGGUGAGAUUCGUGCUAUCAAAAGACUUGAUUUUCCAGAUGUACAGUCUGAAGGAGGUUUGGAGAGGGAGAUUAUGGUCGUCAAAAGCAUCAGUCACAAAAAUCUCGUUGAACUAGUUGGUUACUGCAUUGAUGGAGCCAAUAGGUUGCUUAUUUUAAACUAUUUUCCAAAUGGAUCCUUAAGAUCUAAAUUACACGG
This 163189-nucleotide long non-coding RNA is filed under the name Manihot esculenta (cassava). Its description in RNAcentral is "long non-coding RNA (MESC_LNC006391)". Lineage: Eukaryota; Viridiplantae; Streptophyta; Magnoliopsida; Malpighiales; Euphorbiaceae. The record is from RNAcentral.